UCUGAGGCUCGCGUGCGACCGGCCCAAGUUUAUUAACAAACCAUACGAGCAAACACAAGUCACAUAUACUCGGACACCACAGCAUCACGCUAACGAGCACAGAACGACACAAACAUAAGUCACAUACACAGAUACCACACCAUCACACAGCUAAUUAAUGAAGACAAACUCGCGCUAAGUAAGCACCACAACUGAUCGAACGAGACGGCAGCUAGUUGUGUUCGUGGAUCUGCUUGACGAGUCCGAGGUUGAUGAUGCCCCAGGCGGAGCGCGGACAUUGUUUCUCCUUGGCCUUGUCCCUCAUCACCCUCCCCCGUGACACCCACCCCUCCCACGACAUCCUCUUGUCCCAGCUGCUGCCCCACUCCAGCACCAGCCUCAGCCCCUCCGCCGCCGCCGCCUCCGCCUCCUCCCACCUCCCUCCGCCGUUCAGCAGCACCUGAGCCAGCACCAGCCACGGCUCCCCCACGUACGGGUUCUUCGCGAUGCACCGCCGCAGCAGCGACUCCACACCUUCCUUGCCGUCGCUGCAGAUCGCCUCCCAGUACAGGUCCCUCGCCGCGAUCUGUUCGCCGGGGUCCCAUCCUCCAUGUGGCGGAGCUGCUCGUCGGUGGCGAUGAGGCGGUACAGCGCGGCGAGCCUGGACAUGGCGCUCAUCCACAGCCCGGGCUUUCCGGUCCCCGGCCAGAGCGCGGUCCAGUUGUCGCCGGCGAACUCCAGGCGCCCGUCGUCGUUGCGGAACAGCUUGUCCUGGUAGUCCGUGUACUGGUCGCUCAAGUCGGCGACGGUCAUCAGCACGAACACCGCCAGCACGCGCCGCGACAGCGCCACCGGCUCCCCCGUCCGGAUGUGCGGCACCACCACGCCCUCCUCCGGCACCACGGACCGCAGCUUCACGCGCCACGGCUCCACCUUGUCCCCCGGCUGCCCCCGCCGGAGUGCGCGGCCUGGAGGGAGGCAUCGGCGGCGGCGAGGUGGUCCGGAGCUCGGCGUCGGUGUAGCGGAGGUGGAGGUCGUCGUGCAUGAGCGCGUGGCGCGGGGCGACGCAGAAGAGGUGCACGAGCCGCUCGGCGGCGGCCCCGACGAUGCCGCGGACGCGGGCGCGGCUGACGUCGGGCUCGAAGAUGGCGAGGUUGACGUAGGAGUUGGAGUAGGAGGAGUGGAAGAGGCCGCAGCGGGCGACGGCGUCGGGCGCGCCCCAGAGGCGAAGGAUCCGGUAGACGUCGAGGAGGUGGGCGAGGAAGGUGCCGUGCUUGUGGUAGCACUCGCCGGCGCCGGCGGACACGAGGACGGAGACGAGCGAGGGGAGCUCGGGGUCGACGGCCGCGAGGUCGCCGCGGAGGAACGGGCGCGCGGCGGCGAGGAUCGACUGGAGCGCGUCGUUCGUCGAUGGGCCUCUGCCGUUGCUGAUGCCGGUCGCCAUUUCGAUCGAUGAUCCCGGCGGGUGUAGUAUGUGUGAUGUGUGUCUUACUCUCACUCCUGAUUAUUACCGUGAUUGUGUUCUGUUCACCCUCUGCCGUUGCUGAUUACUAGUAUUACCGUGAGUGAAAUGUUGGUUGCGUUGCGUAGCAAAAUGAAUAAUUCAGUGGCCGCAUGCAAUUCAGGUGUACUAAAGGACGUGCGCGUGAUACAUGCACGGUGCUAGGAUGGUCAGGUAGGAGCUAGGGCUAUGAUGCGAGCUGUUGUCGUCCUGUGAACGUGGAUGGAAUGUGUCCAAGUUCGCUUUCCAGUGCCGUGUCUGGAACAAUAAUCCUACCUUUACUCUUUCACGGGAUCUUUUCAACCAACUGACCUGCCCCCUUGUUUUCAAUGAAGUGGGUCCCGCCUCAUCUCUAACUACCAAUCCAAGUCCCCACGUUGGCCAGUCCAUUGAUCUCGUGAAAAAAUCGUCCGUCAAAAAAUCCUAUGUCUGGCGUGCACCGAUGAACUUUUCUUUUUUUGCGAUGGCCUGCACCGAUGAACACGUACGUACAUGCAGGCAAAGGCAGUAUUCGAUGCGUCCGUUUCAGGUGACAUCGGUUUUUGUUGCUUUGCCAGCUUUGGAGGCAGUAUUCCCACUCAUGUGUGUACAUACAGUACAGGAGAUGAGGAAAUCAGAUCCCACCCAUUCACUCAGGGUGCGUUUGGUUGCAAGGGCGGUCAUGAAUGGGUUGGGAUCGUUCAAAAAAUAGACAUGUUUGGUUAUAAAGCACAUGAAUGGUUCGAGCCAAAAAAAGAGAAUAUGUCAUGAAGAUGCUGAACCGUUCCACCCAACCAAAUCGGUCGAAUCAAAUGGCCACCCUUUGCAUGCAUGACUAUGUGAGCAUGACUGGUGGUCCCGUCCUAAAUAAUUAGCUCACCACUUAUAUUCAGUCAAACACAUGAAUUGAAUGGUUCAAUCCCAAAAAAAUUGAACGGUCCCAACCCAUUCAUACGACACCUUCAACCAAACGCAUCCAGUCGCCUUUUGCAUACACUGGGUAACGGUGGAACAAAAGGGCCGCGCGGCAAUGUCCCGCUUCGUGCGAGGCAGUAGCUCGCCUCGCUGCAGGCAGCAGGUUCGCGGGCAGGCCCAUUUGCCGGGAUGAAGUCAUGAUGACGUUGCACAUAUUCACAUUUUUUGUUUGUAUUUUCUGUGUUUAUUUUUUUCUCAUUUUUUACUUCUGUUUCAUUGUUUUCCAUUGUAGGUUUUUAAAGUAUUCAUUGCACUUUAGAAAUAUGUUAUUCGUAUAUUUAAAAAAAAUAAAAGUGUAUAACUAGAUGUUUCUGACAGGAAAAACGUACAAUGUGUAUGAAAAAAAAUAGUGAUCAAAACAUGUAUAUGAAAAAAGUAAUCAUGUCUUUAAUUAAUUUUAAACGUGUAUAAAAGAUGGUUCAGCUGUAUAUGAAAAUUGUACAAUGUGUGUGAAAAAGUAGACAUCAAAACAUAUGUUUCAAGAAAUGUACAAUGUGUCUGAAAAAUGUUUGACAUGUACAAAAGGAUGUUUCAUAUGUAUAUAGAUAAUAUACAAUAUUUAGAAAAAAAAACCAGGCAUCAAAACUAGACAUUAUUCUAACUCUGGGCCACCGCCAGAGGCUUGCUACCCCAACCAAAAUUCUAAAAGUACCUAAAGCAAGAACGUGAUCCCUCCGGUCAGCGGGAGCACCUUGGUCCAUAGCACCUCCAAGGCCCAAAUACCAUUGGACACAAGGUGUAUCGCCAGAGGUAGCGACAAGAGGACAAAUACCUUAAUCUCCUUCUGUGUCCUGUGCUCCAAUGAUAACAAUAGACACGACUCCAUAAAAAAGUAAUACGACCAUCCAUAGAUCUUUCGUCUCUCAAAUCAAACAAUCCAGAAGAUGGUUCAUCUCUACUGUCAUACCACGCCAAGAUUAAGGACCUGCGAUGAGGGUCAUCCAAAGUUAAUUCACAACCGCAUGAUCGAAAUUGCAAAAAUAAUAUUGAAAAGUUGUUGGUAUGGAGGACACCCGAGAAUUCGCUAGCCAUGACUUGUGUUUGUUGGUGGAGGGGAGUAAACUUUACUUUUUCCUCUUGGGAACCGCCGCUAAUUUGUUUAGCAUGGAAAAUAUUGAAAACUCGUGGUCGCGACGUUGACAGGAAAGCAUACCUCUCAAAAUUAUAUUUAUCUCUGUUUUAAGCUUUGGCACCUCUAUAAAUCCCUACUUCCUUCUAUGAAGGGCCCAUCCAUUUACUUUUAUGUUAUUUUACUUUUAUUGUGAGUCACCACCCUCUCAUUUAAGCACCAACUAGGGAGCGCUAUUGUCAUUCUUAUGCAUUGAGUAUAAUUAAUGUUGGGUGUGACGUGACUGGAUCUUUUUUACCAUGAAUACAAUGUUUAAUUUAGUCGUUGUUUCAACUUCAGAGGUGCUCUGCAUUUAUAUUUUACGGUCUCAGAAAGGGCUAGCAAGAUACCAUGUUAUCAUAUUAUAUCAUGAUUAUUUUGACAAAUUGUUGGCAUCUGAGAUAUCUUAUUAUUGAUCGCUAGUUGGUUAUGUCAUUGAUAUGAGUAAAUAUGAGACCUAAAUGUUAUCAUGAAUAUGGUUAGUUUAUAAUCCUUGCUGAAAACUUGAGCAUUUAUACAAUAACAAGAACAAAAAGAGUUUGUCAACUGAAUUGCUUGAGGACAAGCAAUGGGUUAAGUUUGGGGGAGUUGAUACGCCCCAAAUGUAUCUACUUUUCCAAACGCUUUUGCUCUUCUUUUGGACUCUAAUUUGCAUGAUUUGAAUGCAACUAACUCAGAAUGACGCUGCUUUCAGCAGAAUUGCAUGGUGUUGUUUUUGUGCAGAAAUAAAAGUUCUCAGAUUGAGUUGAAAAUUUAUGGAGAAUUAUUUGGUGGGGGGCACCGCACACGGCUAAACAAUGUCAACUUUUGUGUUCUAGGGUGCCCCUGCCCCCGUAUAUAAAGGAGCAAGGGGGGAGGCCGGCCGGCCCUUGGGGCGCGCCAAGGAGGGGAGGAGUCCUCCUCCUAGUAGGAGUAGGACUCCUCCUUUCCUAGUCCAACUAGGAGGGGGAAGGGGGAAGGAAGGAGAAGGAGAGGGAGAGGGAAAGAGGGGCCGCACCCCCCUCCCCUAGUCCAAUUCGGACUCCCCUUUGGGGGGGAGAGCCACCUCCUGGGUUGCUGCCCUCUCUCUCCCCUAAGGCCCACUAAGGCCCAAUACUUCCUCGGGGGGUUUCGGUAACCCCUCCGUCACUCCGGUUUUCUCCGAAAUCACCCGGAACACUUCCUGUGUCCGAAUAUAGCCGUCCAAUAUAUCAAUCUUUAUGUCUCAACCAUUUCCAGACUCCUUGUCAUGCCCGUGUUCACAUCCGGGACUCUGAACUACCUUCGGUACAUCAAAACACAUAAACUCAUAAUACCGAUCGUCAUCGAGCAUUAAGCGUGCGGACCCUACGGGUUCGAAAACUAUGUAGACAUGACCGAGACACGUCUCCGGUCAAUAACCAAUAGCGGAACCUGGAUGCUCAUAUUGGCUCCUACAUAUUAUACGAAGAUCUUUAUCGGUCAAACCGCAUAACAACGUACGUUGUUCCCUUUGUCAUGUGUAUGUUACUUGCCCGAGAUUCGGUCAUCAAUAUCACAAUACCUAGUUCAAUCCCGUUACUGGCAAGUCUCUUUACUCGUUCCGUAAUACUGCAUCCCGCAACUAACUCAUUAGUCACAAUGCUUGCAAGGCUUAUAGUGAUGAGUAUUAUCGAGAGGGCCCAGAGAUACCUCUCUGAAACACGGAGUGACAAAUCCUAAUCUCGAUCUAUGCCAACCCAACAAACACCUUCAGAGACACCUAUAGAGCACCUUUAUAAUCACCCUUUUAUGUUGUGACGUUUGGUAGCACACAAAGUGUUCCUCCGGUAUUCGGGAGUUUCAUAAUCUCAUAGUCUGAGGAACUUGUAUAAGUCAUGAAGAAAGCAGUAGCAAUGAAACUAACAUGAUCAUAAUGCUAAGCUAACAGAUGGGUCAUGUCCAUCACAUCAUUCUUCUAAUGAUGUGAUCCUGUUCAUCAAAUGACAACACAUGUCUAUGGUUAGGAAACUUAACCAUCUUUGAUUAACGAGCUAGUCAAGUAGAGGCAUACUAGGGACUAUAGGUUUUGUCUAUGUAUUCACACAUGUACUAAGUUUCUGGUUAAUACAAUUCUAGCAUGAAUAAUAAACAUUUAUCAUGAAUUAAGGAAAUAAAUAAUAACUUUAUUGUUGCAUCUAUGGCAUAUUUCCUCAAGUCUCCCACUUGCACUAGAGUCAAUAAUCUAGAUUACAUAGUAAUGAUUCUAACACCCAUGGAGCUUUGGUGUUGAUCAUGUUUUGCUCGAGGCUUAGUCAACUGGUCUACAACAUUCAGAUCCGUGUGUAUCUCUAUGUCCCCUUCCGACACUUGAUGACGGAUGGAAUUGAAGCGUCUCUUAAUGUGCUUGGUUCUCUUGUGAAAUCUGGAUUCCUUUGCCAAGACAAUUGCACCAGUAUUGUCACAAAAGAUUUUCAUUGGACCCGAUGCACUAGGUAUGACACCUAGAUCGGAUAUGAACUCCUUCAUCCAAACUCCUUCAUUUGCUGCUUCCUAAGCAGCAAUGUACUCCGCUUCACACAUAGAUCCCACCACGACGCUCUGCUUGGAACUGCACCAACCGACAGCUCCUCCUACGUAUCUGGUUUGCGACUUAGAGUCAUCUGGAUCAGUGUCAAAGCUUGCAUCGACGUAAUCAUUUACGCGAGCUCUUUUUCACCUCCAUAAACGAGAAACAUAUCCUUAGUCCUUUUUAGGUAUUUCAGGAUGUUCUUGACCGUUGUCCAGUGCUCCACUUUUGGAUUACUUUGGUACCUCCCUGCUAUGCUUAUAGCAAGACAUACAUCAGGUCUGGUACACAACAUUGCAUACAUGAUAGAACCUAUGGCUGAAGCAUAGGGAAUUAGUUUCAUUUUUUCUCUAUCUUCUGCGAUGGUCGGGCUUUGAGUCUGACUCAACUUCACACCUUGUAACACAGGCAAGAACCCUUUCUUUGACUGAUCCAUUUUGAACUUCUUCAAAACUUUAUCAAGGUAUGUCCUUUGUGAAAGUCCAAUUAAGCGUCUUGAUCCAUCUCUAUAGAUCUUGAUGCCCAAUAUGUAAGCAGCUUCUCCAAGGUCUUCAAUAGAAAAACUCUUAUUCAGGUAUCCCUUUAUGCUAUCUAGAAAUUCUAUAUCAUUUCCAAUCAAUAAUAUGUCAUCUACAUAUAAGAUCAGAAAUGCUACAGAGCUCCCACUCACUUUCUUGUAAAUACAGGCUUCUCCAAAAGUCUGUAUAAAACCAUAUGCUUUGAUCAUACUAUCAAAGCAUUUAUUCCAACUCUGAGAGGCUUGCACCAGUCCAUAAAUGGAUCGCUGGAGCUUGCACACUUUGCUAGCACCCUUUGGAUCGACAAAACCUUCCGGUUGCAUCAUAUACAACUCUUCUUCCAGAAAUCCAUUUAGGAAUGCAGUUUUGACAUGAUUCGGACAGACUGAAGCAUCGCUACAGGUGAGAAAGUCUCAUCGUAGUCAACUCCUUGAACUUGUCAAAAACCUUUCGCAACAAAUUGAGCUUUGUAAACAGUAACAUUACCGUCUGCGUCGGUCUUCUUCUUAAAAUCCAUUUAUUUUCUAUGGCUUGCCGAUCAUCGGGCAAGUGUACCAAUGUCCACAGUUUGUUCUCAUACAUGGAUCCCAUCUUAGAUUUCAUGGCCUCAAGCCAUUUCACGGAAUCUGGGCUCAUCAUCGCUUCCUCAUAGUUCGUAGGUUCAUCAUGGUCUAGUAACAUGACUUCCAGAACAAGAUUACUGUACCACUCUGGUGCAGAUCUUACUCUGGAAGACCUACGAGGUUUGGUAGUAACUUGAUCUGAAGCUUCAUGACCAUCAUCAUUAGCUUUCUCACUAUUUGGUGUAGGAAUCACAUGAACUGAUUUCUGCGAUGAACUACCUUCCAAUAAGGGAGCAAGUACAGUUACCUCAUCAAGUUGUACUUUCCUCCCACUCACUUCUUUUGAGAGAAACUCCUCCUCUAUAAAGGAUCCAUUCUUAGCAACAAAGAUUUUGCCUUCGGAUCUGUGAUAGAAGGUGUACCCAACAGUUUCCUCUGGGUAUCCUAUGAAGACGCACUUCUCCAAUUUGGGUUUGAGCUUAUCAGGUUGAAGCUUUUUCACAUAAGCAUCGCAGCCCCAAACUUUAAGAAAUGACAACUUUGGUUUCUUGCCAAACCACAGUUCAUAAGGCGUCGUCUCAACGGAUUUAGAUGGUGCCCUAUUUAAAGUGAAUGCAUCCGUUUCUAAAGCAUAACCCCAAAACGAUAGCGGUAAAUCAGUAAGAGACAUCAUAGAUCGCACCAUAUCUACUAAAGUAUGGUUACAACGUUCGGACACACCAUUUCGCUGUGGUGUUCUAGGUGGCGUUAAUUGUGAAACUAUCCCAUGUUGUUUCAAAUGAAGACCAAACUCGUAACUCAAAUAUUCUCCUCCAUGAUCAGAUCGUAGAAACUUUAUUUUCUUGUUAUGAUGAUUUUCCGCUUCACUCUGAAAUUCUUUGAGCUUUUCAAAUGUUUCAGUCUUAUGCUUCAUUAAGUAGAUAUAACCAUAUCUGCUUAAAUCCUCUGUGAAGGUAAGAAAAUAACGAUACCCACCACGAGCAUCAAUACUCAUUGGACCGCAUACAUUGGUAUGUAUUAUUUCCAACAAGUCAGUAGCUCGUUCCAUUGUUCCGGAGAACGGACUUUUAGUCAUCUUGCCCAUAAGGCACGGUUUGCAAGCACCAAGUGAUUCAUAAUCAAGUGAUUCCAAAAGUCCAUCAGUAUGGAGUUUCUUCAUGCGCUUUACACCGAUAUGACCCAAAUGGCAGUGCCACAAAUAAGUUGCACUAUCAUUAUUAAACUUCAAUCUUUUGGCUUCAACACUAUGAAUAUGUGUAUCACUACUAUCGAGAUUCAACAAAAAUAGACCACUCAGCUGGGGUGCAUGACCAUAAAAGAUAUUACUCAUAUAAAUAGAACAACCAUUAUUCUCUGAUUUAAAUGAAUAACCAUCUCGCAUCAAACAAGAUCCAGAUGUAAUGUUCAUGCUCAAAGCUGGCACCAAAUAACAAUUAUUCAGGUCUAAAACUAAUCCCAAUGGUAGAUGUAGAGGUAGCGUGCCGACCGUGAUCACAUCGACUUUGGAACCAUUCCCCACACGCAUCGUUACCUCAUCCUUAGCCAAUCUUCGCUUAAUCCGUAGCGAGUUGCAAAUAUGAGCAACAAAACCAGUAUCAAAUACCCAGGCGCUACUGCGAGCAUUAGUUAAGUACACAUCAAUAACAUGUGUAUCAAAUAUACCUUUCUCUUCGCCAUCCUUCUUAUCCGCUAGAUACUUGGGGCGGUUCCGCUUCCAAUGACCAGUCCCUUUGUAGUAGAAGCACUCAGUUUCAGGCUUAGGUCCAACUUGGGUUUCUUCUCUUGAGCAACAACCUUUUUGCCGUUCUUCUUGAAGUUCCCUUUCUUCCCUUUGCCCCUUUUCUUUAAACUAGUGGUCUUAUUAACCAUCAACACUUGAUGCUCCUUUUUUAUUUCUACCUCCGCGGCCUUUAGCAUCGCGAAGAGCUCGGGAAUAGUCUUUUCCAUCCAUUGCAUAUUAUAGUUCAUCAUGAAGCCUUUAUAGCUUGGUGGCAGUGAUUGAAGAACUCUAUCAAUGACACAAUCAACUGGAAGAUCAACUCCCAGCUGAGUCAAGUGAUUAUGAUACCCAGACAUUUUGAGUAUGUGUUCACUGACAGAACUAUUCUCCUCCAUUUUGCAGUUGUAGAACUUGUUGGAGACUUCAUAUCACUCAACUCGGGCAUUUGCUUGAAAUAUUAACUUCAACUCUUGGAACAUCACAUAUGCUCCAUGACGUUCAAAACGUCUUUGAAGUCUCGAUUCUAAGCCGUAAACCAUGGCACACUGAACUAUCGAGUAGUCAUCAACUUUGCUCUGCCAGACGUUCUUAAUGUCAUUAGUAGCUUUUGCAGCAGGCCUGGCACCUAGCGGUGCUUAUAAGACGUAAUUCUUCUGUGUAGCAAUGAGGAUAAUCCUCAAGUUACGGACCCAGUCCGUGUAGUUGCUGCCAUCAUCUUUCAACUUAGCUUUCUCUAGGAACGCAUUAAAAUUCAAAGGAACGGUAGCACGGGCCAUUGAUCUACAACAACGUAGACAUGCAAAAUACUAUCAGGUACUAAGUUCAUGAUAAAUUAAAGUUCAAUUAAUCAUAUUUUAAGAACUCCCACUUAGAUAGACAUCCCUCUAAUCAUCUAAGUGAUCACAUGAUCCAAAUCAACUAAACCAUGUCCGAUCAUCACGUGACAUGGAGUAGUUUUCAAUGGUGAACAUCACUAUGUUGAUCAUAUCUACUAUAUGAUUCACGCUCGAUCUUUCGGUCUUAGUGUUCCGAGGCCAUAUCUGCAUAUGCUAGGCUCGACAAGUUUAACCUGAGUAUUCUGUGUGUGCAAAACUGGCUUGCACCUGUUGUAUGUGAACGUAGAGCUUAUCACACCCGAUAAUCAUGUGGUGUCUCGGCACGACAAACUAUAGCAACGGUGCAUACUCAGGGAGAACACUUGUACCUUGAAAUUGAGUAAGGGAUCAUCUUAUAAUGCUACCAACGUUCUAAGCAAAAUAAGAUGCAUAAAGGAUAAACAUCACAUGCAAUCAAAAUAUGUGACAUGAUAUGGCCAUCAUCAUCUUGUGCUCAUGAUCUCCAUCACCGAAGCAUCGUCAUGAUCUCCAACGUCACCGGUGCAACACCUUGAUCUCCAUCGUAGAUCCGUUGUCAUCUCGCCACCUAUUGUUACUACGACUACCGCUACCGCUUAGUGAUAAAAUAAAACAAUUACAUGACGAUUGCAUUGCAUAAAAUAAAGCGACAACCAUAUGGCUCCUGCCAGUUGCCGAUAACUUUGUUACAAAACAUGAUCAUCUCAUACAACAAUUUAUAUCACAUCAUGCUUGACCAUAUCACAUCACAACAAGCCCUGCAAAAACAAGUUAGACGUCCUCUACUUUGUUGUUGCAAGUUUUACGUGGCUGCUACGGGCUUCUAGCAAGAACCGUUCUUACCUACGCAUCAAAACCACAAAGAUUUUUCGUCAAGAUUGCUGUUUUAACCUUCAACAACGACCGAGCGUAGCCACACUCGAUUCAACUAAAGUUAGAGAAACAGACACUCACCAGCCACCUAUGUGCAAAGCACGUCGGUAGAACCAGUCUCGUGUAAGCGUACGCGUAAUGUCGGUCUGAGCCGCUUCAUACAACAAUACCGUCGAAUCAAAGUAUGACAUGCUGGUAAGCAGUAUGACUAUUAUCGCCCACAACUCUUUGUGUUCUACUCGUGCAUAUAACAUCUACACAUAGACCUGGCUUUGAUACCACUGUUGGGGAAUGCGGUAAUUUCAAAAAAAUUCCUACGAUCACGCAAGAUCUAUCUAUGUGAUGCAUAGCAAUGAGAGGGGAGAGUGUUUUCACAUACCCUCGUAGACCGAAAGCGGAAGUGUUAUGACAACGCAGUUGAUGUAUUUAUAUGUCUUCAUGAUUCGACCGAUCUUAGCACCGAACGUACGGCACCUCCACGAUCAACACACGUUCAGCUCGGGGACGUCCUUCGUACUCUUGAUCCAGUUGAGGCCGAGGGAGAGUUUUGUCAGCACGACGGCAUGGUGACGGUGAUGAUGAAGUUACUGGCGCAGGGCUUCGCCUAAGCACUGCAACAAUAUGACCGAGGUGUGUAACUAUGGAGGGGGCACCGCACACGGCUAAACAAUGUCAACUUCUGCGUUCUAGGGUGCCCCUGCCCCCGUAUAUAAAGGAGCAAGGGGGAGGCCGGCCGGCCCUUGGGGCGCGCCAAGGAGGGGAAGAGUCCUCCUCCUAGUAGGAGUAGGACUCCUGCUUUCCUAGUCCAACUAGGAGGGGGAAGGGGGAAGGAAGGAGAGGGAGAGGGAGAGGGAAAGAGGGGCCGCGCCCCCUUCCCCUAGUCCAAUUCGGACUCCCCUUGGGGGGGGGGGCGUGUGUGAAAGUGCAACUAUCCCUAGGUGGUUUUGGUAAUUCAUUACAACAUGUAGCUCAUUGAGCUAAUGCUAUUCCAAGACUAUUAUUUCAGGAAAGCUCAAUGAAUGGCAUGGCAUGGAUGAUGAAAGUGGAUCCCUCAAAAUACUAAGGACAAAGGAUUGACUCAAGCUCAAAAGCUCAAGACUCUUCAUUUUACAUUUUACUGAUCCAAGAUCACAUUGAGUCUAUAGGAAAAGCCAAUACGAUCAAGGAGGGAUGAGGUGUUGCUUAAUGAGCCUCUUGCUUCAUGUGCUUAGUGAUAUGCUCCAAAACCCUCAGCUACUUUCUCACAUCCACAAAUGACCUAAACCCAAAGUCAAAAUCGGUCACACCGAUUCUUCCAACCCGGAGCCACCGAUUUCAAAUGUCAUAGCCACUGCCACAAACCCUAAGCAAAUCGGUCCUACUGAUAGGGAUCUCGGUCUCACCGAGAUGGGUUGUAAUCUCUCUGUUUCCCUUUGUAACAUUUCGAUCUAACCGAAGUGAGCGAUCGGUCCCACCGAGAUUGCAAUGUAAACUCUCUGUUUCCCUUUUGUAACAUUUCGGUCUCACCGAAAAGAGCAAAUCGGUCCCACCGAGUUUACCUGACCAACUCUCUGGAAAGCUUAUUACCAAAAUCGGUCUCACCAAGUUUGUCUAAUCGGUCUUACUAAGAUUACGUUAUGCCCUAACCCUAACCGAAUCGGUCUCACCGAGUUGCAUGUCAGUCCCACCGAACAUCACUAACGGUCACUAGGUUUACUAAAUCGGCCUGACCGAGUCUAUUGAAUCGGUCCCAUCGAGUUUGGUAAAUUGUGUGUAACGGUUAGAUUUUGUGUGGAGGCUAUAUAUACCCCUCCACCUCCUCUUCAUUCGUGGAGAGAGCCAUCAGACUAAACCUACACUUCCAACUUACCAUUUCUGAGAGAGAACCACCUACUCAUGUGUUGAGGCCAAGAUAUUCCAUUCCUACCAUAUGAAUCUUGAUCUCUAGCCUUUCCCAAGUUGCUUUCCACUCAAACCCUCUUCCCACCAGAUCCAAAUCCUAUGAGAGAGAGUUGAGUGUUGGGGAGACUAUCAUUUGAAGCAUAAGAGCAAGGAGUUCAUCAUCAACGCACCAUUUGUUACUUCUUGGAGAGUGGUGUCUCCUAGAUUGGCUAGGUGUCACUUGGGAGCCUCCGACAAGAUUGUGGAGUUGAACCAAGGAGUUUGUAAGGGCAAGGAGAUCGCCUACUUCGUGAAGAUCUACCGCUAGUGAGGUAAGUCCUUCGUGGGCGACGGCCAUGGUGGGAUAGACAAGGUUGCUUCUUCGUGGACCCUUCGUGGGUGGAGCCCUCCGUGGACUCGUGCAACCAUUACCCUUCGUGGGUUGAAGUCUCCAUCAACGUGGAUGUACGAUAGCACCACCUAUCGGAACCACGCCAAAAACAUCCAUGUCUCCAAUUGCGUUUGAAUCCUCCAAACCCUUCCCAUUACUUUCUUGCAAGUUGCAUGCUUUAAUUUCCGCUGCCUAUAUACUCUUUGCAUGCUUGCUUGAAUAGUGUGAUGAUUGCUUAACUUGUCCUAAGAUAGCUAAAAUCUGCAAAACUCUAAAAUUGGGAAAAGGUUGAGUUUUAAUUGGUCAAGUAGUCUAAUCACCCCCCUCUAGACAUACUUCAAGGUCCUACAAGUGGUAUCAGAGCUUUGGUCUCCAUUUGCUUUGAUUUCCAUAGCUUUUGAUGGUCAUAGCCUUGGUUUCACAACCUAGGAGAGUAUGGCGUCUAGCGAGGGAAAUUAUCACCGUAGAGGUCCUUACUUUGAUGGUACUAAUUUUGCUAGUUGGAAGCAUAAGAUGAAAAUGCAUAUUCUCGGACAUAACCCCGCCGUUUGGGCAAUUAUUUGUAUUAGCUUGCAAGGUGAAUUCUUUGAUGGGAGAGAGCUGAACCGUGAAGCUAAUGCGGAAGAAUUGAAGAUGCUGCAAUACAAUGCUCAAGCUUGUGAUAUCAUCUUCAACGGAUUGUGCCCCGAAGAAUUCAACAAAAUCAGUCAUCUUGAGAAUGCAAAGGAAAUUUGGGAUACUUUGAUUGAUAUGCACGAAGGUACUGAAUCCGUCAAGGAAUCCAAGUUGGAUGUGCUCCAAAGUCAGCUUGACAAGUUCAAAAUGAAGGAUGGUGAAGCUGUUGCUGAAAUGUACUCUAGGCUUGCACUUAUCACAAAUGAGAUUGCCGGCUUAGGGAGUGAAGAGAUGACCGACAGAUUCAUCAUCAAGAAGAUCCUAAGAGCAUUGGAUGGAAAGUAUGAUACCGUGUGAACAUUGAUCCAAAUGAUGCCAAACUACAAAGAUCUCAAGCCAACGGAAGUCAUUGGAAAAAUUGUUGCUCAUGAGAUGUCACUCAAGGAUAAGGAGGAACUUCACAACAAGUCAAGUGGUGCCUACAAAGCCUCAAGUGAAGCCCCCACAUCAUCAAGUGAGAAACAAACCUUCAAUGAAGAAUUGAGCUUAAUGGUGAAGAACUUCAACAAAUUCUACAAGAGCAGAAGCAAAGAAAGAAGCUCCAAGUCAAGGUCUUAUCAUGACAAAAGAUCUUCUAGUCGAGAGCGCAAUUGCUACAAUUGUGGAAGGCCUGGACACUACUCCAAUGAGUGUACGACACCCUACAAAAGAAGAGAAGAUUCUCCAAAAAGAAGAAGCAAAAGAGAAGAAUCACCACCAAGAGAGAGGAGGAGUAGAGAUGAUCGUUAUGAACGAAGACCCUCACGGAGAAGCAAGGAUUCGGAAAGGAAGGACAAGUCAUCAAGGAGCUACACAAAACAAAGACAUCAAGCUCAUGUUGGUGAAUGGGUAUCUGGCUCCGACUCCGACCAUCACUCCGAGAGAAGCUAUCACUCCGACUCCGAAUAUACUCAAGAUGAAGGUGUUGCCGGUCUAGCACUUGUGUCAACCAACUCCUAUGACAUAUUCGAUUCACCAAAUGAAGGAAUUGGAAGAUGCUUCAUGGCCAAAGGUCCAAAGGUAACACAUCCUGAGUAUGUUGAUUUCAAUAGUGAUGAAGAUGACUUGCUUGUGGAUGAUGAUUUACUUGUUGACAACUCUAGUGAUGAAUACUAUGAUGAAACUUCAAUUAAUCAUGCUAAUCAAACGAAUGACAAUGAUAAGGAGAAAAUUGAGCUUUUAACUAAAGAACUAAACACUUAAGGCUCAUGAAACUAUCUUUGAAGAUCAUCGAGAACUUUUAAGGGCUCAUGAGAAGUUACGCUUUGAAAAGCUCAAUCUUGAGCAAGAGCAUGAGUUCUUAAAAGCAAUCAAUGAUGAUCUCCAUUAGAAAAGUUCUUCUUACAUUGCCAAGCGUUUACUCCUAUCUACUUACAUGCCUCAAGUCAAGUCUAGUAACAAGUACAAGAAAGAUACUUCCUCUAGUAGUAACAAUAAUAAUGUCAAAUCCAAUAUUGUUCCUUCUAGUAGUUCUCUUAAUUCCACUAAUGAUUCUCUUAGCCAAGUUACACUUGAGCAAUAAAAUAGCUUAUUGAAGGGAAUUAUAGAGAAAGGUGUUUACAAGAGCCUUGCCGGGAGUAAGCAAUUCGAGGAAAUUGUACGCAAGCAAGGAAGACACCGGAAGAAUCAAGGUGUUGGUUUUGAACGAAAGUUCAAUGCCAAUGGAGUUGAGUGGGAAGAAGAUCAAUACCCCAAGACGAAGUUUGUUCCGCAACAAGAGAAGUAUGAUCAUACUUCCUUCAACGGAACACAAGCUCAAGAUGAUCUUCCACCACAAGACCACAAGAACAAAGGCAAGGACAAGCUUCAAGAAGAGAUUGAUGCAUUUGAAGAAGCACCUAAGGUCUCGGUCAAGUGGAUUCCCAAGACUACGUCAAGUUCUACUUCAUCAAGUACAACUACAAGUCCAAGGAUUCCCAUCAAGAUGAUGUGGAUCCCGAAGAAGAAGAACUAGAGAGUUCUUGAGGGUGACUCCGCCAACAUUCUUCACUCAUAUCAUUAUGGCAAUGACAAGUGCAAUCAACUUCCACAUCUUGCACUAGUUCAAGGAGUCACAAACCCUCAUGUUGGUAAGGCAAGGGACAAGGUAACCUUAUGUUUUCAUGGACACCAUCUUGUGUGUGCAUCACUCUGUGUCUUUGGAUAUUCUUGUUUGUUCCUUGUGGGACUAACCCAUGUAGGCAAGUUGAAAGUGCAACUCACUCCAAAGGAUUGCUCCAAAUGGUCUACAUCAACAUUGAGCAUCCACAUCUUCAACACCUACAUGAAGUCAUCAUCGACAAAACCCAAGGUUAGUUCAUCCCUCUAAAAGGGGAUCUCACAUCUAGGGGGAGCUUAACUCUAAGAAUUGAGUCAAAGCAACUCUAAUGGUGUGAACACAUCAAUGCAUUAUGUAAAAGUGGUAACCCCACUUGAGCUUAAACGAUGAGUAUGACCUAUGAUCAAAUGUUUAUUAUUUGACUCCUAAGUCAAUAUACUCAUAUAUAGAUGACCUAGUCAUCGCCAAUUGUUUGAUAGAUGCUAGAAUUGCUUGUGCAUGCUUAGCCACAUAUUUCAUUUGCUAUCUUAUUGUGUGAGCAUGUUGGUGCAUAUUUUACUCAUUCAAGGACAUCCACUUGUUGAUUUGAUUGUUUGGUUCUUUCUUCUUUUGGCCAAGUGGAUGGACAAGAAUGCCUAAGAACUUUCUCUAGCUAUCUAUGCUUUUCUCGUCUCAAACUCUAUUCAUGCUACAUCACAAAAUUUGAUCAAGUCAGAUUUGAACCACUCUGUGUGAGGAGCACUCAGAGUCCCCGAUUCGUCAUAGACUUAAACUUCCAAAACUUCUUUGUGAUUCUCGGUCUGACCGAUUCUUCCAUUUCGGUCCCACCGAGAUCACUAAGUUGAUCUAGGUUUUCAAUCUCGGUGCAACCGAUUUGAACUUUUCGGUCACACCGAGUUGCUGUAACUGAACACAGUUAUGCAUCUCGGUGCCACCGAGUUGUUCCACUCGGUCACACCGACAGGGUCGGGCUAUAUAUAGUCACGGGCAAAAAUUUGGAAAUUCUCCGAACCCCUUCGCCCGCGCAAUAGCUCGCUCUGCCUCCAAGGUCUCCGGAUCGUCUCCUCGUCGCCAGCCGCCUCCUGUCGCUGGUCUCCGCAGUCGUCAACGGAAUUCAACCCCGCCGUUGCCGCCGUAGCAAGUUCAUCGCCGAACUAGGGUAUGGACUCGAUCACAGUGCAAUCCAAUCCAGUCCAAUCCUCGUCCGAUUCCUAGCACAUUGUGUUCUUAUUGAUUCUUGCCAUGAUUGAAACACUCCAAUCCAGUCAAUGCAAUCCGUAGAUUAGAUGAGAUAUGAAAAUUUAGGGUUAGGUUUCCGCCGAAACCAUCUCGGACCCACCGAGUUGAAAAACUCGGUCCCACCGAUUUGGCUUAUGCCAUUGCACUAGUGACUCUCGGUCUGACCAGGAAUUGCUAAUUGGUGCGACCGAUUUUAGAACUUUGUGAAACCCUAGCAGUCUCGGUGCCACCGAACUGUGACUCGGUCCAACCGAGUUCAUCAGUUUAGGUUCCAAAACUGCUUCGAUAUCACUGAGUUUGAAAAUCGGUUGAUCCGAAAUGCUUUCUGUGGAAAACUGAAACUGAAUUUUUGAAUCAUUCUUUUGCAAAAAUCUUUGCAUUUUGUGAUGCUCAUCCACUCCAUCUCAUCUAUAACUCUUCACAGGGUCAGCAGUCAGUGUUUGCAGCAUGUCAGACCAGAGUGACAGCCAGAACAGGUCAGCAGAGCAGAUUCACAUGAGUGAGGGCACUAGUCCCUCCAGCACUUCAGAUGAAGGCAGCAAAAGUACUCCUAGCAACCUGCCUAAGGCUUCUACCAGGCAAGGGAAGAAGAGAACUUCAGACUCUGAAGAUGAGGACUAUAGAGCUGAAGAGGAUGAGGCUACCUCCAAGAAGGUAGUGCUCAAAAAGGAGUAUGGCCCAGCAAAGGAUACAAAGCCAGGCAUCAAGAUUAAAAGGCCUGCAGGAAGACAACCAAUGUCCAAGACUAGAGCAUCAACUCAACUGCCUAAAAAGCCUGAUCCCAAAGAGCCAGCUGCUGAAGGAAAGAAAAGGAAGGAAAGGGUCAACAAGACCAUGGCCAGAGUUGUUGGUCAACCUUCCAUGAUGGAAGAAGAAGAACUUGCUGCACCAGCACCAAAGGCACCAAAGCUUAUGGGAGAUGCCAUGAGAUCAGGGGCUGCAACAUCUAUGCCCAAGGAAGCACCCAAAGCUACCUCCAAGGCCAAGACUGCACCAAAGAGGAAUACCAGGAAUAUUCCAGCUGCUGAGAAGAACAAGGCCCCAGUGCAUGAGGUUGCUGAGGAAGAAGAUGAAGAAGGACAAGUUCUGAGGAAGCUCAAGCCUAAGAUACCAGACCACAAUGAUUCCCAUCUUGUGGCUGAGGACAUGAACAUCAGAAAAGACUCGGGAUUGAGGCUAUGGAGGAUGGCAGAUCCAUAUGCCACAAGGAGAAGGACUGCUGUUGAUUACAGGUUCCAUACAAAGGAACAACAGGACUUCUAUGAGACAAUUUUGUUGGAUAAGAAGCCUAUAGUUUGUGAUAUGAGGUGGGUCGACUGGAUCUGCAUAAAGGAAAAUGAAGAGCACUAUCCUGGAGUGCAAGACAACUUUGUUGCUUGUGGAGUUGCAGAUUUUGUUGGGCAAAAGCUCACGAACUGGAAUGAUGAACUUAUCAUGCAAUUCUACUCCACAUCACACUUCUAUCCAGAUGGGAGGAUAGUUUGGAUGUCUGAAGGUACAAGGUACCAGUCAACUGUUGAGGAGUGGGCAAAACUGAUAAAUUCCCCAAAGGAAAUGAUGAUGACCUGGAUGUAUAUGCCAAGAUCCUAAGGUACACUCUAUUGCCUAAGUCUGGUUACCACAACAUGAUCAGAGGGCAUGCAAUCAAUAUGUUGCAUUUAUUUGAUGUGCCACAAAAAUUCAAGGUCAUGAGCCUUAUAGUUGAAACCAUUAAGAGGACUGCAGCAGACCAGAAGAGGAGAUGUGGAUAUGCCCCCCAGAUUCAGGAGUUGAUUAACUCAAAGAUGGGCACAUGCAAAUAUCUAUUGGAUAGGGAACAUUUUCCACUCUAUCCAGCUUUUGAGGACAAUGAGGUUGUCAUGAAUGAGGAUGAUCCAUCAUCAGUUCAAGCUCAAGAGAAGAAGGAGAAGGCAAGGAAGGAGAAGGCUGCCAAGAUGCCAACUCAAGAGGAGGCAUCUGAGUACUUCUUGAAGAACAAGCAGGAGCAGCUUGGUUACUUGAUAGCAUCAUCUCUGAGGAUUGAGAAGGGAUUGGCCACCCUCACUCAAAAUCAGGAGAGCCUGGAGAGAAUCAUGGAACUCAAAUUUCAUGAUCUUGAUGUCAAGGUAACUGAGAUUCAGACAGUUGUGGAUCAACUGCAGGAUGACACGCAGGAGAGGAAGGGCAAGACUACCACUAAUGUCUUUGCCAGAGUGCCUAGAGCUUAGAGGUUAGCUGUUGUGCCCGUGCUAGACACCAGAGCAACAUCAUCUGCACCAGCUACAGCUCCUACAGUUCCAGUGCAACCAGCUCCAGCAUCAACUCUAGCACCCUCUACAUCAACUGAAGCCUUCGUCCAAGGAGCCAUCUCUACACCACCAACUGAAGAUCAAGCCUGAAAGUCGAUCUAGCACUAUGCAUUUUCUAUGAACUUUUUCGUAACUUGUUGCCAAAGGGGGAGAAAAAUGUAUAGAUCAUAGGCUUCGAGAGAGAGAGUGUUGCUUUUAUUCUCUCUUGCUUUGGUGGUUCAAACUUGUUUGCUUUUGAUUGCUUGAGAUAUUAUGCUAUUCUUGUGAGACAUUGAUGAUCAUGUGUUUGAUCAUAAGCUACACUCAUGCAUGUUUGAUGAUAUUAUCUUAUCUAUCCUAUGUGAUCAUUCACUUUGCUUGGUGAUGAGUGCAUGUAUUCAAUAUUUUCCUUUUGAGCGCUGCACCAAGAUGUAUGUGACAUGGAAGAGUAAGCCAUGAGCCUAAUUCCUUGUGCAUUUCCAGUCCAAAGCAAAUUUUAAACUAUGCACAAAUUUAGGGGGAGCUCUUGCUUAUCACAUACUUCUCAAAGCAACGAUGUUUUUACUCUUAUUAUCAUUUGUCGAAGCUUUGAUCUAUAGGUUGUCAUCAAUUACCAAAAAGGGGGAGAUUGAAAGUGCAACUAUCCCUAGGUGGUUUUGGUAAUUCAUAAGAACAUGUAGCUCAUUGAGCUAAUGCUAUUCCAAGACUAUUAUUUCAGGAAAGCUCAAUGAAUGGCAUGGCAUGGAUGAUGAAAGUGGAUCCCUCAAAAUACUAAGGACAAAGGAUUGGCUCAAGCUCAAAAGCUCAAGACUCUUCAUUUUACAUUUUAGUGAUCCAAGAUCACAUUGAGUCUAUAGGAAAAGCCAAUACUAUCAAGGAGGGAUGAGGUGUUGCUUAAUGAGCCUCUUGCUUCAUGUGCUUAGUGAUAUGCUCCAAAACCCUCAGCUACUUUCUCACAUCCACAAAUGACCUAAACCCAAAGUCAAAAUCGGUCACACCGAUUCUUCCAACCCAGAGCCACCGAUUUCAAAUGUCAUAGCCACUGCCACAAACCCUAAGCAAAUCGGUCCUACCGAUAGGGAUCUCGGUCUCACCGAGAUGGGAUUGUAAUCUCUCUGUUUCCCUUCGUAACAUUUUGGUCUAACCGAAGUGAGCGAUCGGUCCCACCGAGAUUGCAAUGUAAACUCUCUGUUUCCCUUUUGUAACAUUUCGGUCUCACCGAAAAGAGCAAAUCGGUCCCACCGAGUUUACCUGACCAACUCUCUGGAAAGCUUAUUACCAAAAUCGGUCUCACCGAGUUUGUGUAAUCGGUAUUACCGAGAUUAGGUUAUGCCCUAACCCUAACCGAAUCGGUCUCACCGAGUUGCAUGUCGGUCCCACCGAAAAUCACUAAUGGUCACAAGGUUUACUAAAUCGGUCUGACCGAGUCUGUUGAAUCGGUCCCACCGAGUUUGGUAAAUUGUGUGUAACGGUUAGAUCUUGUGUGGAGGCUAUUGUCGGUGUCAAAACCGGCGGAUCUCGGGUAGGGGGUCCCGAACUGUGCGUCUAGGCGGAUGGUAACAGGAGACAAGGGACACGAUGUUUUACCCAGGUUCGGGCCCUCUUGAUGGAGGUAAAACCCUACGUCUUGCUUGAUUAAUAUUGAUGAUGUGUGUUACAAGAGUAGAUCUACCACGAGAUCAAGGAGGCUAAACCCUAGAAGCUAGCCUAUGGUAUGAUUGUUGUUCGUCCUACGGACUAAAGCCAUCCGGUUUAUAUAGACACCGGAGAGGGCUAGGGUUACACAGAGUCGGUUACAAUGGUAGGAGAUCUAUAUAUCCGUAUCGCCAAGCUUGCCUUCCACGCCAAGGAAAGUCCCAUCCGGACACGGGACGAAGUCUUCAAUCUUGUAUCUUCAUAGUCUUGGAGUUCGGCCGAUGAUGAUAGUUCGGCUAUACGGACACCCCCUAGUCCAGGACUCCCUCAGUAGCCCCCGAACCAGGCUUCAAUGACGACGAGUCCGGUGCGUAUAUUGUCUUCGGCGUUGCAAGGCGGGUUCUCCUUCAAACUUCAUGUUCGUGUCGAAUAGUGUCCGGCUUCCUUAUAAAUGUUGCGCUCCUUAGCUUCUACGCCCAAUAAUGGCCUUCUUCCACGUGUCGUAUGAAUGCGAAAAGCUAGGGUAUUUUUACAUUUUUUUCCCUAGCCGUGCGAGCGAGCCGCCUAUAAGAGAGGCGAGGAUCUAGAUCCAACUCACACCAUCCUCCUUCCGCAAGUACUCAUCGAAGCGCCUCUGACAAAAAUCCAUUCUAUCAUGGAUAGUCGAUGCGGCUCCUCCUCUCGCGCUCCCAGCCCUAAGCCAGGAGAUUGGGGGAGAUGCUCAAUUCCACAUAGCGAGCUAGUGGCGCUCCAAACCGAGGGAUAUCUUCCCAAAGCCUUCAUGGUUCCGGUUCGAGCCGGACUGGCCACCUUCAGGGGUGGAAAGCAGGCGAAGAGCAUCCCCAACCCUUCCAAAGGAGAGCGGGUAUGCUUCGUCCCUUAUCUAAUAAGGGGACUCGGAUUUCCCAUACAUCCGUUUCUCCGGGGGCUCCUGGAGUUCUACGGACUCCAGCUUCACCACCUUACACCUGCCUCCAUUUUGCACAUCGCGGGCUUUGUAGCUCUUUGCGAGCUGUUCUUGGGCAUCGAGCCCCUUUUUCCGAUGUGGAAGAGAUUGUUUUGCCUCGUACCCCAUUCUCACGAGGGGUCGAUAUAUCAAGUGGGCGGAGCCGAAAUAUGGCGCAUCACCGGGACCGGAUAUCUAUCCGGCACCCCGAAGAAGGCGUCUGAAGACUGGCCUUCGGAAUGGUUCUACAUGGAGGACGCCCCUCUGCCGGAUCCAGUUCGGAUCGGCCUCCCGGAGUUCAGCAAUGCUCCCUUGAAGAAACGCCUGAGUUGGCGCCCGCGGAGCCCUCAACGGGAGGAUGAUGGGAGCAUCCAUUAUCUGAUGGGCCGGAUUAGGUUACUGGGCCACUCCGGAUUGACCAUGAUUGGAAUCAUGGCCACGUGCAUUAUGCGAGGGGUGCAGCCGCUCCAAUAUAGGGGCCACCCUAUGUGGGAUUUCAACGGGGAAGAUGACGCCACCCGUCAUGGCCGCAGAGGGCCGGGCUCGGCUGCCGAUCUGGUAAAGAUCCUGUCUGGCUUGUACAAGGGGGAGGAGGAGGACUUCCUCCGCACGAGUCCAUUGAAUGGAUUCUCCAUGAAUAACCCUCGGAGCUGGGUAAGCAGACGUUCAUCUAUCCGAUCCAUAUUUCCAAAGUCAAGUAUCUUACUUUGUGAUUUCGACGCAGGAGCUGUGCCGGGACGUGGAGGGCAUUCAAAGCCUAACUCCACAGCCCGAGGAUCCGGAACGAUCCCUGGAUCCGGACUCCAAAGAGGAUCUGGACAUAAAGGUGGAGCUGAUUGAUGGGGUGUUCCACCAACUUAGCAUGGACAAUGCUCUAGUCGCCAUUACGGCUGACUACCCCGGCUUAUCUCCGGCUUCUCAGGUAAUUAUGACCGGAGUUCUAAUACCAUUACUUCGUCCUUGCGUAUUCUUGAUCAACGUAUACUAACGGUGUCUUGCAGGAGGUGCCUUCAAGGUGAGAAGCCGAACCCGCGGCGGCUGACCAGCAAGGGUCAGUUCGGCCCAGCAGGCGGAAAAGGAGUGCGACACGAAUCGAAACGUCGCCGCAACGGUACGGCGCACCGCUGUUUUUAAGGGAAGGAUCCCUAGGAGGUAUAUUAAUGCUCAUAACCUUUCCAGGAGAAAGAGCGCUCGCCGGACAAUGUCCGGAGAGGUUGCUAAUCAAGCCUCCGCCAGCCAUGCUCCAACGCGUGGUCCGGAAGGGGAGGCGAACACAAGGCAUGAGCCGGAUGCUCCUCCAACGGAGGAUGCCGACAGGCUGUCCGCCACCCGGUCUGAGGUGGAGAGCACCAUGAAUCACAGGCGUCACCGGACAGUUCUUCGUGAUGCGUGUUUCUCCCCAGAGGCGUUGAAUGCGUUUGAUGCGGGAGACACGCACCUCUGUGCCACUCAAGAUGGUUUAACCAGAGCCACGGGGCAGUAUGUGAAGGACAUACGGGUAAGUAAUUUUAAUAGUUAUAUAUGCCAGUAGCCCCUGAGACUUAAAAUAGUUAAAAUAACUGAUUUAAGGAUCAUUUAUUAUGCAGGAUCUUACAGAGAAGAAUACCCACCUGUCCCAGGAGCUUCAAGAGUGCAAGGCCCAACUUGAGGCUGCACUGACCGCCGCAGGAGGAGACACAGAGACCCCCUCCGGUAACACAUAUUUGAAAAAUAUUUUAUGGCGUGCAGCGUGCGUAUAAAUCUGACAAUAAUAUUGCAGAUGUUGCCGGACUUGAUCCGGACAAGCAACAGCUACUGCGCCAGUUGAAGGCCGGCGAGAGGGUGCUUAUGAAGGUGCAGCAGGAGAGGAACAAACUCCAAGAUGCCCACACCCAGCUUGGAGAAGAGCUAAAAGGUGUUCGGGCCCAGCUGUCUGGCUCCUUGAAGGAGAAUCAGCAGCUUCGUUGCGGCAUCUAUAGUAAGUGCUUGAGCAAACUCUUUUGAAAAGAAGAGUUCGGCGAGGAAGUCGGUUGACAGAAAUAUGUCUGUAGGUGUGCUCACAGGUCGCCCUACGGAGGAAAUGCCCGGUUCAACGGGUGACCAACUUCCCGAGCUGGUGCAACUGCUCGAACGUGUUCGGUAGGCGAUGAGUGGCGUCGUUCAGGCCUUAUGGCCUUCCGUCUCCCUACCUGAGGGCCUUGGAGGGCUUGCUGAGAAGCUUCAGGGAGUACGGCGACGUCUCCAUCUGUGGAAGAUAUCGACCUGCCGUCAAGGCGCCAGGGAGGCCUGGGCCAUGGUGAAGACGCGGUACCCGAAGGCUGACCCAAACCACAUGGCCGAGGUCGGACCUGUGGGGCCUGAUGGGAAGGAGAUCCCUGUGAGCUUGAUAUAUGGCCAAGUAGAGCUGGCCGCGAAAUAUUCCCAACAGGACUGUAAAUUAGACAGCCUGUUAGAUGGGAUUGAAGAGGAGUACAAUCAGUCAGUUUGACGAUGUAAUUUUAAAAUGACAUAUAGAAUGCCUUCUAGCCGGAUUGUAGAUCGUUUGUCUUUGCGGACCUUUUCGCUUUAACCUCGGGACCCAACAGUCCGGAGUGUGUCCGAAUACCCUUACGGUUAUAAAAGAACCGGGGCGUGCAUGGAGACAAGGCGUAGGGGUCAUAAUUGCUUUAUCAGACAAGUGCCCAACUAGCUAUGUUAUAUUACAUGGUUAGUAAGAAACAUCUUCCAGGGAGAAUAGUUCCGUUAAGGGUUCCUUUCCCUGGGAGGCAUGCCCUAAACUGCAUGUCCGGACUGCGAAAAUAGCAGAAAAAGCAUCUGGGGGCAGAUAAAUAAGUAAGUAAUAAAUCAUCUUUCAGGUCACCGACCGAAUAUUCCCUUAAGAACGCUAGCCUUCGGCUUCACCCAGUCUGAGGUACACAUCCGGCUGACCCGGCAGUAACAAUCGCAGAGGUGCUCCCUUUACCUCCUAGCCGAACAAUUGGGAACGUAGGGGUAAGCACAGGAGCCAGGCAACCCGGCUUGGCCAAAACUUAAGUCAUAUCGAUGCAUAUAAUGGUGAUCAAAAGGUACAUGCGGAAGUAUGACACAUGUGUUGGGCAUGAAGCCCAUAAAAAUAAGCUUCUGUUAAAGAAGCCCCCAGGUAUAACGAGUGCGAGUAGCACAUCGAGUAAGUGCGAACAAAGCGCAGAUCAGCCCUCAAGGGGUUUGUACUGGAAGAGGGAGGAAAAAGGAGGGAAAACAAAGACAGCGAAAAUAAAAAUGAAAGGUGGGCGGAGGAAGGAGACGAACCCUGAGUCCGGCGCUAGGCGUAAAAUCUUCGGAGACGGGCUGCGUUCCAUGGGUUUGGCUCGAGUCGGUUGUCAGAUGCGUUGCGCAGACGGUAUGCACCGCUGGUAAAGACUUGGUCGAUGAUGAAGGGAUCUUCCCAUUUGGGCUUAAGUUUGUCCUUUUUCUUGUCCGGGAGGCAUAGAACUAGUUCGCCAACAUUGUAAGUUUUGGCCCGUACUUCUCUGCUUUGAUAUCUUCGAGCCUGCUGUUGAUAGAAUGCGGAACGGGAUUUUGCCACGUAGCGCUCCUCCUCCAAAGCGUCCAAACUGUCCUGCCGAUCCAGCUCGGCUUCCCUUUCCUCGUACAUGCGCACGCGAGGUGAGUCAUGAAUUAUAUCGCAGGGCAAAACUGCCUUAGCGCUGUAUACCAUAAAAAUGGUGUGAAUCCGGUUGUGCGGUUUGGCGUGGUCCGCAACCCCCAGAGUAUGGAGUGGAGCUCCUCUACCCAGUGCAUGUUAGAUUCCGUGAGGGACCGCACUAAUCUGGGUUUGAUGCCGCUCAUGAUUAGACCAUUUGCUCGUUCCACUUGACCAUUAGUUUGAGGGUGGUAGACUGAAGCGUAGUCGAGCUUGAUGCCCAUGUUUUUGCACCAGAGUUUAACCUCGUCAGCCGUGAAAUUUGUGCCGUUAUCAGUGAUGAUGCUGUGGGGGACGCCAAAACGGUGUACCACCCCGGAUAUGAAGUCUAUUACCGGUCCGGAUUCUGCCGUUUUAACCGGCUUGGCCUCUAUCCAUUUGGUGAAUUUGUCCACCAUGACCAAUAAGUAUUUGCUCUUGUGGGUUCCCCCUUUAAGGGGUCCAACCAUGUCAAGCCCCCAGACCGCGAACGGCCAAGUAAUGGGUAUAGUUUUGAGGGCAGUGGGUGGCAUGUGGCUCUGAUUAGCAAAGAGCCGGCAACCGACGCAUCGUUGGACUAAGUCCUGAGCAUCUGCCCGGGCGGUCGGCCAAUAAAAUCCUGUACGGGAGGCCUUGCCUACAAGGGCCCGGGCGGUGGCGUGGUGCCCGCCGAGUCCGGUGUGAAUUUCAGCCAGGAGAUUUCGCCCUUCCUCUUCGGAGAUACACCUUUGAAGGACUCCGGUUGUGCUUUUCUUAUAAAGUUCUCCCUCAUGGACCUUGUAGGCUUUAGAUCGCCGAACUAUGCAUCGGGCCUCAUUUUGGUCUUCUGAGAGUUCCUGCCUGAUUAAGUAGGCUAGGAAUGGUUCCGUCCACGGGGCAAUUACUGCCAGUAUUUCGUGGGCUGAAUCUGUUAUUUCAUUGGCUGAGCCACCGAUUGUGUCAGAAUGUUCUGCGUUAGGUGAUGCAGUUGGUUCCGGAUUGUUAUUUCCAGACUCCUCUUCCCAUAAUACGGAUGGCUUAAAGAGCCGCUCCAGGAAGAUGUUUGGAGGGACGGCGUCGCGUUUUGCGCCGAUGCGUGCCAACACGUCUGCUGCCUGGUUAUUAUCCCGGGCUACAUGGUGGAAUUCGAGUCUUUCGAACCGGGCUGACAUUUUUAGGACAGCGUUACGGUAGGCUGCCAUUUUCGGAUCCUUGGCGUCAAAGUCUCCAUUUACUUGGGAUAUUGCGAGGUUUGAAUCCCCGCGCACCUCUAGGCGUUGAAUACCCAUGGAGAUUGCCAUCCGGAGGCCAUGUAGGAGGGCCUCGUAUUCGGCUGUGUUGUUGGAGUCCGUGUACAUUAUUUGAAGCACGUAUUGGACUGUGUCUCCGGUUGGGGACGUCAAGACGACGCCAGCCCCCAAGCCAGCCAACAUUUUGGAGCCGUCAAAAUGCAUGAUCCAAUUGGAGUAUACGCCGUACUCUUUAGGGAGUUCGGCUUCAGUCCAUUCGGCGAUGAAGUCAGCCAGAACUUGCGACUUGAUAGCUCGCCGUGGUUUGAAGGUUAUAUCAAAUGGUAAGAGCUCAAUGGACCAUUUUGCAAUACUGCCUGUCGCAUUGCGAUUGUUUAUAAUGUCGUUGAGAGGUACUUCGGAGGCCACCGUUGUGGAAAACUCUUGAAAGUAGUGUCGCAGCUUCCGGGAUGCCAUGAACACCGCAUACGCUAUCUUUUGAUAGUGUGGGUACCGGGACUUGCAUGGGGUUAAGACAGUGGAUACGUAGUACACUGGUUUUUGGAGAGGGAAUUUGUGCCCUUCUAUUUCUCGUUCGACGACGAGUACCGCGCUGACAACUUGAUGUGUUGUUGCGAUAUAUAAUAACAUAGGUUCGCCCAGGUUGGGCAUGGCCAGGACCGGAUUUGUCGCCAGUAUGGCCUUGAUUUCUUCGAGUACGGCCGUGGCAGCAUCCGUCCAUUCGAAGUGUUCGGUGCAUCGGGGGAGGCGAUAGAGGGGCAGUGCCUUUUCUCCCAAACAGGAGAUGAAGCGGCUUAGAGCCGCUACGCAUCCAGUUAGUUUUUGUAUUUCCUUGAGGUCUUUUGGGAUAUCCAAUUGUGACAGAGCUCGGAUCUUGGCUGGGUUUGCUUCAAUUCCUCUACCGGAUACAAUGAAGCCCAAGAGCUUUCCAGCUGGUACUCCGAAGACACAUUUUUCCGGGUUGAGCUUAAUGUCAUAUGCUUGGAGGUUGUCGAAUGUCACCCUCAAGUCGUCUACUAGAGUUUCGACGUGUUUGGUCUUGACAACCACAUCAUCUACGUAUGCCUCUACUGUUUUGCCUAUCAGGGUAGCCAGACAUGUCUGAAUCAUGCGCUGAUAUGUUGCGCCGGCGUUUUUGAGUCCGAAGGGCAUUGUGUUGAAGCAAAAUGGCCCAUAUGGAGUAAUGAAUGCCGUUGCGGCCUGGUCUUUUUCCGCCAUCUUGAUUUGAUGGUAUCCGGAGUAUGCGUCAAGGAAGCACAAUGAAUCGUGCCCUGCGGUAGCAUCGAUGAUUUGGUCGAUGCGAGGGAGAGGGAAAGGGUCCUUUGGACAGGCCUUGUUAAGGUCUUUGAAAUCGACGCAAAGGCGCCAGGAUUUGUCCUUUUUUGGUACCAUUACUAGGUUGGCUAGCCAAUCCGGAUGUUUUAUAUCUCUGAUGAAUCCGGCUUCUAAGAGUUUGGCUAGCUCCUCUCCCAUUGCCUGUCUUUUGGGUUCGGAAAAUCGCCGAAGAGCUUGUUUGACUGGCUUGAAUCCUUUUAGGAUAUUUAGGCUGUGCUCUGCCAGCCUGCGUGGGAUUCCUGGCAUGUCUGAAGGGUGCCAGGCAAAAAUGUCCCAAUUUUCCCGAAGGAAUUCUCGUAGUGCGGCUUCUACAUCAGGAUUUAAUUGUACCCCAAUGGAGGCCGUCUUUGUGGGGUCCGUUGGAUGGACCUGGAAUUUGACUAUUUCGUCUGCUGGUUUAAAAGAGGUGGACUUGGACCUCUUAUCGAGUAUCACAUCGUCCCUAUCCACCGUGGAGCGCAGCGCAGUUAGUUCCUCUGCCGCUAGGGCUUCGGAUAAUGCCUCUAGGGCCUGUGCGGCUGUCUUAUUUUUAGCGCGGAGUGCUGUAUCUGGAUCACUGGCGAGAGUGAGUAUUCCAUUGGGUCCGGGCAUUUUGAGCUUCAUAUACCCGUAAUGGGGUAUAGCUUGGAAGAUUGUGAAUGCCUCUCGCCCUAACAAGGCAUGAGAUCCGCUACCGAAUGGGGCCACUUGGAACGUGACCUCUUCGGACCUGUAAUUGUCCGGCGAGCCGAACACUACAUCUAGUGUGAUUUUUCCUGUGCAGCGUACUUUGCGACUAGGGAUUAUUCCCCUGAAGGUUGUGCUGCUUCACUUAAUGCGGCUCCAGUCAAUUUCCAUUUUUUGAAGGGUUUAUUCGUAGAUGAGGUUUAAUCCGCUGCCGCCAUCCAUGAGUACCUUGGUAAGACGAAAGCCGUCCACUAUCGGACUGAGGACCAAUGCGGCUGGUGCUCUAGCUGUUCGGAAUUUAGGUUUGUCACUGGCAUUGAAGGUGAUAGCCGUGUCGCUCCAUGGAUUUGUUGUUGCUACUUGGUAGACUUCGGCGAGGCUGCGGAUUGUUCGUUUCCGCAUGUUAUUUGAUGCGAAAGUCUCGAAGACUGUUAAUACCGUACUGGUACUGUUGGGCUGGUUGCCCGGGGAUAAAAAGCCUUCGCCACUUUUGGCCACCUGCCGUAGUAUCCAACAUGCUCGAAGGCUAUGUGUUGGAGUGGUGCCCUCCGUACUGUGGAUUUUGCAGGGUCCGUUGAGCCAUCCCUCCAGUACGGUUCCGUACCCUUUAGGGUUUUUUUUCUUUUUGUUUUUUAACCCAGGUGCUUGAGUAUUACGCACCCUUUUAUUUCGGACUAGGGUUGUAUUCAGGGCCGGAUUGUCCCAAAACCUAGUUUUGGUUUUCCAGGCACUCUCCAUCACGCAGUAUUUUUGUACAAUGGUCGCUAGGUCGGCGAAGCGUGUAAGUUAGCAACGACUGAUGGCGUUUAUGAUUCCCUUGUCCGUGCAAUUGUUGCAGAAAAUUGAAAUCGCGCUUUCUUCACGGCAGUCCUUUAUCCUGUUCAUAACCAGGAGGAAUCUGGCCUAGUAAUGAUGUACUGUUUCAUCAGGCUCUUGCCGUAUUUGAGAUAGAUCGCUUAUGUUUGGGUGGGCGGGUGGAAUUAAGUUCGGAACCCCGCCCGAUCUGAGGCUCAAAGGCCAAGAAGCUUCCGGAUUUGGAAGCUUGGUUUGUUGGAUGCUUUCCAACGAAUCUGGUCUGAUGCCUGACUUUAGGUUCAGUAUUUGAUUGGCGUCCGUCCCUCCGCGGGAAUCCGACAUGGAGGGAUCGGGAAUCCGGACAUAGUUGGUUUUUAACAUAGAAGAAGAGUCGCUGCAUUGUUCCUCUACCACAACAAUGUGGUGGGUAACCUGGGGAGAGUUAAUUUCUCUCAGAUCGGUUUUAAGCCCAAUCUAAUCGUAGUCUGUAGCGACCCCCAGGGUGGCGAUGCGAUCCAAGAGCUCGUUUACGGAGGAGAGCUCAAUCGGAUCUAGCUGCUCGGCGAAUUCCGAGCUGACGUGAAGAUCGCUUUUAAUGACCUGAGAGGUCAUUGUCGGAGCGGUGGCCGAACAGGCGGUCAUAAGAAAACCGCUUAGCCGGAUAGUCUGGCCAGCGGCCAAAGCUCCCUUGACGACGGCGCCGUCUUUAAAGACGGGAAAAGGCAUCCUUCCUGAUGGUGACGACACAGAGGAACUCUCAAUGAAAGCACCAAUGUCGGUGUCAAAACCGACGGAUCUCGGGUAGGGGGUCCCGAACUAUGCAUCUAGGCGGAUGGUAAUAGGAGACAAGGGACACGAUGUUUUACCCAGGUUCGGGCCCUCUUGAUGGAGGUAAAACCCUACGUCCUGCUUGAUUAAUAUUGAUGAUGUGUGUUACAAGAGUAGAUCUACCACGAGAUCAAGGAGGCUAAACCCUAGAAGCUAUCCUAUGGUAUGAUUGUUGUUCGUCCUACGGACUAAAGCCAUCCGGUUUAUAUAGACACCGGAGAGGGCUAGGGUUACACAGAGUCGGUUACAAUGGUAGGAGAUCUACAUAUCCGUAUCGCCAAGCUUGCCUUCCACGCCAAGGAAAGUCCCAUCCGGACACGGGACGAAGUCUUCAAUCUUGUAUCUUCAUAGUCUUGGAGUCCGGCCGAUGAUGAUAGUUCCGCUAUCCGGACACCCCCUAGUCCAGGACUCCCUCAGCUAUAUAUACCCCUCCACCUCCUCUUCAUUCGUGGAGCGAGCCAUCAGACUAAACCUACACUUCCAACUUACCAUUUCUGAGAGAGAACCACCUACUCAUGUGUUGAGGCCAAGAUAUUCCAUUCCUACCAUAUGAAUCUUGAUCUCUAGCCUUUCCCAAGUUGCUUUCCACUCAAACCCUCUUUCCACCAGAUCCAAAUCCUAUGAGAGAGAGUUGAGUGUUGGGGAGACUAUCAUUUGAAGCACAAGAGCAAGGAGUUCAUCAUCAAUGCACCAUUUGUUACUUCUUGGAGAGUGGUGUCUCCUAGAUUGGCUAGGUGUCACUUGGGAGCCUCCGACAAGAUUGUGGAGUUGAACCAAGGAGUUUGUAAGGGCAAGGAGAUCGCCUACUUCGUGAAGAUCUACCGCUAGUGAGACAAGUCCUUCGUGGGCGACGGCCAUGGUGGGAUUGACAAGGUUGAUUCUUCGUGGACCCUUCGUGGGUGGAGCCCUCCGUGGACUCGCGCAACCGUUACCCUUCGUGGGUUGAAGUCUCCAUCAAUGUGGAUGUACGAUAGCACCAUCUAUCGGAACCAUGCCAAAAACAUCCGUGUCUCCAAUUGCGUUUGAAUCCUCCAAACCCUUCCCUUUACUUUCUUGCAAAUUGCAUGCUUUAAUUUCCGCUGCCUAUAUACUCUUUGCAUGCUUGCUUGAAUAGUGUGAUGAUUGCUUGACUUGUCCUAAGAUAGCUAAAAUCUGCAAAACUCUAAAACUGGGAAAAGGUUAAGUUUUAAUUGGUCAAGUAGUCUAAUAACCCCCCCCCUCUAGACAUACUUCAAGGUCUUACAGUGUGACACCCCGAUAAUUAAGCUACAGUAACCUCUGCUAAUGAUGCCACGUCACCGCGUUUACUGUUGUUCAAACUCGCGUAGGUUCGAAUCCGGUCCAAAUUCAAAAUUUAAAAUAAAGUAAAACACAUUAUUUCUUAAGCAGUAAACUAAAAUGUUCAUCUUGUGCCAAACAAUCCAUAAUGAAAAUUUGUGAUGAACCUAUUUUUUAAGUAUUUAAAUGGCCUUAGCUAUUUGAAACUGAUGCUUAAGAAAAAGAAAAGGGGGGGAAAGAGAGAGAGAGAGAGCAACCGCCUCCCUGGACCGAACCCACCUGGGCCGGCCCACCUAACCCACCCGAGCCAGCCUUGUUGCCCCCCUCGCAUCGGUNNNNNNNNNNNNNNNNNNNNNNNNNNNNNNNNNNNNNNNNNNNNNNNNNNNNNNNNNNNNNNNNNNNNNNNNNNNNNNNNNNNNNNNNNNNNNNNNNNNNNNNNNNNNNNNNNNNNNNNNNNNNNNNNNNNNNNNNNNNNNNNNNNNNNNNNNNNNNNNNNNNNNNNNNNNNNNNNNNNNNNNNNNNNNNNNNNNNNNNNNNNNNNNNNNNNNNNNNNNNNNNNNNNNNNNNNNNNNNNNNNNNNNNNGGAGGAUAAGGACGCCAGCGUUGACCCCCUGCCUCCCGAGAGAUCUUCCCCCCCUUCCCCACGAGUUGCUACUUGCCCUCUCCACCUCUCCCAAUCCCCACCACAUCCGAACGCCACCGUGGCCCCGCCGCCAUAAUGCACACAGUCCCCAACACCGCUUCGCCUCGCCUCCGCGCCAAGAAGGACCGCCUCGACCUCCUCUUCCUCCCCGACGAAUCACCCGAGCAGGAGCGCCCCUGCAUCGUCCCCUACGUCGCCGUUUUCCUCCUCUGCUCCGACGAGCUUCGCCGUUGAAUCCGCCACACUGAGCCCUCCCCGAUCCCACUUGAGCACACCUACAGGACCAACGUGAGCAUGCGCCUCUUUCCCCUCGCUUCCCCGCGUGUUUCCACCGUCGUAGCUCCUCCUCCCUGUUGUGCCCGAACGCGGCUCCGCCUGAGCUCGUCGUCGGUGAUGCUCCAGCGAUCAAAUGGCCUCGGCCCCGUGCGCAACUCUCUCGCCACUUCGCCUAGAUCCCAAUGCGCACACGCGCGCGGCUCGCCGUGCCCCGCAGCCCCCUGUUCGCCGCUCACCGAAAACCCACCACCACCUGACUCACCGCCGGCGACGUUCCCGACCACGCCACCACCUCCAUUCGACGCUGUGUGGACUGGCUGUUCGAAUGGACCAAACCACAGCCCCGGAGAUGCCCUGUGGGCGAAACUCGAAGCUCACCCGCGCCUCGCCGCCACGUUGGAGCUCGCCGGAGCAACUCCUACGAGGCCAGCCGACGUGGCCGGCCUGGGGCCACCCCCUGGGUCGCUGACCCGUGGGCCCAAGGGGCCCGACCGGCCUGUUGACCCGGUCCACCAUGCUAACUGGACCUGCCCGUGCAACUGACAGAUGGGGCCCACCGCCCCCUAAUUAACGAAAUUAACUAAGCUAAUUUAGUUAACAUAAUUAGAAACUAACAUGUGGGCCUAGUAGUUUAACUAACUAUGUUUAGAUUAGUUUUUUUAACUCUGUUUAACCCACUGUCUAUGACUCUUGGGACCCAGCCGCCACGUUUGACCUGGACUGGCUGGGUUGACUGCUGACGUCGUGAUGACGUCAGGCUGACGUCAUGAUUCCAAUUUUGAAUUAAUAAUAAAUUUCAGAAUAUUAUUAAAACUUUGAAAAAUCAUAUAAAAUAAAUCGUAGCUCGGAUGAAAAACUUUUCUACAUGAAAGUUGCUCAAAACGACGAGGCGAAUCCGAAUAUGCGGUUCGUUCAUCUAUCAUAUGCCCCUAUCAUAGCAAACAUGCAACCUUUCCCUUCUGUUUCAUUUGUCCGAAAAUGCCUAACUCUGGGAAAACUUCCCGGAUGUUAUCACCCUUCGCUGGUAUUGUGUAGCACCGCGUUAGAACACAUCUAGCUCUGCCUGUUGUCCUGUUAUGCUCUUGCUUGCUAUGUAUUUACUGUUUUCUCCCCCUCUUCUCUCCGGUAGACCCCGAGACCACUGCUGAUGCCCCUGUGAUCGACUAUGUCGACGACGACCCUCCUUCUCGUCCGAGCAAUCAGGCAAGCCCCCCCCCUUUGAUCAUCCCGAUAUCGCCCAUUCUAUACUCUCAUGCUUGCAUUAGAUUUUGCUAUUGUUAUUGUUUGCUCCUAUUCUCAUGCAUAGCCUGCUUUUGUACUUGCUGUUGUACCUUACCUGCUUAUCCUAAACUGCUUAGUAUAGGUUGGUUAGUGAUCCAUCAGUGACCCCCACCUUGUCCUUGUUGCCCCUGCUUCAUGAUCAAUGACUCGAUCAACGUGAUCGACGACCAGAUCCCGACACCUCACAUCACAUCACGCCCCUUUUGUUGCUCGACUCUGCAGAGCUACUAUCGAGUGCCGAGGGUGAUCCCUCAUAACGCACUCUUCAUGAUAAUUCUGUAGUGUAGCUAUUCGGUCGUGGUCAUCGAGGGUGAUUUCCUCUUUCACCAUUCCUGACACGGCUCUGUCAUUCAACACCUCAAGUGUGAACCUCGAGGGUGGUCCCUCUUACGUUCACCUUGAUGAUUACCUUGAGUGGAAUCCACCGGGGGUGAUUCCUCGGGUUUUCCUCUUGAUGUUUGGACACACGGUUACCUUGACUUACUUGAAACCAUUGUUGAAGUCGGGUCGACCCUGAGGGGUACCUGCGAGUUGAUGUGAAAGUCGGGCGGGCCCGUAGAGCACCCGCGAGUUUUCCACAUGGCAUGGCCGGGCAGUCUGGGCCCUUGUCGUAAGUCCACGAGACGGGGCAACGGGGUCACAUUAUCGCGAGUCUCUGCUUGUUUCCGUGAGCCCCUAAUGAACUAACAGGUUUGGGUAUUUGUUCUGAGUUGGCCUCUGGCCUUUACGCACUAACCACCACGCGAUAAUAGAUAUGGGCCUCGACGUCGUGGUAUCAGCCGAAGCUUUGUCAGACGUCCAGUUCAACAGUGAGGCACGGCUGGGCCGGCACCAUCCUGUAGUGGUGGAGCCUGGUCCGCCCUGCUCGCAAUGACCUGGAGUGCAACGGGCGAUGGGCCUAGACCCCAGAGUGCUUAGGAGGUAGACCGGCGGGGACCUCUCUGCUGAGCCUAGGUAGGGCUGCGAUGUGUUGAUCUUCCGAGGCCGGGCAUUGACCCCAGAAAGGUGUGUCCGGACAGAGUGAUCGAGCGUGUUGGGUAAUAUGGUGCACCCCUGCAGGGAAGAUAUAUAUUCGAAUACCGUGUCCACGGUAAUGGACGUUCAGACUUGUAUCCGGAUCUUAUAUAACUAGAAAUGGGUACUUGAGAUAUGUGAUGGAUAUGUGGCUCUGAGAUUGCUUUCUCGCAGGCAGUCGAUGAAAGGAUCUCUGGGCGUUGUUGUUACAACAUGCUUGUUAAUUAAAAUGCUAUUCUUUACUCUUCUACAUGUUGUAAGAUGCUUGGAGCUGCGUGAAGAUGCUAGUAUUCGAUAGACUAGGCCUUCCCACUCUAUUCUGGCAUUCUGCAGUUCAGUCCAUAGAUACAAACCUUCCAUUUGAUACCAAUGCAUACUUAGUAUAGAUCUGAUGCUUGCGAGUACUUUGGAUGAGUACUCACGGUUGCUUUGCUACCCCUUUUCCCCUUUCUUUCUUCUUUCCGGUUGAUGCAACUAGAUGGUGGAUCCCUGGAGCCAGAUGCCAUCGCCGAUGGAUACUACUACAUGGAGGCCACCGAAGACCUGGAGUAGUUAGGAGGUCCCAGGCAGGAGGCCUUGCGUCUUCGAUCGUGUUGCUUUUGUGCUAGCCUUCUUAAAGCAUCCUUGUUUAACUUAUGUAUGUACUCAGAUAUUGUUGCUUCCGCUGACUCUUGUGUAUCAAGCUUGUAUUCGAGCCCUCGAGGCCCCUGGCUUGUAAUAUAAAGCUCGUAUUAUUUUGAUUUGUGUCUAGAGUUGUGUUGUGAUAUCUUCCCGUGAGUCCCUGAUCUUGAUCGUACACAUCUGCGUGUAUGAUUAGUGUACGAUUGAGUUAGGGGCGUCACAAGUUGGUAUCAGAGCCGACUGCCUGUAGGAAUCCCCUUUCCAACUCCUUGGGCGAAGUUGAGUCUAGUCUUUGAAAAAUUGAUUUACUAACAUGGAUCUGUGGCCUACGGGCCCACGUCGCCAUUGGGUGGUAUUAGGAUCUUUUAUUCCUCGUCCUUACUCUGGGAAUCUGAUCUCUCUUCUAUUCGGGUUAAAUGAUUUUGCUAACAACUCUAGGUUCUCGUAAAUACUUUCUCUCGGAGAGCCCUCACUCCAGAUGAUUACUUGGUGCACCAGAAGAUUCUGAAGAUACUCUCCGAAGAUUUCUAGAGACCCUUGUGCCCUUCGCUGUUGCGAUCCCUACCAUCGAGAAAUCCUUAUGGGUAACUACGUACAUUGUCGUUCAUACCUUCAUCCCCAAUUGCUCUUGUUAUUACAAGAUGCCCUGAAAAACUAUUUGAUCUUCCGAAAAUGCUCAAUAGCCUAUUACUCUUGUUCCUCCUUAACGGCUUGCAUUAUGGUUACUUCCAUAUGUCUAGCAAUACUCAUUAGCAUCCUUUGUCAUCGUAAUUUCGAGCAUUUGAUUGAUAAGUUUGUGAAUGCUCGCGAUCGUCGGUCCUAAUUAGAAUUCUUCCCUUGACUCAGACGUCACUCCAGACGUAAGCUGGUGUUCGACAAUUCAAACCUUGAUUGAUUAUCGAUCUAUGUCUAUCCAGCUUACUUGUCUUUGAUCAAAGCCUCUGCUUCCGAUCCCUUGAAUUGGAAAUCAGAAUUCCAUUGCGUUGAGCUUUGAAUUAGUCAUUUGUUUCUAUAACCCGAUCUCCUUGCAUCCUUUCUUCUUCUGGUUGAGUACUGUUGCUCACAUCAGAUCCCUUGUGGACCACCAGGUCCUUUGUUGGGUUCUAUCCCACAGCGUCCUUCUUUUUCAGUAACUUUGUGAGAUUUUCCUUGGAUACAUAAUGCCUUUGGUAAAUUAUAUCCCCUGCUUUUGUCAACCAUGCUCUACUUCCGAGCUUGAGUUAUUUAUUCCUAAGUUCAUGGUAUAUGCUCCUAAGAUGCCUCGAUGGGUUGAAUCUAUGUCUUCCCUAAAUCCGUGUGAACUCGAAAGUUAUGCGGGUUACACUCUACUGGCUGUUCGUCAGGUAAAAUUUCAAUGUUACAACUUCUUCGAAUGCGAGACGUGAAUGGAAAGUUGUGUUGGUGAACGUAGUAAUUUGAAAAAAAAUCCUACGCACACGCAAGAUCAUGGUGAUGCAUAGCAACGAGAGGGGAGAGUGUUGUCCACGUACCCUCAUAGACUGAAAGCGGAAGCGUUAGAACAACACGGUUGAUGUAGUCGUACGUCUUCACGGCCCGACCGAUCAAGCACCGAAACUACGGCACCUCCGAGUUCUAGCACACAUUCAGCUCGAUGACGAUCCCCGUACUCUGAUCCAGCAGAAUGUCGGGGAAGAGUUCCGUCAGCACGACGGCGUGGUGACGAUCUUGAUGUUCUACCGCUGCAGGGCUUCGCCUAAGCACCAAUACAAUAUUAUCGAGGACUAUGGUGGAGGGGGGCACCGCACACGGCUAAGAGAUCAAAAGAUCAAUUGUUGUCUCUAGAGGUGCCCCCUGCCCCCGUAUAUAAAGGAGCCAAGGGGGAGGGGGCGGCCGACCAAGGAGGGGCGCGCCAAGGGGAGUCCUACUCCCACCGGGAGUAGGACUCCCUCCUUUCCUUGUUGGACUAGGAGAAGGGGGAAGGAUGAGGGAGAGAGGAAGGAAAGGGGGUUGCCGCCCCCCUCUCCUUGUCCUAUUCGGACUAGGGGGGAGGGGCGUGCGGCCCAGCCCUUGCCUCCUCUCCUCUUCUCCACUAAGGCCCAUGUAGGCCUAAUAAGCCCCUGGGAGGUUCCGGUAAUCUCCCGGUACUCCGGUAAAAUCCUGAUUUCACCCGGAACACUUCCGACAUCCAAAUAUAGGCUUCCAAUAUAUCAAUCUUCAUGUCUCGACCAUUUCGAGACUCCUCGUCAUGUCCGUAAUCACAUCCGGGACUCCGAACAAACUUUGGUAUAUCGAAACUCAUAAACUCAUAAUAUAACUAUCAUCGAAACCUUAAGCGUGCGGACCCUACGGGUUCGAGAACUAUGUAGACAUGACCGAGAACCAUUUCGGGUCAAUAACCAAUAGCGGAACCUAGAUGCUCAUAUUGGCUCCUACAUAUUCUACGAAGAUCUUUAUCCGUCAAACUGCAUAACAACAUACGUUGUGCCCUUUGUCAUCGGCAUGUUACUUGCCCGAGAUUCGAUCGUCGGUAUCCAAUACCUAGUUCAAUCUCGUUGCCGGCAAGUCUCUUUACUUGUUACAUAAUGCAUCAUUCCGUAACUAACUCAUUAGUUACAUUGCUUGCAAGGCUUAUAUUGAUGUGCAUUACCGAGAGGGCCCAGAGAUACCUCUCCGACAAUCGGAGUGACAAAACCUAAUCUCGAAAUACGCCAACUCAACAUGUACCUUUGGAUACACCUGUAGAGCUCCUUUAUAAUCACCCAGUUACAUUGUGACGUUUGGUAGCACACAAAGUGUUCCUCCGGUAAACGGGAGUUGCAUAAUCCCAUAGUUAUAGGAACUUGCAUAAGCCAUGAAGAAAGCAAUAGCAACAUACUAAACGAUCAAGUGCUAAGCUAAUGGAAUGGUUCAAGUCAAUCACAUCAUUCUCCUAAUGAUGUGAUCCCGUUAAUCAAAUGACAACACAUGUCUAUGGUUAGGAAACAUAACCAUCUUUGAUUAAUGAGCUAGUCAAGUAGAGGCAUACUAGUGACAUUAAGUUUGUCUAUGAAUUCACACAUGUAUCUUGUUUUCGGUUAAUACAAUUCUAGCAUGAAUAAUAAACAUUUAUCAUGAUAUGAGGAAAUAACUAAUAACUUUAUUAUUUCCUCUAGGGCAUAUUUCCUUCGGUCUCCCACUUGCGCUAGAGUCAAUAAUCUAGAUUACACAGCAAUGAUUCUAACACCCAUGGAGUCUUGGUGUUGAUCAUGUUUUUCUCGCGGAAGAGGCUUAGUCAACGGGUCUACAACAUUCAGAUCCAUAUGUAUCUUGCAAAUCUCUAUGUCUCCCACCUGGAUUUGGUCCCGGAUGGAAUUGAAGUGUCUCUUGAUGUGCUUGGUCCUCUUGUGAAAUCUGGAUUCCUUUGCCAAGGCAAUUGCACCAGUAUUGUCACAGAAGAUCUUCAUUGGUCCCGAUGCACUAGGUAUGACACCUAGAUCAGAAAUGAUCUCUUUCAUCCAGACUCCCUCAUUUGUUGCUUCCGAAGCAGCUAUGUACUCUGCUUCGCAUGUAGAUCCCGCCACGACGCUUUGUUUAGAAUUGCACCAACUGACAGCUCCACCGUUCAAUAUAAACACGUAUCCGGUUUGCGAUUUAGAAUCGUCCGGAUCAGUGUCAAAGCAUGCAUCGACGUAACCAUUUAUGACUAGCUCUUUGUCACCUCCAUAAAAGAUAAUCAUAUCCUUAGUCCUUUUCAGGUAUUUCAGGAUAUUCUUGACCGCUGUCCAGUGAUCCACUCCUGGAUUACUUUGGUACCUCCCUGCCAAACUUAUCGCUAAGCAUACGUCAGGUCUGGUACACAGCAUUGCAUACAUGAUAGACCCUAUGGCUGAAGCACAGGGAACAUCUUUCAUUUUCUCUCUAUCUUCUGAUGUGGUCGGGCAUUGAGUCUGACUCAACUUCACACCUUGUAAUACAGGCAAGAACCCUUUCUUUGCCUGAUCCAUUUUGAACUUUUUCAAAACUUUAUCAAGGUAUGUGCUUUGUGAAAGUCCAAUUAAGCGUCUUGAUCUAUCUCUAUAGAUCUUGAUGCCCAAUAUGUAAGCAGCUUCACCAAGGUCUUUCAUCGAAAAACUUUUAUUCAAGUAUCCCUUUAUGCUAUCCAGAAAUUCUAUAUCAUUUCCAAUUAAUAAUAUGUCAUCUACAUAUAAUAUCAGAAAUGCUACAGAGCUCCCACUCACUUUCUUGUAAAUACAGGCUUCUCCAAAAGUCUGUAUAAAACCAUAUGCUUUGAUCACUCUAUCAAAGCGUUUAUUCCAACUCCGAGAGGCUUGCACUAGUCCAUCAAUGGAUCGCUGGAGCUUGCACACUUUGUUAGCACCUUUUGGAUCGACAAAACCUUCCGCUUGCAUCAUAUACAACUCUUCUUCCAGAAAUCCAUUCAGGAAUGCAGUUUUGACAUCCAUUUGCCAUAUUGCAUAAUCAUAAAAUGCGGCAAUUGCUAACAUGAUUCGAACAAACUUAAGCAUCGCUACGGGUGAGAAAGUCUCAUCAUAGUCAACCCCUUGAACUUGUCGAAAACCUUUCGCAACAAGUCGAGCUUUGUAGACAGUUACAUUACCAUCAGCGUCAGUCUUCUUCUUGAAGAUCCAUUUAUUCUUGAUGGCUUGCCGAUCAUCGGGCAAGUCAACCAAAGUCCAUACUUUGUUCUCAUACAUGGAUCCCAUCUCAGAUUUCAUGGCCUCAAGCCAUUUUGCGGAAUCUGGGCUCAUCAUCGCUUCCUCAUAGUUCGUAGGUUCAAAAUGGUCAAGUAACAUGACUUCCAGAAUAGGAUUACCGUACCACUCUGUUGCGGAUCUCACUCUGGUUGACCUACGAGGUUCGGUAGUAACCUGAUCUGAAGUUUCAUGAUCAUUAUCAUUAGCUUACUCACUGAUUGGUGUAGUUGUCACAGGAACCGGUUCUUGUGAUGAACUACUUUCCAAUAAGGGAGUAGGUACAGUUACCUCAUCUAGUUCUACUUUCCUCCCACUCACUUCUUUCGAGAGAAACUCCUUCUCUAGAAAGGAUCCGAAUUUAGCAACAAAAAUCUUGCCCUCAGAUCUGUGAUAGAAGGUGUACCCAAUAGUCUCUUUUGGGUAUCCUAUGAAGACACAUUUCUCCGAUUUGGGUUCGAGCUUAUCUGGUUGAACUUUCUUCACAUAAGCGUCGCAGCCCCAAACUUUAAGAAACGACAACUUUGGUUUCUUGCCAAACCACAGUUCAUAAGGCGUUGUCUCAACAGAUUUUGAUGGUGCCCUAUUUAACGUGAAUGCGGCCAUCUCUAAAGCAUAACCCCAAAACGAUAGCGGUAAAUCAGUAAGAGACAUCAUAGAUCGCACCAUAUCUAGUAAAGUACGAUUACGACAUUCGGACACACCAUUUCGUUGUGGUGUUCCGGGUGACGUGAGUUGCGAAACUAUUACGCAUUGUUUCAAAUGUAAACCAAACUCGUAACUCAAAUAUUCUCCUCCACGAUCAGAUCGUAGAAACUUUAUUUUUUUGUUAUGAUGAUUUUCCACUUCACUCUAAAAUUCUUUGAACUUUUCAAAUGUUUCAGACUUGUGUUUCAUCAAGUAGAUAUACCCAUAUCUGCUCAAAUCAUCUUUGAAGGUGAGAAAAUAAUGAUACCCGCCGUGAGCCUCAAUAUUCAUUGGACCGCAUACAUCAGUAUGUAUGAUUUCCAACAAAUCAGUUGCUCGCUCCAUAGUUCCGGAGAACGGAGUUUUAGUCAUCUUGCCCAUGAGGCACGGUUCGCAAGUACCAAGUGAUUCAUAAUCAAGUGAUUCCAGAAGUCCAUCAGUAUGGAGUUUCUUCAUGCGCUUUACACCAAUAUGACCCAAACGGAAGUGCCAAAAAUAAGUUGCACUAUCAUUAUCAACUCUGCAUCUUUUGGCUUCAACAUUAUGAAUAUGUGUAUCACUACUAUGGAGAUUUAAUAAAAAUAGACCACUCUUCAAGGGUGCAUGACCAUAAAAGAUAUUACUCAUAUAAAUAGAACAACCAUUAUUCUCAGAUUUAAAUGAAUAACCGUCUCGCAUCAAACAAGAUCGAGAUAUAAUGUUCAUGCUUAACGCUGGCACCAAAUAACAAUUAUUCAUGUCUAAAACUAAUCCCGAAGGUAGAUGUAGAGGUAGUGAACCGACUGCGAUCACAUCGACUUUGGAACCAUUUCCCACGCGCAUCAUCACCUCAUCCUUAGCCAAUCUUCGCUUAAUCCGUAAUCCCUGUUUCGAGUUGCAAAUAUUAGCAACAGAACCAGUAUCAAAUACACAUCAAUAACAUGUAUAUCACAUAUACCUUUGUUCACCUUGCCAUCCUUCUUAUCCGCCAAAUACUUGGGGCAGUUCCGCUUCCAGUGACCAGUCUGCUUGCAGUAGAAGCACUCAGUUUCAGGCUUAGGUCCAGACUUGGGUUUCUUCUCUUAAGCAGCAACUUGUUUGCUGUUCUUCUUGAAGUUCCCCUUCUUCUUCCCUUUACCCUUUUUCUUGAAACUGGUGGUCUUAUUGACCAUCAACACUUGAUGCUCCUUCUUGAUUUCUACCUCUGUAGCUUUUAGCAUUGCGAAGAGCUCGGGAAUAGUCUUGUCCAUCCCUUGCAUAUUAUAGUUCAUCACGAAGCUCUUGUAGCUUGGUGGCUGUGAUUGAAGAAUUCUGUCAAUGACACUAUCAUCAGGAAGAUUAACUCCCAGUUGAAUCAAGUGAUUAUUAUACCCAGACAUUUUGAGUAUAUGUUCAUUGACAGAACUAUUCUCCUCCAUCUUACAGCUAUAGAACUUAUUGGAGACUUCAUAUCUCUCAAUCCGGGCAUUUGCUUGAAAUAUUAACUUCAACUCCUGGAACAUCUCACAUGCUCCAUGACAUUCAAAACGUCGAUGAAGACCUAGUUCCAAGCCGUAAAGCAUGGCACACUGAACUAUCGAGUAGUCAUCAGCUUUGCUCUGCCAGACGUUCUUAACAUCAUCAGUUGCAUCUGCAGCAGGCCUGGCACCCAGCGGUGCUUCCAGGACGUAAUUCUUCUGUGCAGCAAUGAGGAUAAUCCUCAAGUUACGGACCCAGUCUGUGUAAUUGCUACCAUCAUCUUCCAACUUAGCUUUCUCAAGGAACGCAUUAAAAUUCAACAGAACAACAACACGAGCCAUCUAUCUACAACAAACAUAGACAAGCAAAAUACUAUCAGGUACUAAGUUCAUGAUAAAUUUAAGUUCAAUUAAUCAUAUUACUUAAGAACUCCCACUUAGACAGACAUCUCUCUAGUCAUCUAAGUGAUCACGUGAUCCAAAUCAACUAAACCAUGUCCGAUCAUCACGUGAGAUGGAGUAGUUUCAAUGGUGAACAUCACUAUGUUGAUCAUAUCUACUAUAUGAUUCACAUUCGACCUUUCGGUCUCCGUGUUCCGAGGCCAUAUCUGUAUAUGCUAGGCUCGUCAAGUUUAACCUGAGUAUUCCGCGUGUACAACUAUUUUGCACCCGCUGUAUUUGAACAUAGAGCCUAUCACACCCGAUCAUCACGUGGUGUCUCAGCACGAAGAACUUUUGCAACGGUGCAUACUCAGGGAGAACACUUCUUGAUAAUUAGUGAGAGAUCAUCUUAAAAUGCUACCAUCAAUCAAAGCAAGAUAAGAUGCAUAAAGGGUAAACAUCACAUGCAAUCAAUAUAAGUGAUAUGCUAUGGCCAUCAUCAUCUUGUGCUUGUGCUCCAUCUCCGAACCACCGUCGUGAUCACCAUCGUCACCGGCGCGACACCUUGAUCUCCAUCGUAGCAUCGUUGUUGUUUACACCAUCUAUUGCUUCUACGACUAUCGCUACCGCUUAGUGAUAAAGUAAAGCAAUUACAGGGCGUUUGCAUUUCAUACAAUAAAGCGACAACCAUAUGGCUCCUGCCAGUUGCCGAUAACUUCGGUUACAAAACAUGAUCAUCUCAUACAAUAAAAUAUAGCAUCACGCCUUGACCAUAUCACAUCACAACAUGCCCUGCAAAAACAAGUUAGACGUCCUCUACUUUGUUGUUGCAAAUUUUACAUGGCUGCUACGGGCUGAGCAAGAACCGUUCUUACCUACGCAUCAAAACCACAACGAUAGUUCGUCAAGUUCGUGUUGUUUUAACCUUCGCAAGGACCAGGCGUAGCCACACUCGGUUCAACUAAAGUUGAAGAAACAGACACCCGCCAGCCACCUGUGUGCAAAGCACGUCGGUAGAACCAGUCUCGCGUAAGCGUACGCGUAAUGUCGGUCUGGGCCGCUUCAUCCAACAAUACCGCCGAACCAAAGUAUGACAUGUUGGUAAGCAGUAUGACUUGUAUCGCCCACAACUCACUUGUGUUCUACUCGUGCAUAUAACAUCUACGCAUAAAACCAGGCUCGGAUGCCACUGUUGGUGAACGUAGUAAUUUCAAAAAAAUUCCUACGCACACGCAAGAUCAUGGUGAUGCAUAGCAACGAGAGGGGAGAGUGAUGUCCACGUACCCUCAUAGACUGAAAGCGGAAGCGUUAGAACAACGUGGUUGAUGUAGUCGUACGUAUUCACGGCCCGACCGAUCAAGCACCUAAACUAUGGCACCUCUGAGUUCUAGCACACGUUCAGCUUGAUGACGAUCCCCGUACUCUGACCCAGCAGAAUGUCGGGGAAGAGUUCCGUCAGCACGACGGCGUGGUGAUGAUCUUGAUGUUCUACCGCCGCAGGGCUUGGCCUAAGCACCGCUACAAUAUUAUCGAGGACUAUGGUGGAGGGGGCACCGCACAUGGCUAAGAGAUCAAAAGAUCAAUCGUUGUCUCUAGAGGUGCCCCCUGCCCCCGUAUAUAAAGGAGCCAAGGGGUUGGGGGCGAGCGACCAAGGAGGGGUGCGCCAAGGGGAGUCCUACUCCCACCGGGAGUAGGACUCCCUCCUUUCCUUGUUGGACUAGGAGAAGGGGGGAAGGAGGAGGGAGAGAGGAAGGAAAGGGGGGGCCGCCCCCCUCUCCUUGUCCUAUUCGGACUAGGGGGGAGGGGCGUGCGGCCCAGCCCUUGCCUCCUCUCCUCUUCUCCACUAAGGCCCAUGUAGGCCUAAUAAGCCCCUGGGAGGUUCCGGUAACCUCCCGGUACUCCGGUAAAAUCCUGAUUUCACCCGGAACACUUCCGACAUCCAAAUAUAGGCUUCCAAUAUAUCAAUCUUCAUGUCUCGACCAUUUCGAGACUCCUCGUCAUGUUCGUAAUCACAUCCGGGACUUCGAACAAACUUCGGUACAUCAAAACUCAUAAACUCAUAAUAUAACUGUUAUCGAAACCUUAAGCGUGCGGACCCUAUGUCACAUCCCUAGCUUCUGGUUUGCUCUGAGCUAGCUAGUCAUGUGUUGCAUCAUGUUUAAAUUUCAGUUAAACCUGAAAUGGGGAUUGUUGAAACCCUAGCACCAAUUGAAUUCAACUAGGUUCAAUAAAAAUAUUUUCAAUGAACCCAAAAUGCCUUUGGAAAUGUUCAUGAUUUUUGAUAAAGGUGAAAACCUCUGCCAAAAAUGGUGAGCAUAUUUCUUGGACAUUUUUGGAUUUUUGAAUUAAAUCAUAAUGUAAUUGAGUUUGGGCAUUUAAAUACUAUAAAUAAUUUAAAUGCUCAAAUAAUUCUGAAACUAAAUGUGGGCUGUUGCAUAUAUUUCAGAAGGUGCCCACAAUUAUUUUCAGGAUUUUUAGAAGUGCCCUGGUAUUUUUAAUAAAGCCCUAAAACUACAGAAUAAUAGAAAACAGAAGCAAUAAAUAAAAGAGAAGGAACUUACCUGGCGCUCACCUGGCAGCCCAGCCGGCCCAGCUCCCGUUUCGGCCCAGCCCACCAGUGCCAUCUUGUCAUCUUCCUCCUCUGCCAGGAGGACAAACAGGUGCGUGGCGAGCGCCGACGCUGCCCUGGCCACCUCCUGCUUCCCCGGCCCCUCCUAGACGAUGCCACGGAGCGCCACGCAGCCCCUGGCUCUCUCUCACUCUCUCCCGACCCCUGCCCCCUUCUCUGCUCUCUCCCUCUCGCGUCCGAGCGCGCUCAUUGCCGCCGGUCGCUGCUGCCGUGGCCACAGCCACUGCCUCGCCUUGCCGUUGCGCCCAGAGGCUCCGCCUCGACCCCCUCUUCCUCUCCACCGAGCCACGAGGUCCCGGACGCGCUGCAACGCCGCCACCAUCACCGUUUCCGUCGCCGGCCACCGAAGCUCACCGCCGUCGAUUCACGACGUCUGGCGCGCCCCCGAGCCCACUGACUUUCUGCGCCGCCUCCCUGUGAGCUCCUCAUCUCUCCUCUUUGCCCGCCCCCUCCGUUCCCGUCCUCUAGUCGUCGUUCCGCAAGUGCCCGAAGCUCGCCGCCGACGGCCAUGUCGCUGUCGUGGCUACAGACGCCGUAGCUUGCCCCUGAGCACGUCAUCGUGCUCGUGCUACUCCCAGGAGACGAACGCACCUACUAGCUCACCUUCCCAUGCACCAUAGCAAGUAGCCGGUCCUGCCCGAGCUCCGGCCUCCGCCAGGAGCUCGAUUCUGGUGAACUCCGGCCACCCUGUGCCCUCCCGUCGGUCUCCCCGGAUGCGCACGGGCACGGGCUUCCUUCUGGUGCCCCUGGCGCGUCGACCCGUGGCCUCUAGCGAGUUCCGAGCGGGCUCCACCGUGGUUCAGGGUCAACGCCGGCUGAACUCCGGUGAGCCGACAUGGCCGCGUGAUUAGCGCUAAUCACGGCCAGCUAACCCUCCCCAGAGCCACUGACGUAUGGGCCCCACGCCCUUAAUUAAUCUUUGUUUAUUUUCUGUUAAGUUUUAACCUAACCACCGUGGGCCCACGCGUCAGCUUUGACCAAGCUGACGUGGCCGUUGACUGGGCUCACAUGUCAGCGACACAUACCAGCCUAAGACACUGAUCAGUGGACCCCACUGGUCAGGUUUAACCUGGACCGCACCCCGUUGACUCGCCUACGUCAUGCUGACGUAGUGCUGACGCAGUGAUGCAUUUUCUAGAAUUAGUUCAAUUCUAAAUAUUCAGGAAAUUCCAGAAAAUGUUUAAAACUUGUAAAAGUCAUAUAAAAUCAACCGUAACUCCAAAUGAAAUAAGUUAUAUAUGAAAAAUGAUCAGAAAAAUCCAAUCUAUCCAUCUGUACCAUUUUCAUGCAUGUUAGAACAACUUAUAGUUGCUGUUUAGCACAAAUCAUAUUAAAGGCAUUUAAAUAUCCACAUAUGGAGUUUGAAUUUGAAUCUUGGAUUCAAACCAACUUCAUUUAAUCUGGUUUUAGUUGCAUCAGCACAAAUCAACAGCAUAAUGCCAUGUCACAUUCAUGCAUCAUACUGUUGCAUUGCAUUGAUUGUGCUCUUCCUUGUUUGCCGGUGUUUGUCCCUCCCGCUAGACGUGGUUCCGACGAUGAGUUCGAUGACACCGAUGAAGAGCUAUAUUAUCUUCAGAAGUGCCAGGCAAGCAAAACCCCCUUGUUUAUUCUGAUACAAUCCCACUCUCUCGCUCCUGCUCUCUUUUACUGCAUUAGGACAACAACGAUUCAUCUGUUACUUGCUGCGGUAGCUGAACCCCUUUAUCCUUUGCAUGACCUGUCAUUGCCACAGUAAAUAGAUGAAACCCACUAGCAUGAGUAGGAGUUGUUUGAGCCCUGAUGUGCCUACUCAUUCAUGCUUGUUGUCAUGCCUGCUACUGCUUAGAGUUGAGUUAGGUCUGAUUCAUCGGGGAUGAAUUGGAGGUGUGUGAACAUGUCCUACUGUGUGAGAGCUAAGUGUGUGAACACGAUUUGGUAAAGGUAGCGGUGAGAGGCCAUGUAGGAGUACAUGGUGGGUUGUCUCAUUGCAACCGUCCUCAGGAACUGAGUUCUGUGUUUGUGAUCCAUGACCAGGUACUACCACGCAUUGGAAUGCUUAAGUGCCCCUCUCGACUUAUUAAUCAACUUGAUCUCUGUCCAGGAGUUGUAACUAGUUUCUGGUGUUUGUAGGUAGUGUUAGUAGUCUACCAAGUGGCACCCGGUACAGGUGGGCUUGGGACAGACUAGGCACAGUGGCCCGGUGUACCAAGUAGCACCCGGAUGGUGGACUUGGGAACCCUGCACACAUCGUUUGGGGCCGUGAGCGACACCCCGGCCGGAUCUCCUUGCGGAUGGAACCCGAAUAGGCGAUAAACCUGGACGAGAGACUUGUGUGGUUAGUCAGGUCGUGGACGACACCCUCGCUGGGCUUCCGCUUGAAGGUUGCCGAGUACAUGUCGUGUAAAUGGCGGUAAGUGGUGAGAGCGUGUGUGAAGAAGUACACCCCUGCAGGGUUAAUAUGAUCUAUUCGAAUAGCCAUGUCCGCGGUAAAGGACUUCUGGGUUGCCUGUACAGUUCAUAGACAAGUGAAAGUGGAUACUCUAAAAUACGCAAGAUAAGCAUGAGUGCUAUGGAUGGCGUUCUCGUAGGGAGACGGGAGCGGAUCCAUAGUGGUGUAUUGAUAUGGUGAAUAUGUGGACUCGUGUGCGCCACCUCAAAAGAGUUACUUGCAGUCGUAGUUCAGGUUAGCCACCGAGUCAAAGCUGGCUUGCUGCAGUUAAACCCCACCACUCCCUUUGUUGAUAAUGAUGCAUAUGUAGUUAGUUCUAAUGUAAGUCUUGCUGGGUACAUUUGUACUCACGUUGCUUAAUUUAUGUUUUUGCAGAGAGACUUCAGUCUCGCUAGUAGUUCCUCGUGGACUUCGACGUUUGGCUUGUUACCUCAGCUACGAUCUUGUGCCCUCGGCAGGAUCUGGUAGAUAGUCAGGCUUCUCAGCCUUUUUCAUUUGUAGAUGUCUGUACUCAGACAUGUUAAGCUUCCGCUUGUGCCUUGACUUGUAUGCCCUGAGUGUUGGGUCAUGAGACCCAUGUUUGUAAUAUCUCGCUCCUCGGAGCCUAUUGAAUAAAUACUUGAGUUGUAGAGUCAUGUUGUGAUGCCAUGUUGUAUUUGCACAUAUCGAGCAUAUUGUGUGUAUGUUAUUGAAAUGCUUGGUAUGUGUGGGAUCUGACUAUCUAGUUGUUUAUCCUUAGUAGCCUCUCUUACCGGGAAAUGUCUCCUAGUGCUUCCACUGAGCCAUGGUAGCUUGCUACUGCUCCGGAACACUUAGGCUAGCCGGCAUGUGUCCUUCUUCGUUCCUGUCUCUGUCCCCUCGGGGAAAUGUCACGCGAUGAAUUCCAGAGUCCUGUUAGCCCUCUACAGCCCGGUUCACCGGAGCCCUGCUAGCCCAGUGCUACAGCCUGGAUUCACUCGCUGAUGACCGACACGUUUGUUGUUGGGUCAUGUAUGCAUGUCCCUGUAAGUUAGUGCCACUUUGGGUUCACGACUAGCCAUGUCAGCCCGGGUUCUUUGUCAUAUGGAUGCUAGCGGCACUAUCAUAUACGUGAGCCAAAAGGCGCAAACGGUCCCAGGCCAGGUAAGGUGGCACCCGUGGGAAUACCGUGCGUGAGGCCGCAAAGUGAUAUGAUGUGUUACAUGCUAGAUCGGUGUGACUUAGGAUCGGGGUGCUGACAGCUUUGAUAGUGUUGCUAGUCCCUCUAGGAUAUUAGUAACCUUUGCAUUAGUCCUCGAGGUCCGUGGUAUUUCCUUCUUCCAAAUACUAUGAACCACUUAUGGCAGAAGUUUGUUGGAUCAAAAGAUCAUAACAGGAGUGCUCUCGAUGAGUUCUUCAUUUUAUAUUGUGACUCUGCCAGUUCUACUCUUCUGCAUGGGUUAUCCGGAAGAAACAUGUUGAACUUGUUCGACAUGCUAAACUAUGCAUCCACAACUCAGAAAAUCAUAUGUUCUUUUGAGUUGUCCCUCUUUAGUUGUUUUCUGGCCCUUGUCUAUCAAUUGAUAGUCAGGAGUGAUUAUGCAUUCGCCAAUGCCUAUUACUCUUGUGGUCCAUCGAGCCAUUCUAUUCCGGAAUGACUAGGAGAAACAAACUCCAGUACCUCAUCCCUAUCCAGGAUUGGGUCAAAGCAGUUGUGCUCCACAGAUCAAAUACUAAUCUAGCUUUUGUUCUGCUCCACCCUGGAGUAUUACCAUCUUUAUAUCAAAAAUAUCAUGGGAAUUGCACACCAUCCUAUGAACUCUUGAUACAGUGAUACUCUCUCCAUCAUUAUUCAUUUCUCGGUUCCCGUGUUGUUGCAACCGGAGUGUCGACAAGUGAAUCGUGAUGUGUGAAAUCAAUACUCCUAGCAACCUUGUUGCUUGGUAGUUAAAGGGCAAUAAUUUCGUUCUUAGCGUGUUGGUUUUUGAAUCAUCAUUCUAAGACUGAUUGUGCUACCUAGUCCUUAUUUCGGUGCACCCUUCGAUCGAUGAGUUAGGAUUUGGUCAAAUCCUCGCUCAUUGUUCAUAUCGUCUUGCCCUUAGAAGCAAGAUUGUUCCCGAGCUUAAUAAUAUAUUGGUGGUUCGUGAUUUUUCGAAUGUCUUCUCAAAAGUAUUACCAGGUUGUCACCUGACCGCUAUGUUGAGUUCGUGAUCAUGUUGGUUUUCUUCCAAACCACCCAUUCUCCAAGAUUCUGUGUUGGAUACCCCCGAGCUAGUUGGUUAAGCUAAACAACAACUUGGAGAGUUGGAAGAUGAAAGCUUGUCCGACUUAGUUCAUCACUAAGGGAUAUCCUUGAGUGUGAGUGUGUGUGUAUUGAAGAAAGAUGAUAUCUUCAUCGACUGAUCCUCGUGAUUAGUUGUUGAAUGUAUUGUCUUGUCCAAACCUUGAUUUGAGUGUGGGCUAUCGUCAAAUCAAGUUAGAACCAACAAUAUUCGUAAUGUUGUCUUACUCGUGGUUGGUUCCUCGAGCAUACACCAUUAUACUCGUUGGGUCUGACCAAUGCUAUCACCUUGUUCACAUGAUGGUGGAAGUCCAGUGAUAUGGAAAUUCCGAUGAGUUGCUGUUGAGCCCAUCAACAACAUUUUGUCUCCCCCAUGAGUCAUGUUGAACAUCGACCUAGUGUUGGAAACUUGUUUGAGCAUUUCUUCGUGUUUCGUUCAUGAAGCAUAUGUUUGGAUGAAAGUAGUGACUUCCUCUAAAUUCAUGUGCAUUUGGUGCAAGUUGUCGUGGAUUCGAGAAAGUUUGUUUUUGCUUCCUCUGGAAUCAUCCCAAGUCAGUCAUGCAUGUGCGAAGUAUUCUAUGGUCUGAUAGACUGAUCAUCUUCAUUCCAUAUGAAUUCCCUAGCACACCAAGCCAUUGAUGGAUUUGUUCAAGAAAAGGGAGUCUCAUGUGCUAAUCCUAGGUCAUGCACACGACUUCGUUAUCUUCGAUGAUGGUUCCCAACCAGAACUCGGUGGUGUUUUAUUGUAAGACUACUAUGUGGUCAUGCUUGUCUUGGAUAACGUGUUCACAUGUAUGUAGCAGAACCAGCUCAUGUUUCUGAGCUUGCUAUCAUAGUUCAUUCCCGAGAAUCUCGCAACGUCAUCCUGUCGGUUUGUGUUGCAAUCUUUCAUUGUUCUUCCUAGACUCGAUGAGUCUGGAUUAUUCUGACACCAACCAGAUCUGAAUCUCAGGCAGAUAUGAUGGUUGGAACAUUUCCCAAGAACUAUAAUAUUGGUCCCUCGAUAACCGGUAAAGUGGAUGUCGUGGCCAACACACCCAGCCGGAAGACCUAUUAUUGUAGUAUCUUGUUUGAAGAAGUUGGCCACCUCCUGAUAAGGAUUUCAUAGGAUUUACCUCCAUAAUUGUUCCUUAUGGAUUCUUGUGCUCCCGAAGUCCGACCUUUACUUGAUGUUCUAGAUAUCAAACCAUUUUUAUGAAUGGGUUAUGCUAGCACAUCAAGGAGAACAUUAGAAGCGGAGUGCUAAAUGUCUCUCGGUCGAUCAUCCAGAUUUUGUUUCCUUGGCCUCGCUAAGGUGAAAUCUGAGAAAGUGUUAUCUUCUUUCGCAUCGGCAUCCUCCGUUACCAUUCUUCAUGGUAGUAUGUUGUGUUGCCAGGAUCCUUGGCAUGGAUAUUGGUAAAACCAUGAUGAAUAUGGAAAUGCUCAAGUUCUGGAGAGCACGCGCAAGCGCUAGGUGUUAUCAUCGGCACUAACUGGGAUUGCUCUCAGUUUCCUCGGUUAUGCUAUAACUUUUCAAACAGUGGACCCACCCUCUACUGUUGAGCUUCUCCCCAGUUACUAAAAUUAUCAUUUGUGUUGUCUUCAACAAGGUAAUCCACAUCAUCCAUUCUAAUCCAAGCAUGUCAUUCUACCGACCCCCUCCAAACGAUCGCUCGAGAAUUGCCUUAGGCUGGUAUAAAGAGUUUCAAUGAUCUCUGAAUCAAAGGUAAUUCUUUUGCCACUUAAAGGGAUAUAUCUAAGAGUCACCAUCCCUAAGGUGUCUCGUUGUGGUAUCAUGGCAACUCAACUCCUCGCUACGUUGACAACCGUUCACCACCCUCUUAGGUGUGGAAUUGUUGUCUACCUAGUGAAUCCUCACCAUCCGUUCCACUCCAUCCCUCUAGAUGUAUGCUUCGUGUCUCAGCUCGGGAGAUGCUGCUAUGUCUCAUCCCAUGAGUUGAUCCUGAGUUGUUCGAUCUUCGAGAAGAUCGAUUCUUCUAGAGUUUUUCCUUUCUUCUCAUCGUCAUGUUGGAUGGAGUUCUCAGAGCAAGACGUCGAGACAAAGAUGGUGAUUGAAUCAACGUUCAUUUGAAGUGCAACCUAGAUCGAGAAGAUUGCGUUAGUUACGUUCCCCCUUCAUCUUACCCUAUGCUUGAAUCUCGGGACGAGAUUCUUGUUUAGUGGGGGCGAGUUGUCACAUCCCUAGCUUCUGGUUUGCUCUGAGCUAGCUAGUCAUGUGUUGCAUCAUGUUUAAAUUUCAGUUAAACCUGAAAUGGGGAUUGUUGAAACCCUAGCACCAAUUGAAUUCAACUAGGUUCAAUAAAAAUAUUUUCAAUGAACCCAAAAUGCCUUUGGAAAUGUUCAUGAUUUUUGAUAAAGGUGAAAACCUCUGCCAAAAAUGAUGAGCAUAUUUCUUGGCCAUUUUUGGAUUUUUGAAUUAAAUCAUAAUGUAAUUGAGUUUGGGCAUUUCAAUACUAUAAAUAAUUUAAAUGCUCAAAUAAUUCUGAAACUAAAUGUGGGCUGUUGCAUAUAUUUCAGAAGGUGCCCACAAUUAUUUUCAGGAUUUUUAGAAGUGCCCUGGUAUUUUUAAUAAAGCCCUAAAACUACAGAAUAAUAGAAAACAGAAGCAAUAAAUAAAAGAGAAGGAACUUACCUGGCGCUCACCUGGCAGCCCAGCCGGCCCAGCUCCCAUUCCGGCCCAGCCCACCAGCGCCCCCUUGUCAUCUUCCUCCUCUGCUAGGAGGACAAACAGGUGCGUGGCGAGCGCCGACGCUGCCCCGGCCACCUCCUGCUUCCCCGGCCACCUCCUGCUUCCCCGGCCCCUCCUAGACGACGCCACGGAGCGCCACGCAGCCCCUGGCUCUCUCUCACUCUCUCCCGAUCCCUUCCCCCUUCUCUGCUCUCUCCCUCUCACGUCCGAGCGCGCUCAUCGCCGCCGCUCGCUGCUGCCGUGGCCACAGCCACUGCCUCACCUUGCCGUUGCGCCCAGAGGCUCCGCCUCGACCCCCUCUUCCUCUCCACCGAGCCACGAGGUCCCGGACGCGCUGCAACGCCGCCACCAUCGCCGUUUCCGUCGCCGGCCACCGAAGCUCACCACCGUCGAUUCGCGACAUCUGGCCCGCCCCCGAGCCCACUGACUUUCUGCGCCGCCUCCCUGUGAGCUCCUCAUCUCUCCUCUUUGCGCGCCCCCUCCGUUCCCGUCCUCUAGCCGUCGUUCCGCAAGUGCCCGAAGCUCGCCGCCGACGGCCAUGUCGCUGUCGUGGCUACAGACGCCGUAGCUUGCCCCUGAGCACAUCAUCGUGCUCGUGCUACUCCCAGGAGACGAACGCACCUGCUAGCUCACCUUCCCAUGCACCAUAGCGAGUAGCCGGUCCUGCCCGAGCUCCGGCCGCCGCCAGGAGCUCGAUUCCGGUGAGCUCCGGCCACCUUGUGCCCUCCCGUCGGUCUCCCCGGAUGCGCACGGGCACGGGCUUCCUUCUGGUGCCCCUGGCGCGUUGACCCGUGGCCUCUGGCGAGUUCCGAGCGGGCUCCACCAUGGUUCGGGGUCGCCGCCGGCUGAACUCCGGCGAGCCGACGUGGCCGCGUGAUUAGCGCUAAUCACGGCCAGCUAACCCUCCCCAGAGCCACUGACGUAUGGGCCCCACACCCUUAAUUAAUCUUUGUUUAUUUUCUGUUAAGUUUUAACCUAACCACCAUGGGCCCACGCGUCAGCUUUGACCAAGCUGACGUGGCCGUUGACUGGGCCCACAUGUCAGCGACACAUACCAGCCUAAGACACUGAUCAGUGGACCCACUCGUCAGGUUUGACCUGGACCGCACCCCGUUGACUCGCCUACGUCAUGCUGACGUAGUGCUGACGCAGUGAUGCAUUUUCUGGAAUUAGUUCAAUUAUAAAUAUUCAGGAAAUUCCAGAAAAUGUUUAAAACUUGUAAAAGUCAUACAAAAUCAACCGUAACUCCAAAUGAAAUAAGUUAUAUAUGAAAAAUGAUUAGAAAAAUCCAAUCUAUCCAUCUGUACCAUUUUCAUGCAUGUUAGAACAACUUAUAGUUGCUUUUUAGCACAAAUCAUAUUAAAGGCAUUUAAAUAUCCACAUAUGGAGUUUGAAUUUGAAUCUUGGAUUCAAACCAACUUCAUUUAAUCUGGUUUUAGUUGCAUCAGCACAAAUCAACAGCAUAUUGCCAUGUCACAUUCAUGCAUCAUACUGUUGCAUUGCAUUGAUUGUGCUCUUCCUUGUUUGCCGGUGUUUGUCCCUCCCGCUAGACGUGGUUCCGACGAUGAGUUCGAUGACACCGAUGAAGAGCUAUAUUAUCUUCAGAAGUGCCAGGCAAGCAAAACCCCCUUGUUUAUUCUGAUACAAUCCCACUCUCUCGCUCCUGCUCUCUUUUAUUGCAUUAGGACAACAACAAUUCAUCUGUUACUUGCUGCGGUAGCUGAACCCCUUUAUCCUUUGCAUGACCUGUCAUUGCCACAGUAAAUAGAUGAAACCCACUAGCAUGAGUAGGAGUUGUUUGAGCCUUGAUGUGCCUACUCAUUCAUGCUUGUUGUCAUGCCUGCUACUGCUUAGAGUUGAGUCAGGUCUGAUUCAUCGGGGAUGAAUUGGAGGUGUGUGAACAUGUCCUACUGUGUGAGAGCUAAGUGUGUGAACACGAUUUGGUAAAGGUAGCAGUGAGAGGCCAUGUAGGAGUACAUGGUGGGUUGUCUCAUUGCAGCCGUCCUCAGGAACUGAGUUCUGUGUUUGUGAUCCAUGACCAGCUACUACCAUGCAUUGGAAUGCUUAAGUGCCCCUCUCGACUUAUUAAUCAACUUGAUCUCUGUCCAGGAGUUGUAACUAGUUUCUGGUGUUUGUAGGUAGUGUUAGUAGUCUACCAAGUGGCACCCGGUACAGGUGGGCUUGGGACAGGCUAGGCACAGUGGCCCGGUGUACCAAGUAGCACCCGGAUGGUGGACUUGGGAACCCUGUACACACCGUUUGGGGCCGUGAGCGGCACCCCGGCCGGAUCUCCUUGCGGAUGGAACCCGAAUAGGCGAUAAACCUGGACGAGAGACUUGUGUGGUUAGUCAGGUCGUGGCCGACACCCUCGCUGGGCUUCCGCUUGAAGGUUGCCAAGUACAUGUCGUGUAAACGGCGGUAAGUGGUGAGAGCGUGUGUGAAGAAGUACACCCCUGCAGGGUUAAUAUGAUCUAUUCGAAUAGCCAUGUCCGUGUUGGAAAUAUGCCCUAGAGGCAAUAAUAAAAGUAUUAUUAUUAUAUUUCCUUGUUCAUGAUAAUUGUCUUUUAUUCAUGCUAUAACUGUAUUAUCCGGAAAUCGUAAUACACGUGUGAAUACAUAGACCACAAUAUGUCCCUAGUGAGCCUCUAGUUGACUAGCUCGUUGUGAUCAACAGAUAGUCAUGGUUUCCUGGCUAUGGACAUUGGAUGUCGUUGAUAACGGGAUCACAUCAUUAGGAGAAUGAUGUGAUGGACAAGACCCAAUCCUAAGACUAGCACAAAAGAUCGUGUAGUUCAUUUGCUAGAGCUUUGCCAAUGUCAAGUAUCUCUUCCUUCGACCAUGAGAGCGUGUAACUCAUGGAUACCGUAGGAGUGCUUUCGGUGUAUCAAACGUCACAACGUAACUGGGUGACUAUAAAGGUGCACUACAGGUAUCUCCGAAAGUAUCUAUUGUUUUAUGCGGAUCGAGACUGGGAUUUGUCACUCCGUGUAAACGGAGAGGUAUCUCUGGGCCCACUCGGUAGGACAUCAUCAUAUGCGCAAUGUGACCAAGGAGUUGAUCACGGGAUGAUGUGUUACGGAACGAGUAAAGUGACUUGCCGGUAACGAGAUUGAACAAGGUAUUGGAUACCGACGAUCGAAUCUCGGGCAAGUAACAUACCGAUAGACAAAGGGAAUUGAAUACGGGAUUGAUUAAGUCCUUGACAUCGUGGUUCAUCCGAUGAGAUCAUCGUGGAACAUGUGGGAGCCAUCAUGGGUAUCCAGAUCCCGCUGCUGGUUAUUGACCGGAGAACGUCUCGGUCAUGUCUACAUGUCUCCCGAACCCGUAGGGUCUACACACUUAAGGUUCGAUGACGCUAGGGUUAUAAAGGAAGUUUGUAUGUGGUUACCGAAUGUUGUUCGGAGUCUCGGAUGAGAUCCCGGACGUCACGAGGAGUUCCGGAAUGGUCCGGAGGUAAAGAUUUAUAUAUGGGAAGUCCUAUUUUGGCCACCGGAAAAUGUUCGGGAUUUUUCGGUAUUGUACCGGGAAGGUUCUAGAAGGUUCCGGAGUGGGGCCCACCUGCAUGGGUAUGUAGAUGCAUUCUCUUUCUACUCGUUGCUGGUCUCUCUAUAGAUAGAUCUUGGUGACACGUAGGAAAAUUUUGAAUUUCUGCUACGUUCCCCAACAGUCCGCGGUAAAGGACUUCUGGGUUGCCUGUACAGUUCAUAGACAAGUGAAAGUGGAUACUCUGAAAUACGCAAGAUAAGCAUGAGUGCUAUAGAUGGCGUUCUUGUAGGGAGACGGGAGCGGAUCCAUAGUGGUGUAUUGAUAUGGUGAAUAUGUGGACUCGUGUGCGCCACCUCAAAAGAGUUACUUGCAUUCGUAGUUCAGGUUAGCCACCGAGUCAAAGCUGGCUUGCUGCAGUUAAACCCCACCACUCCCAUUGUUGAUAAUGAUGCAUAUGUAGUUAGUUCUGAUGUAAGUCUUGCUGGGUACAUUUGUACUCACAUUGCUUAAUUUAUGUUUUUGCAGAGAGACUUCAGCCUCGCUAGUAGUUCCUCGUGGACUUCGACGUUUAGCUUGUUACCUCAGCUACGAUCUUGUGCCCUCGGCAGGAUCUGGUAGAUAGUCAGGCUUCUCAGCCUUUUUCAUUUGUAGAUGUCUGUACUCAGACAUGUUAAGUUUCCGCUUGUGCCUUGACUUGUAUGCUCUGAGUGUUGGGUCAUGAAACCCAUGUUUGUAAUAUCUCGCUGCUCGGAGCCUAUUGAAUAAAUACUUGAGUUGUAGAGUCAUGUUGUGAUGCCAUGUUGUAUUUGCACAUAUCGAGCAUAUUGUGUGUAUGUUAUUGAAAUGCUUGGUAUGUGUGGGAUCUGACUAUCUAGUUGUUUAUCCUUAGUAGCCUCUCUUACCGGGAAAUGUCUCCUAGUGCUUCCACUGAGCCAUCGUAGCUUGCUACUGCUCCGGAACACUUAGGCUGGCCGGCAUGUGUCCUUCUUCGUUCCUGUGUCUGUCCCCUCGGGGAAAUGUCACGCGAUGAAUUCCGGAGUCCUGUUAGCCCGCUACAGCCCGGUUCACCGGAGCCCUGCUAGCCCAGUGCUACAGCCUGGAUUCACUCGCUGAUGACCGACACGUUUGUUGUUGGGUCAUGUAUGCCUGUCCCUGUAAGUUAGUGCCACUUUGGGUUCACGACUAGCCAUGUCAGCCCGGGUUCUUUGUCAUAUGGAUGCUAGCGGCACUAUCAUAUACGUGAGCCAAAAGGCGCAAACGGUCCCGGGCCAGGUAAGGUGGCACCCGUGGGAAUACCGUGCGUGAGGCCACAAAGUGAUAUGAUGUGUUACAUGCUAGAUCGGUGUGACUUAGGAUCGGGGUCCUGACACCCUACGGGUUUGAGAACUAUGUAGACAUGACCGAGAACCAUUUCGGGUCAAUAACCAAUAGCGAAACAUGGAUGCUCAUAUUGGCUCCUACAUAUUCUAUGAAGAUCUUUAUCGGUCAAACCGCAUAAUAACAUACAUUGUUCCCUUUGUCAUCGGUAUGUUACUUGCCCGAGAUUCGAUCGUCGGUAUCCAAUACCUAGUUCAAUAUCGUUACCGGCAAGUCUCUUUACUCAUUACGUAAUGCAUCAUUCCGUAACUAACUCAUUAGUUACAUUGCUUGACAGGCUUAUAUUCAUGUGCAUUACCAAGAGGGCCCAGAGAUACCUCUCCAACAAUCGGAGUGACAAAACCUAAUCUCGAAAUACGCCAACUCAACAUGUACCUUUGGAUACACCUGUAGAGCUCCUUUAUAAUCACCUAGUUACGUUGUGACGUUUGGUAGCACACAAAGUGUUCCUCCAGUAAACGGGAGUUGCAUUAUCUCAUAGUUAUAGGAACUUGUAUAAGUCAUGAAGAAAGCAAUAGCAACAUACUAAACGAUCAAGUGCUAAGCUAACGGAAUGGGUCAAGUCAAUCACAUCAUUCUCCUAAUGAUUUGAUCCCGUUAAUCAAAUGACAACACAUGUCUAUGGUUAGGAAACAUAACCAUCUUUGAUUAAUGAGCUAGUCAAGUAGAGGCAUACUAGUGACAUUAAGUUUGUCUAUGUAUUCACACAUGUAUCAUGUUUCCGGUUAAUACAAUUCUAGCAUGAAUAAUAAACAUUUAUCAUGAUAUGAGGAAAUAACUAAUAACUUUAAUAUUGCCUCUAGGGCAUAUUUCCUUCAAGUUGUGCAUUAGAGAAGUGGGAGUCGACCUUGAAUCUUUGUGUUCAUGCCCAUGGACCUGGUGUGGAACUUAUCAUGUAAGCUUCUUGUUAUAAUAAUAACCCCCUUGUGAUAAGUUCAUCUGUUAUCUAUAUUUGGUCCUUUCCAACUGUGGUUUCGACCAUAUUGUUCUUCUUUGAUCCCAUUUCUCGGACAAGUUAAAGUACUUGUCUUCUGUAGAUCAUUUCACUCGUCCAACCUAUGUUCUGCUAUAGCCUCGAGUAUUACCCUCUGGUAUCUCGAGAGUAUCUCAGAACUACAUUACUUAUUAUGAGUUCUUCAUCAACUAUUAUUCUCGUCGAUUCAAAAUUUCCACGUGUUCCAAGUUGUUACACACUCGAGAACACCGAUAACUGAUUUGAGUCUACACUCUGCUUUCCAUUGUUUUGUUUAACCUAUUCCCUGCUUAUGUAAACACCUCGCUGUACAAACUCUAUCAGUAAGACCUUGUUACUAUUGUUGAUGACAUUCUGGUAGCCACCGAUGGGGCGAGAACUUUGCCUAUUGGUUUGCCUCGUCUUAACGAGCAGAAAAAUGGUUCUCUUCGUCCCUCGCCCUUGGUACCAACAUUGUUGCUAACAUAACUGACAAGUUGUCCUUUGAACCGCCUUGCUAUCAUAACCGUGCAAAAUGUAACGCCUUCUUGCUUUUAACCCACAUGGUGGGUGAUACGUCUCCAACGUAUCUAUAAUUUAUGAAGCAUUCAUGCUAUUUUAUUAUCUGUUUUGAAUGAUUACGGGCUUUAUUAUACACUUCUAUAUUACUUUUGGGACUAACCUACUAACCGGAGGCCCAACCCAUAUUGUUGUUUUAUUGCCUGUUUUAGUAUUUUGAAGAAAAGAAAUAUCAAACGGAGUCCAAACGAAAUGAAACCUUCGGUAGCGUGAUUUUUUGGAAGAAUAUGAUCUUGGAGAAUUGGAGUUCAUGUCAGAAGAUCCUCGAGGAGGCCAGGAGAUAGGGGGCGCCCCCCCCCCUACUAGGCGCGCCCCCUGUCUCAUGGGCCCCUCGAGCACCCCCCGACCGACUUCUUUCACCUAUAUAGUCCCACGUACCCUAAAAACAUCCACAGAGAAGAUAGAUCGGGAGUUCCGCCGCUGCAAGCCUCUGUAGCCACCAAAAACCUCUCGGGAGCCUGUUCCGGCACCCUGCCGGAGGGGGAACCCAUCACCGGUGGCCAUCUUCAUCAUCCCGGCGCUCUCCAUGACGAGGAGGGAGUAGUUCACCCUCGGGGCUGAGGGUAUGUACCAGUAGCUAUAUGUUUGAUCUCUCUCUCUCUCUCUUGUGUUCUCUCUAUGGCACGAUCUUGAUGUAUCGCGAGCUUUGCUAUUAUAGUUGGAUCUUAUGAUGUUUCUCCCCCCCCCCCUACUCUCUUGUGAUGAAUUGAGUUUUCCUCUUGAAGUUAUCUUAUCGGAUUGAGUCUUUAAGGAUUUGAGAACACUUGAUGUAUGUCUUGCCAUGCUUAUCUAUGGUGACAAUGGGAUAUUCACGUGAUCCACUUCAUGUAUGUUUUGGUGAUCAACUUGCGGGUUCCGCCCAUGAACCUAUGCAUAGGGGUUGGCACACGUUUUCGUCUUGACUCUCCGGUAGAAACUUUGGGGCACUCUUUGAAGUACUUUGUGUUGGUUGAACAGAUGAAUCUGAGAUUGUGUGAUGCAUAUCGUAUAAUCAUGCCCACAGAUACUUGAGGUGACAAUGGAGUAUCUAGGUGACAUUAGGGUUUUUGUUGAUUUGUGUCUUAAGGUGUUAUUCUAGUACGAACUCUUGAAUAGAUCGAUCCGAAAGAAUAACUUUGAGGUGGUUUCGUACCCUACCAUAAUCUCUUUGUUUGUUCUUCGCUAUUAGUUGCUUCGGAGUGACUCUUUGUUGCAUGCUGAGGGAUUGUUAUAUGAUCUAUUUAUGUUAUUAUUGUUGAGAGAACUUGCACUAGUGAAAGUAUGAACCCUAGGCCUUGUUUCCUACCAUUGCAAUACCGUUUACGCUCACUUUUAUCAUUAGUUACCUUGUUGUUUUUAUAAUUUUAGAUUACAAAAACCUUUAUCUACUAUCCAUAUUGCACUUGUAUCACCAUCUCUUCGCCGAACUAGUGCACCUAUACAAUUUACCAUUGUAUUGGGUGUGUUGGGGACACAAGAGACUCUUUGUUAUUUGGUUGCAGGGUUGCUUGAGAGAGACCACAUCUUCAUCCUAUGCCUCCCACGGAUUGAUAAACCUUAGGUCAUCCACUUGAGGGAAAUUUGCUACUGUCCUACAAACCCGUGCACUUGCAGGCCCAACAACGUCUACAAGAAGAAGGUUGUGUAGUAGACAUCAAGCUAUUUUCUGGCGCCGUUGUCGGGGAGGUGAGUGCUUGAAGAUAUAUCUUUAGAUCUUGCAAUCGAAUCUUUUUGUUUCUUGUUUUAUCACUAGUUUAGUUUAUAAAAGAAAAUUACAAAAGAAUGGAGUUAAGCUUGUCUCAUACGCUUCGUCUUUUUAAUAUCUUUCGUGAGUAUGAUGGAAAGGAAAAUUGUGCUCAAGUGCUAGAAGAAGAAUGCAUUAAAAUGCUUAGUACUAAAUCUUUGAAUGAUGAGCAUGAUUGCAAUGUUGUUAGUAUGAACUCCUUGAAUAUCCAUAGUACUAAUGAUGAUUGCUCUAGUCAUGAUGAAAAUAUCUCUUAUAAGCAUGUCAGCUUUUGUGGAGUGCAUGUUUGCAUGAACAUUCCAAAUAGAGAAGAUAUAUAUUGCAAGAGUCAUAAGCACUUAGAAACUAAAUGGUUGCAAGAAAGGCUAAAUGUUAGUGCUGAAAAUUUGAAUUUCCUUUUCCGUACUUGUGAACUCUGCAAUGAACGUGGUCAUUUACAUCUCCUAUGCAAAUUGUUUCAUGAUCGAAUCGUGUCCAAAAAUUGUGAUGAUUUGAUCUCCCUUGCACAUUAUAAUGAACUUAGUUUGCUUUUGGGUUAUGAAGAGUUGAAACGUUUAACUAAGCAUAUUCCAGAAUUUAAUCUUGAGCAUUUCCUUGAUAUUGAUCUAGAGAAGAUUUAUUUGUAUUGUGCAGUGAAUUGCAUUGAAAAUCCUUAUAUUGCCAAUUACAUAAAGAAAAGAAAGCAAACAGAAGACGAAGAGAAUACUAAUGAAAGGGAAGAGACUUCCCAGUCUCCUCCUAUUAUUUCUUAUGAUGAAUCAUGUAACGAGGAGGAGCUUCCUAUUCAACCAAUAUCUUCAAUAAGGAGCUCAAAGAGGAAGGUUGAACCCACACAUAAUGUGAAGAAGAAAAAGAAAAGAAGGAGCAACAAAGGUAGAAAGGUAUCCCUCCCAAAUGAUGUUGCUCCUACUACUCAUUGUGAUGAUGAUAAUUGCUAUACUAUUGGUGCUAUCCAUAUUUUUAAUGAUGAGAGUGUGAUUAUGCUUAUGAUAUGAAAGGGCCCAAGCUUGGUGUAACAUCCCAAAUUUUCAAUUUGGCAUGUUAUACAUAGGUCGAAGAGAGUUGCAAUCCUCGAAAUCCUAAGCAACUCAAGGACCCUUGGAGAGAGUUGGGGAUUUUCCGAUUUUCAUAUUUGAUUUUUAUCAAAUAAUGAAGACGAGGAUUUUUAAUUUUAAUUAUUUUAUCUCCAUAAAAUAUUUCAUUUUAAAUAAAUAAAUGAGAGGAGAUAAUAUGACUUCUCCAAAAAUAAUUGAAAUAUCGGAGGAAAAAUGUUAAAAUCAUUAUUUGGUUUUUAUAUGUUUUUUUUGGAAUUUUAAUUGCCCUAGAAAAAUUUGCAUCUUUUAAAAAUUGCAUUUUAGGGGCCAAGAAAAGUUCAUCUCGUUCUAAAUAUUCCAUUUAGACGGAGAAAACUUGUUUUGGAAUUUUUAGAUUUUUAUUUAUUUUUCUAAGUCUGCGGAACAUUUAAAAAAAAAGAGGACCCGCGCCCGACUGGGCCAAGGGCCCAGCCGAGCAGGCAGGCCCAGCCGCCCGAGCCGCGCCGCCGCCUUCCCCGCGCCGCUGCCGCCGUGUUCGAUGCGGACACCGCCGCCGCCUUGCCCCUCCCCCAAGUCGGAGCCGCCGCUGAUGGAGUCAUGUACCUAGGGUAGGGUCACAGACCUGAUCUAAGUACCCUGCCCAAGGACACCCUUAGAAGAGAUCACCUUCCAGUCGACCUACGAGGGACUCACUCGACUGACUUGAAGGACUCGACCACGAAGACUCACUCGACCACCAGAAGGUCAAGAGGCACUCUGCACUGCAACGGUCUGUAAUUAAGUAGAUUUUAUGAUAGUAAAGACACUUUAUGUGGGGUGUUACCAGUAACGCCCCGGACUUAAUGUACCUUAAACCCUUCAUUACGUGGGUUGGCUGGGGUCCUGGCGCACUCUAUAUAAGCCACCCCCCUCCACAGGCAGAAGGGUUCGGCACCCUGUAAUCCAUAUACACAUAAUCCACUCGACCGCCUCCGGGCUCCGAGACGUAGGGCUUUUACUUCCUCCGAGAAGGGCCUGAACUCGUACAUCUCUUGUGCUUACAACCUCUCCAUAGCUAGGACCUUGCCUCUCCAUACCUACCCCCCACUCUACUGUCAGACUUAGAUCCACGACAGUUGGCGCCCACCAUGGGGCGGGUGUUUUAGCGAUUUUGUGGAGAAGUUGCGAUUCUUCCGAGUACUUUCAUCAUGGUAGCUGCUGGAGUUUUGGUCGAGGGUCGAGAGAUUCGUCUCGGUGCUCUCACCUUCGUCGCCGACGACUCCGCCUGGCUCCAGGAGGCUCCACUCGACGUCGAUGCGCUCCCCGUCCGCGGUGCGACGCAUUUUCGCGCAUGUGUCCGCGGUGUUCUGCUGCGGCAACCGUCGACCCCAUAUCGGUCGACUCCCCUAUCAACCACCCUCCCAGUCUCCCGCCAGCGCAAGCGCUCGGGUCGGUUGAGGCUUCAGCGGUGGGUGAGACACGCGGUGGUUCGCUAGACGGCCACCACCCAAGUUGCGGCAAUCGAGCCCGACGAAUCUCUCUACGGCCUGUUCGAUCUGUCGACUGGCUCCGUAGAGACUGCAUCCAAAUGCGAUAGUAGUGAUCCAGCGGCGGAAAUCUUGAUGGUCGACGGGCCUCGCAGCCCCCCUGGCUUCACCCGUGAUGGUGGGGCAGGCGACGGAGGCGACCCCGCACGAGACCACGAAGAGUACCAGCCCGAGCCACUCGACUCUCUGCAAAGAGAGGAACUUCGCCGCAGAAACAUGGAUGCCCUGCAUACUCCCAUCGCAGGAGAAACCCCCGAGGCUCGCGCCUUGGAGGAGGCACGUUUGGCCAAUUUGGCCGAACGCGCUCGCCUGGAGAAUCUUCAGUGAGCACUCGACGAGCGCGCGCGGCAACGAGUUCCCGACGCCAGUCGACAUCAACUCUUCCCGCCGACUCAGGUAUAUCGAACCCCAAUCCAGAAUUUAGCAGCUGCGACCCGUAUAGCAGAGUCCAUCCAGCCCUCUCAGUCGGAAGCUGGCAGAGGCUUGAUGCAGAUCAGGGAUCUGCUCCGGGCAGCAGGAGAUCAGAAUUCAGCCGUGUCGCAGUCGCGCAACAGAAUUCACAGUCGAUCCGUCGCUGCGAAUACGGUUCAGUCGGCUCACAGUCCCAGAUCGCCUUCGCGGCGUGAAGGGCGCGAGAAUCGGCGAGACCAAUAUGAAGACCGACACGACCGAGAUGAUAGGCGUCGAGUGCCCACUUCCCCUCUGAGGGGUGGGUCUUACGCUCCUCGGCAGCAAGAUGACAGGCGUCAGCUCAGUGCGGGGUGAAGAGUUCCAGUCGACCCCAGGGAACCAGGCUUCGACGCGCGAUCCAUUAUCGUGCAAGGCUUGGUCGACCGGAACAGAGCCCAUCGAGGUGGACUCGACAGAGAUGCGCCCAUGAACAGUCGAGUGCACAUUUCUGGUCCAGAAUGUUUCAGCAGAGCUAUCAGAGCCGCAGUGAUUCCUCCCAAUUUCAGGUUGGUAACAGGAGUCAGCAAGUUCACCGGUGAGUCUAAGCCCGAAACUUGGCUUGAGGACUACCGAGUGGCGGUCCAGAUUGGUGCUGGGAAUGACGAGGUGGCCAUGAAGCAUUUGCCCCUCAUGUUGGAAGGUUCUGCCAGAGCGUGGUUGAAUCAGUUACCUCCUAGCAGCAUUUACACUUGGGAAGAUUUGUCCUGAGUGUUCGUCAGAACGUUUGAAGGAACUUGCAAGCGACCGGCUGGAUUGACGGAGCUGCAAGUCUGCGUGCAGAAGACCAAUGAGACUCUCAGGGAGUAUAUUCAGAGAUGGAUCACUUUGCACCAUACUGUGGAGAAUGUGUCUGAUCAUCAGGCAGUCUGCGCCUUCAAGGAUGGUGUCAAGAACAGAGAAUUGAGUUUGAAAUUUGGUCGAACCGGAGACAUGACUUUGAGUCGGAUGAUGGAAAUUGCUACCAAGUACGCCAACGGCGAAGAAGAAGACCGACUCCGAAGCGGCAAGCACAAGUCGAGCCAGUCGGAGAAGGGAAACACCAGUCAGAAACAUAAGCGGGAGGCUGAACCGGCAGCUCCUGGAGAGGCUCUGGCCAUGGCUCAUGGAAAGUCUAAAGGGAAACCAAAAGGAUCCUGGAACCCUAAGAAGGUAAAGGAUAAAGAAGGGAACGACGUGAUGGAUAUGCCGUGUCACAUCCACACGAAGAAAGACGAAGAAGGGAAUAUCAUUUACCCAAAGCAUACCACUCGCCAAUGUCGACUCAUGAUCCAGCAGUUUCAAGGAAAACAGUCUAAGGACAAGGAAAAGGAGUCGGACAAGGCCGAAGACAAGGAGGACAGUGAGGAAGGAUAUCCGCAUGUCAACUCCACUCUGAUGAUCUUUGCAGAUGUGGAAAGCAAGAGUUGAUUGAAAGUCAUUAACCGCGAGGUGAACAUGGUUACCCCAGCAAAAGCAAAUUAUCUGAGAUGGUCCCAAACACCCAUCACAUUCGACCAAUCUGAUCACCCGACUCAUAUUGCCACCCCUGGGAGGCAAGCUUUGGUGGUCGAUCCAGUUGUCGAAGGCACUCGACUGACAAAAGUGUUGAUGGACGGUGGUAGCGGGCUGAAUUUGUUGUAUGCAGACACACUGAAAGGAAUGGGCAUUCCGAUGUCCCGACUGAGCACUAGUAACAUGAGCUUUCAUGGAGUUAUACCAGGGAAGAAAGCCGAGUCACUCGGCCAAAUAGCUUUGGACGUGGUGUUUGGUGAUUCGAAACAUUUUCGCAAAGAGAAGUUGACGUUUGAGGUCGUGGAUUUUCAGAGUGCAUAUCAUGCCAUUUUGGGGAGACCAGCUUAUGCACGGUUCAUGGCUCGACCAUGUUACGUGUACCUCAAAUUGAAGAUGCUCGGCCCCAAAGGAGUGAUCACUGUCACCGGUGAUCGGAAAAAGGCAGAAGAGUGCUUUCAGAAGGGCUCAAAGAUUGCUGAUUCCCAGGUGACAGCGGUCGAGUUUGAAGAAUACAAGCAAAACGCAGAUCCGAGUGAUUUGCUGCGAUCCAAGAAACCCGCCACAGAAUCUACAUUUCAGUCGUCCGGUGAGACGAAGCCUGUUCACAUUCACCCGACCGACCCCGAUGCAGCUCCGACCCACAUCUCCACAACACUCGACUCGAAAUAGGAAGAAGCGCUCAUCCAGUUCCUCCGUGAGAACUGGGACAUUUUUGCAUGGAAGCCCGCUGACAUGCCAGGUGUUCCCAGGGGACUGGCUGAGCAUCGCCUAAGAGUCGACUCAUCAGCAAAACCAGUCAAAGAGCAUCUUCGGCGGUCCGCCGUCCAGAAGAGAAAAGCCAUUGGUGAGGAAGUGGCUCGACUGUUGGCGGCAAGAUUUAUCCGAGAGAUAUACCACUCCGAGUGGCUCGCUAAUGUCGUCAUGGUUCCUAAGAAGGACAAAUCGCUCCGAAUGUGUAUUGAUUUCAAGCACAUCAACCGGGCCUGCCCGAAAGAUCAUUUUCCCCUCCCUCGCAUAGAUCAAAUUGUUGACUCGACCGCGGGAUGUGAGAGAUUGUCUUUUCUAGACGCUUACUCCGGGUACCACCAGAUCCGUCUGUACGGACCCGACGAGGUAAAAACAGCUUUCAUCACUCCAUUCGGGUGCUUCUGCUAUAUCACCAUGCCAUUCGGCCUCAAGAAUGCCGGAGCCACAUUUAUGCGAAUGAUUCAGAAGUGUCUACUCACUCAAAUCAGACGGAAUCUGGAAGCGUAUAUGGAUGAUAUCGUCGUCAAGUCACGAAAAGGUUCCGACCUGCUCGCUGACCUCGCCGAAACAUUUGCCAACCUCAGAAGGUAUGAUAUCAAGCUCAAUCCAUCAAAGUGCACAUUCGCAGUUCCUGGUGGCAAGUUACUCGGUUUUCUCGUUUCCGAGCCGGUGCUUGCUGCUCCAAUCAGCAAAGAGCCUCUGUUGCUUUAUAUCGCAGCCACAGGACAAGUCGUCAGUACUGUGCUUACGGUCGAGCGGGAAGAAGAAGGAAAAGCUUUCAAAGUUCAGCGCCCAGUGUAUUAUUUGUCUGAAGUCUUGACUCCAUCCAAGCAGAGAUAUCCUCAUUAUCAGAAGCUUGUGUAUGGAAUAUACAUGACCACAAAGAAGGUUGCUCAUUAUUUCUCUGAUCAUUCCAUCACAGUCGUCAGCGGCGCUCCACUAUCAGAGAUUUUGCACAACAGAGAUGCAACUGGUCGAGUGGCGAAAUGGGCGAUUGAACUUCUUCCCCUUGAUAUCAAGUUUGAGGCAAAGAAAGCCAUUAAGUCCCAGGCAAUAGAAGAUUUCCUCGCCGAGUGGAUUGAACAGCAGCAGCCGACUGAAGUUCACUCGGAGCAUUGGACCAUGUUUUUUGAUGGCUCUAAGAUGUUGAAUGGUUCCGGUGCUGGGGUUGUCCUGGUUUCCCCCAGAGGAGAUAAGCUCAGAUAUGUGCUCCAGAUUCACUUUGAUUCCUCUAACAAUGAGGCAGAGUAUGAGGCCCUCUUAUACGGAUUGCGCAUGGCCAUUUCACUCGGCGUCCGUCGCCUGAUGGUCUAUGGCGAUUCAGAUUUAGUGGUCAACCAAGUGAUGAAGGAGUGGGACGUGAGAAGCCCAGCCAUGACUGGAUACUGCAGUGCAGUGAGGAAGCUGGAAAAGAAGUUCGAGGGGUUGGAGCUCCAUCAUAUACCCCGACUGAAAAAUCAAGCAGCUGAUGAUCUAGCAAAGAUAGGUUCCAAGAGAGGAGCCAUUCCGAGUGGUGUGUUCUUGGAGCAUAUACACACUCCAUCAGUCAAAGAAGAUCCUUUCACCGAAGAAGCUCCACAGCCCAAGAGUGCCACAGAUCCGACUGAGGUUGAAGUCCUAGCAGUGGUCGACUUGGUCAUGGAGGUCUUGGUGGUCAUCCCCGACUGGACAGUUCCGUAUAUCGCGUAUAUCCUGAGAAAAGAGCUUCCGGAGGAUGAGGAAGAGGCUCGACAUAUCGUCCGUCGAUCUAAAGCCUUUACCGUAAUCAAAGGACAGUUAUAUAGAGAAAGCGCGACUGGAGUUGGUCAGAAGUGCAUAACACCAGAAGAAGGUCAAAUCAUCCUUAAUGAUAUCCACUCGGGAACCUGUGGUCAUCAUGCGUCCUCUCGGACCAUCGUGGCCAAAGCAUACCGAGCCGGAUUUUACUGGCCAAAAGCGAAUGAGAUGGCAAAGGAAAUAGUGGAUAAGUGCGAGGGAUGUCAGUUCUACUCGAAUAUGUCGCACAAGCCUGCAUCAGCUCUGAAGACCAUUCCACUCGUCUGGCCUUUCGCAGUAUGGGGGUUGGACAUGGUCGGCCCUUUGAGAACAGGUCGGAAUGGCUUCACGCACGUACUGGUGGCAGUCGACAAGUUCACCAAGUGGAUUGAGGCUAAACCAAUCAAGAACCUUGACGCCGGUACUGUUGUUAGCUUCAUCAGGGAACUGAUAUUCAGAUAUGGAGUCCCGCACAGCAUCAUUACGGAUAAUGGGUCGAACUUUGACUCGAAGGAAUUCAGGGAUUUCUGCAACUCUCAAGGCACACGAGUCGACUACGCUUCAGUCGCCCAUCCGCAGACGAAUGGACAAGCAGAGCCAAUGGCCUGAUUCUCAAGGGAUUGAAACCCCGACUGAUGCGUGAUCUCAAGCAUGCAGCUGGAGCUUGGGUCGACGAACUUCCCUCGGUGCUUUGGGGACUGCGGACCACACCUAAUCGGUCGACCGGAAGAACUCCAUUCUUCUUGGUCUACGAAGCUGAAGCAGUUUUGCUGAGUGAUCUUCUCCACAAUGCUCCUCGAGUUGAGAUCUACAACGAAGCAGAAGCUGAACAAGCGCGGCAGGACGCAGUCGACCUUUUAGAGGAAGAAAGGGAGAUGGCUCUGAUCCGAUCGACCAUCUACCAACAAGAUUUGCGUCGUUUCCACGCCAGAAAUGUGAGGGGUCGAGCCUUCCAGGAAGGAGAUUUAGUUCUCCGAGUGGAUCAGAAGAAACAUCACAAGCUUGCUCCUUCUUGGGAAGGACCCUUCAUCGUCACCAAAGUUCUCCACAACGGGGCGUACCGUCUUUACAACGUCGAACAUAAUAUCGACGAGCCCCGAGCUUGGAACGCGGAACUACUCCGCCCAUUUUACACUUAAGUUUAUCACUCGGAUGAGUUGCAAUAAAGUACUCCUGUAGUUCAUGGAUUUCAAAAUAAUAGUGUCAUAGUUCCUCCAUAAUUUUUGUCACUUUUUAUUUUGUCCAAUAAANNNNNNNNNNNNNNNNNNNNNNNNNNNNNNNNNNNNNNNNNNNNNNNNNNNNNNNNNNNNNNNNNNNNNNNNNNNNNNNNNNNNNNNNNNNNNNNNNNNNNNNNNNNNNNNNNNNNNNNNNNNNNNNNNNNNNNNNNNNNNNNNNNNNNNNNNNNNNNNNNNNNNNNNNNNNNNNNNNNNNNNNNNNNNNNNNNNNNNNNNNNNNNNNNNNNNNNNNNNNNNNNNNNNNNNNNNNNNNNNNNNNNNNNNNNNNNNNNNNNNNNNNNNNNNNNNNNNNNNNNNNNNNNNNNNNNNNNNNNNNNNNNNNNNNNNNNNNNNNNNNNNNNNNNNNNNNNNNNNNNNNNNNNNNNNNNNNNNNNNNNNNNNNNNNNNNNNNNNNNNNNNNNNNNNNNNNNNNNNNNNNNNNNNNNNNNNNNNNNNNNNNNNNNNNNNNNNNNNNNNNNNNNNNNNNNNNNNNNNNNNNNNNNNNNNNNNNNNNNNNNNNNNNNNNNNNNNNNNNNNNNNNNNNNNNNNNNNNNNNNNNNNNNNNNNNNNNNNNNNNNNNNNNNNNNNNNNNNNNNNNNNNNNNNNNNNNNNNNNNNNNNNNNNNNNNNNNNNNNNNNNNNNNNNNNNNNNNNNNNNNNNNNNNNNNNNNNNNNNNNNNNNNNNNNNNNNNNNNNNNNNNNNNNNNNNNNNNNNNNNNNNNNNNNNNNNNNNNNNNNNNNNNNNNNNNNNNNNNNNNNNNNNNNNNNNNNNNNNNNNNNNNNNNNNNNNNNNNNNNNNNNNNNNNNNNNNNNNNNNNNNNNNNNNNNNNNNNNNNNNNNNNNNNNNNNNNNNNNNNNNNNNNNNNNNNNNNNNNNNNNNNNNNNNNNNNNNNNNNNNNNNNNNNNNNNNNNNNNNNNNNNNNNNNNNNNNNNNNNNNNNNNNNNNNNNNNNNNNNNNNNNNNNNNNNNNNNNNNNNNNNNNNNNNNNNNNNNNNNNNNNNNNNNNNNNNNNNNNNNNNNNNNNNNNNNNNNNNNNNNNNNNNNNNNNNNNNNNNNNNNNNNNNNNNNNNNNNNNNNNNNNNNNNNNNNNNNNNNNNNNNNNNNNNNNNNNNNNNNNNNNNNNNNNNNNNNNNNNNNNNNNNNNNNNNNNNNNNNNNNNNNNNNNNNNNNNNNNNNNNNNNNNNNNNNNNNNNNNNNNNNNNNNNNNNNNNNNNNNNNNNNNNNNNNNNNNNNNNNNNNNNNNNNNNNNNNNNNNNNNNNNNNNNNNNNNNNNNNNNNNNNNNNNNNNNNNNNNNNNNNNNNNNNNNNNNNNNNNNNNNNNNNNNNNNNNNNNNNNNNNNNNNNNNNNNNNNNNNNNNNNNNNNNNNNNNNNNNNNNNNNNNNNNNNNNNNNNNNNNNNNNNNNNNNNNNNNNNNNNNNNNNNNNNNNNNNNNNNNNNNNNNNNNNNNNNNNAAAAAAUCCUAGCGAGUGAAGAGCAAACCUCUCACUCGGGGGCUUAGCUGCAGCCCAGUGCUCGCCUAAGAUAUAAAAAUCCUACCGAGUGAAGAGCAAACCUCUCACUCGGGGGCUUAGCUGCAGCCCAGUGCUCGCCUAAGAUAUAAAAAUCCUACCGAGUGAAAAGCAAAUCUCUCACUCAGGGACGUAGCCGCAGCCCAGUGCUCGCCUAAGAUAUAAAAAUCCUACUGAGUGAAGAGCAAACCUCUCACUCGGGGGCUUAGCUGCAGCCCAGCGCUCGCCUAAAUGGAUUAAGGAAUAAGUCGACUGCAGUGAGCGUCUUGCUUUGAACCUGCAAAAGACAUUUCAAGCCAAAAGCAAUCAUAUUCAAACAUCAAAUUCAAGUUUGGAACGAUACCUAAAGGAACCGAAAGUGCUCAGGCGCUAAGCCUGUUAAGGGUUAUCGGUUACAACUCCACUCGGCAUACCGAGGCAAAUUUAAAGCGUCGAGCUUAAAAGAAGUUUUUUACCCCUCCUGUGGAGGGCUGGAAGGUGCAACAAAUUCAUCAAGAUCAAUUCCAUCUGCGAUCCGAGUGGCAGCAGCAAUGAAAGUUUCCAUAAAGGACCUGAAGUCGUGUUUCUUGGUGUUGGCCACCCGGAGGGCCGCCAGCUUGUCUUCUCGCGCAUCUUUGCAGUGGACUCGGGCCAGACACAGAGCAACAUCUGCACCACACCGAGCCGAGGACUUUUUCCACUCCUGCACUCGACCAGGGACAGUGUUCAAGCGAGCCAUCAGCGACUCGAGGUCGUUCUGGAGUGUCUCCCUGGGCCAGAGCGUUGAGUCGAUGCGGGAUGUGGCGACCUUCAGCCUUGCAAGAUAGUCCACGACAGCUGCAACACGGGACUCCAGUCGGAAAACAUUCAUAGCAACUUCGUCAUUCACCGGAGAAUUGACGGGGUCAAGGUUUGGUUCCAGCCGGCUAGUCUCUUCUUCAAAGUCUUGACAAAAUUCUGCAAGGGCGAUCACCGAGUCAAGGCAAUGGUCGAAUGGAAAAAUCACAGUUGAAAAUGAUUGUUGAGCGUAAAGGUCUACCUUCAAGCAUAAGGAACAGCUUCUUGGCAAGACCACUCAGGAAGGCCUCCAGAUCAUUUUUCUUCCCAAGAGCAGCUUUCAGAUUGGUAUUUUCUUGUUCAAGCUUGGUGACUGAAGCUAACUUCUCGUCAGCAAGCUUGAUCUUCUCAGCUAGUUCAAGGUCUUUUUUCUGUUGGGCCUCCUUCACCUUACCUGCAAGUUACAGCAAGAUCAGAUUUUGAAACAAAUAAAGGAAAAAAGCAGUCGUCGAAGUCUCACCAAACAUACCUUUGGUCUCCUCCUUUGCCUUCGUCAGAUUCUCCUGAGCCAGCUUCAAAUCCAGCUCGAGCUGAAUGUGCUUGUUUUCCAGCUCAGUGUAGCGAGCCGCAAGGUCACAGGAUCUCUGCGAAGAAUCAAUCGACUAAAUGUCAAAGAUAAUUCACUUCCGAGUGGAAAAAGAAAAAUCAUGCGUUUCUAAGACUACAGCCGAAUACAAGCAUUCGACCGUAGUCUCGGGGACUACACCCAGUGGGUGCACUCAGCGUGCCCCCACUAAUCCUAUUGAAGACAAAGUCGACCAGUCGACCUCAAAAAAAAAGCCUAAGGCCGACUGCCAGCAGUCGACCUUAGCCUUGGGGACUACACCCAGUGGGUGCACUCAGCGUGCCCCCACCGGUUUGCGAAAUCCAUUCGCCAUAGUCGAAUGACGGAAAGACUGAACUUAUAAAGCCUAAGGCCGACUGCCAGCAGUCGACCUUAGCCUUGGGGACUACACCCAGCGGGUGCACUCAGCGUGCCCCCGCUAACACGGAGUUUAAAUCGACACACCCAGUGGGUGAUUACUAUAAAUUCUGAAAAGAAAAGUUUUUGAUAGCAUAUCCUAACAGAGCAAGCGGUGGUCGACUGACCUGAACAUUGCUUUGAAGGGCGGAACUGGCGUCGUAAGCUGCCUGGCUCGCAUCCCGGAUGGUCUUCAACUGCUCCAUCAUGAUCCCUGCCUGGCGUAUCCCUCCUUCGCGGCGCCAGCUUGGUCCUCUGGGACGUGGUGCGUCGUGAAGAGGGAGGGCUGCAGAGCACUCGUCAGUGGAUCUGCGAAGGACACAGUGUGUCGAGUGGUGUUCUCCUCCUCCGCAACCAGAGUCUCAGGAACCGUCACAUCCUGGGGCACCCUGCCGGCAGACGCUUUCCUACUCCUUCUGUGCUUCAGCGGUUCCUCAUCUUCAUCAUCAUCAGGGAGAGUGAUAACAACAUCGGAUGGAGCUACAGAAAAGAAUCAGAAUUAGAGAUCAUGAGUCAGUCGACUAGAAACGGUGUUAAGAGUAUAGUACCAGGUUUUGAGGUUGCUGCGUCCUCCAUCUCAUGGUCGUCAGCCCGGGCUGAGGUUUCAGAAGUAGCAGCACUGCAACUCCAAAGAAUCAGUCGACUAACUCCAGCGCCAACCAGAGAUAAAGUUCGCACAAAACAAGAAGACUUAAACAACAUGAUUACCCUGAUAUGGUGGGGAUGGACACCUUCAUCUUCGGCAGGAGCUUGGUCGGCUUUGACGGGGCCGCCAUGGGCUGCUUCGACGCCUUUUCAGUCGGCGCCGGAGAGGUGGUCCGAGGGCGCUUGGUUGACUGUGUAACAGUCGCAACCCCCUUGCCACGUUCAGUCGCAGGGUCAUGGACAAGCUUCGACCGCCUUUCCGAGCGCGGUGGUGCGACCUCCUCCUCCUCCUCUUCUUCGUCCUCAUCAUCAUCAUCAUCAUCAUCAUCAUCAUCGUCAUCGUCAUCAUCAUCAUCCUCGGCGGCGUUCGAGUCCCACUCCUCCUCCUGGCUCUCGCCCCCGCUCGCUUCUCCCUCCUCGGUCGGAGCCUGGGCUCCGUUGGGCAUCGAGUACAGCUCAGUGAGGGCCUGAUAGACAUCAAGACAAAGAUCAGUCGACCGAUCAGCAGAGAAAACAGAAAUAAAUGUGACGAGAAUACAAUGGGAAGUGGAGCAGACAUACCUUGUUUGGAUCACUGUGGCAGUCGAGUGGAGGAAUCCUUCUGGCUCCGCGAGGGUUAUCCUUGUUCCCAGUAACAGCAGCCAUCCACCUUUCCAGAGUGGCAUCGUCGACUGCUUCUGGAUUGACCCGAGUCACAUCCUCAGUCCCACAGUACAACCACAUGCAAUGGCUCCGGAACUGAAGAGGCUGGAUACGACGCCUAAGAAAAACCUCCAGGAGAUCCAUACCCGUCACUCCCUCCCGAACCAACUGAACUACACGCUCCAUCAGCAUCUUCACGUCAGCUUUCUCCUCCGGAAUCACCUUCAGAGAGGAGGGCUUGUUCACUCGGCCCAUGGUGAACUGAGGGAGUCCACUCGACUGCCCCGGCGUCGACUGAUCCUGGCAGUAGAACCAGGUCGACUGCCAGCCUCUGACUGACUCGGGAAAUGUCAUGGCUGGGAAGGUGCUCUUGUUCCUCACCUGGAUCCCCAGACCCCCACACAUUUGGAAAACUCGGGUUUUUUCAUCGCCUGGGCUCGCCUUCUUCACGGUCUGAGAGCGACACGUGAAUAUGUGCUUGAACAAACCCCAAUGCGGUCGACAACCCAGGAAACUCUCACACAUGGACACAAACGCGGCAAGAUAGGCGAUAGAAUUCGGGGUGAAGUGGUGGAGUUGCGCUCCAAAGAAGUUCAAGAAACCACGGAAGAAAAUGCUCGGCGGCAAAGAAAAUCCGCGGUCGACAUGGGUAGCCAGAAGCACGCACUCACCCUCUUUCGGCUGGGGCUGCCACUCUUUCCCCGGAAGCCUCGCAGCUCCAUGAGGGAUCAGGCCCUCGUUGGCCAUGUCGAGGAGAUCCUUCUCCGUGAUGGUCGACUGUAUCCAAUCUCCCUGGACCCAGCCUUUCGGCAGGCGAGAUCUAGACGAAGACCCGCCACGACUGGUGGAUCUCCCCUUCGCCUUCUCCAUCGCCGACGCCUUCUUCGCGCGUUCCAACGCCGCCGUCUUCUCCUUGACCAUGGCUGCCGGCGGGACGCGCGAGGAGAAGUUGUGCGGAGGCGAGAGCGAGCGCGUUGGGCGGAGACGAAGGGAACAGAGGGAGAAUGCUGAGGCACUAUUCAAAAAACCCUCGCCGGGCGCAUUUAUAAGAUCCCUUCCGAGUGGAUGACAGGUGGGCCCGGUCGAUCUAAUCAUAUCUUGAACAGUUACGCGGACGCGAUACGUGGCAAAAAAAGUGGCGUGGGGAUCGAGGCGUCUAUGCCCUGUCCCGUCCGAACACCGCGGUCCGCCCCGCUUCGCGCGCUUCCCCAAAUUUCGCAUCCCGCGGAAUCCGCGAACGGCAGAUCGGUCUGCCAAACGCGGGAUUUCCUGCGAUCCGUCGCUCGGAAAUCGGCGAAAUCCAAAAGAUCACUCGACGAAAGAAAAGAAUGGAUCGAGUCGACUGAAGAAAGGUUGCUCACUAUCAACAAAGAGGUUUUUUGGUUCAAAACAACGCACGAUCAAAACAACGCACGACCAGUAUGCGAAGGCUAAUCAGAAACAACAUCAACUCCUUCAUCACUCAAGCCUCAAUCCAUUCGGGGGCUAAUGAUGGAGUCAUGUACCUAGGGUAGGGUCACAGACCUGAUCUAAGUACCCUGCCCAAGGACACCCUUAGAAGAGAUCACCUUCCAGUCGACCUACGAGGGACUCACUCGACUGACUUGAAGGACUCGACCACGAAGACUCACUCGACCACCAGAAGGUCAAGAGGCACUCUGCACUGCAACGGUCGGUAAUUAAGUAGACUUUAUGAUAGUAAAGACACUUUAUGUGGGGUGUUACCAGUAACGCCCCGGACUUAAUGUACCUUAAACCCUUCAUUACGUGGGUUGGCUGGAGUCCUGGCGCACUCUAUAUAAGCCACCCCCCUCCACAGGCAGAAGGGUUCGGCACCCUGUAAUCCAUAUACACAUAAUCCACUCGACCGCCUCCGGGCUCCGAGACGUAGGGCUUUUACUUCCUCCGAGAAGGGCCUGAACUCGUACAUCUCUUGUGCUUACAACCUCUCCAUAGCUAGGACCUUGCCUCUCCAUACCUACCCCCCACUCUACUGUCAGACUUAGAUCCACGACANNNNNNNNNNNNNNNNNNNNNNNNNNNNNNNNNNNNNNNNNNNNNNNNNNNNNNNNNNNNNNNNNNNNNNNNNNNNNNNNNNNNNNNNNNNNNNNNNNNNNNNNNNNNNNNNNNNNNNNNNNNNNNNNNNNNNNNNNNNNNNNNNNNNNNNNNNNNNNNNNNNNNNNNNNNNNNNNNNNNNNNNNNNNNNNNNNNNNNNNNNNNNNNNNNNNNNNNNNNNNNNNNNNNNNNNNNNNNNNNNNNNNNNNNNNNNNNNNNNNNNNNNNNNNNNNNNNNNNNNNNNNNNNNNNNNNNNNNNNNNNNNNNNNNNNNNNNNNNNNNNNNNNNNNNNNNNNNNNNNNNNNNNNNNNNNNNNNNNNNNNNNNNNNNNNNNNNNNNNNNNNNNNNNNNNNNNNNNNNNNNNNNNNNNNNNNNNNNNNNNNNNNNNNNNNNUCGAGCCCCGCCGGAGCCGCCCGCCCCGCCGGACGACCUCGCCGGAGGUAGCCGCACCGCCGUCAUUUUUUUAUAAAAACCCCUUCGGUUUUUUUAAGAAAAACCCUAGUUCGUUUUUUUAGAUCGGCUUUAUUUUUCUGGUUUAUUUACUUAGCGAGCGUUCGCUCGUUCGUUCAUUUUAACGAACGUGUUCGUCAUUUAGUUUCUGCUAACGAACGUUCGUUCAUUUAGCCGUUCAUCGUUUUUCUUUUUAUCGGAUUUAUUCCGCGAUUAUUCUGAUCGCGAUUUCUGAUCCGAUGUUCGAACCAGUUUAACUUUUCGCUCGUUUAUCGGAAUCAGGCGAUUCAAGCGCCUGGAGUUUCAUCUCGAAACCCUCUUUCCGAAUAAUCAACUCAAACAAGUUUUUGUCUCGGUAAAUUUGACCCUAGUUCAGAUUAGUAAAUGGAUCUUGUUUCUUUUGCCGUUUGAGUUUCGUUGUUACGUUUGGUUUGUUUCUUUUUGUGAACCGGAGUUCUUAAGUUGAACUCUCCGGUCAACCUCUUUUAUUUGGAGCUUUACUUGUGCAUCUUGCUAGUUGCUUAUGUAAGUUAUUGUUUGUUUGCAAUAGAAUUCCCGGAGUGCGAAGCGUGUUACUACGAGUCUCUAGGAUUCACGGAUCGUCAGCAAGGCAAGUAACACUUUGAUCAUACUCUUUUCAUACCCAGUUUUUAUGCAUUAGUUUCAACCCUCAAACAUUGCAUGGUUAGGAUGUCAUUAACUUGUGGGUUGGGAAGUAGUUGCUGAGGUAGAACCUAUUGCCCUGUUCAUUAUCAAACCCUUGGGAGUUAUUUCUGCGCGUUGCUUAUAUUGGUAUGCUAUGCUUGUAGACGUGGAUUGGGUUUGAGUGUAUCCAUGACAGAUGUGAGUUUGUUAAUUAAUGGUUUAUUUAAGGUGGCAACUUUAAUACACAUCUAGGUGGAUUGAGGCACCUGGGGAAUCCAGUGUUGUCUGUUUUAUUUUUGGAAAUCCCAGGGUUACCGUGUGAUCUUCCUAUGGACCGCCACCCAGGCUCAAAGGGAACUGAGUCUAUUCAUGCUAGAAACUUUCGUGUGCAGCCACAAGCUAUUAUGGGCUCUAGCAUAGUUGAGUAAGUUACGUGAAGCUCUUGAAGAGGUAGAUCAGUAGGUAGUGGGUUUUGUAGGUUUGGUAUGGUCUACCUAGAGUAGAGAGUUAAUGUUUCUGAAAGACUGUGUCUUGGUCAUCCGUUUCUCAAACACCAUGCAGUGCGAGAAACCAACGGAGGCGAUCGAGUCUUGUGGGGAAAAGUGCGCAAACCUCUGCAGAGUGUACAAUCUAAUCAUGGUUAGCCGUGUCCCUGGUUAUGGAGAAUUCUGAGUAUCUAGUACUUGAGUAUUCACAUGUAUCUCAUCACUCUAAGUUAAUAUUGCUGGGUUGUUAAUUAUCUUAAUUGGGAUUGAGUUGGGGUUAUACCUUCUCAAUGAUGUUUCAACCACCAUGAUAGUUAAAUUAAAAAUAUAUUCCUUUGUUGUAGGGGAAAAUUGGCUUUUCGCAAAAACUGUAACCAUAGAGCUUUCCACCAGCCAAAUAUGCAUGUAGUGGUAGCAUUAUUCUGUUAUUGCUCUAUUGUGUUACAUUGCCAGCAUAUUCCAUGUGCUGACCCGUUCUCGGGCUGCAACGUAUUAUGUUGCAGACUUUUCAGACGAGAAGUAAGGUUCGGUAGGUCGUUGCCGUGCAGCUCAGCUAUGUCGUUGGAGUUGAUGGACUCACUUUAUCUUGCAAGCCUUCCGUUGUUAUCGUAUUAGAUGGCCUUAAGCCAUAUUUGUAACAAGUUCUAUUUUGAGACAUUCGAUGUAAUAAGUGUGUGAUUGCUACUCUGUUAUAAAUCCUUCGAGUACUGUGUGUGUUAGCAUUACCGAUCCAGGGAUGACACAGAAGCACAGAGACUUGACCAUCUGAGGUCGGGUCGCUACAAGAUGGUAUCAGAGCACAUGCUGAGUGUAGGACACGACCACUAAGAUAAACCCUAGGUCACUCUUCUCUACUCAUUUCUGACUCCUCUCCAUUUUCCACUCUUUAGGAUGACGGAGAAGAAGAACAAGUUCGCGCAACCAGAUGAAGACACACCUUUUGGACGCCACCUGAAGGAAGUCACUAGGUACUUGAAGAUUGGAAUACCAAGCUUCACCGGGACGUACAACGCCACUUUACCAGAAGAAGAGCGCUGGAUGAUUCAAGUAUGAGUUCCAGGAAGGACGUUCUCGCCAACUUCCAAACCCAUAGAGUUUUCUUUCGAAGCACCCACCUGGAGCCUUGGCAAGAGUAUGGCAGCUCAUAUUACCAUGGGACGCAUUGGAGAAGUCUACAACAGGGAGCUUAAGGACACCACAUAUCAAAUAUGUGGGCGCCGAGAUGAACAAUGGGAGAUGAUCAGCACCAGGAAGGAUAGAUCUUUCGCAGCUUUUAUCCAGGAGCUAAACCAGCACAUUCGAUGUCAGGAGAACCAGAUGUGCGCAGAUAUGAUGGAGAUGAAGAAGGCGAAAACUAGGAUCAUCGAGCUGGAGGAAGAACUCAAGUUUACACGUGAUGGAUAUGAGGAGGAAAUCAAGACCCUACUGGAGAAGAAUGACGACCUAGUCAAGAAGAUCGGAGUCUUCAUGGGAGGACCAGCCCCGAAAGAAGAGGAAGACAAUCCCACUUGUCCGGACAACUACAUCAUCAUCGACGACACCGAUUCCGAUCCAAGUGAUGAUGACUACAAAGAUGAAGCUGGAGCAGACAUCAUGGAGUCUUCCACCGAUCAAAAUUUCUAGAUGACCACCAUAUAAUAGUAGUAUUUCCCCCCAUGUAACUAGUAGUAGUUGAGCACCUUUGCGAUAGUCCUAGACCGUUUUGUAUGCCCUUGCUUGAUUGAUUGAAUGAAUGUUUGUGUUUGCCUCAUAUGCAUAUGGGUAGUGUUUCUCCCCUAGAUCUUUUUCUAUUCUAAUCUCUUCCAUCUAAACCCAUCAGAUGCCUCCGAGAAGAGACCCUGAUUUUGUUUUCCCGCCUGAGAUCACCCAGUUGAUCCAGCAGUAGAAUUCCUUGAUGCAAUUGCUAGUGAUAUGUGUUUUGCUUGGAGCAUCAUUUUCUUUUGUUAGUAUUUGCUUGCUGUUAUUUAGAUUAAUGUUUUGCAUCUUUAGUUUCAAUAAAGAAGUCAAGGAUAGCCUUUGCCAUGCUUAUUUUGCUAGUAUACAUGUUGCUAUUUGAAAACAGGAAGUUUACCGAUGUUGCAAAAAUUCCCUAGAAAAGUCAGAGAAUUGUAUAAUGUUAAAUUUUUUGCAUAAUGAGCUCUGAUAAAUUUACUACAGUGGGAAUUUUGUUUCAUAAUUUUUGGAGUUAGGGAAGUAUUGAUACCCUUGCAUUCUUUAUAGACUAUACUGUUUUGGCAUAUUGCUGUUAUGGUUGCAUUGUUUGCAUAUGUUUGCUUGUUUAAUGAUUCUAUUUGAGGAUAGGAGUAUUAAAUAUGCAGAGGCAUAGUAUUAAAUGUUGAAUAAUAAUUUUAGUGAUUUGUUACAGUAUAAAUUGAUAAGGUUUUGCAUUGGUUUAUACUAACCUAUCUCACGAGUUCUUGUUGAGUUUGUUGUGGAUGAAGCUUUUGAAAAAUAUAGAAACCACGAUAUGAGAGGAACUAAGGAGACACAAAAGUUCAAGCUUGGGGAUGCCCAAGGCACCCCAAGAUAAUAUUUCAAGAAGUCUCAAGCAUCUAAGCUUGGGGAUGCCCCGGUAGGCAUCCCAUCUUUCUUCUUCAACAACUAUCGGUUAGUAUCGGUUGAGCCUAAGUUUUUGCUUCUUCACAUGAGUUGUGCUAUCCUUGCAAUGUCUUUUUAUUUUGCUUUGCUUGCUAUUUGGAUACAAUACCAAGAUCUAAAAUUCCUUAAUGUUAGAGAGUCUUCACAUAGUUGCACAAUUAUUCGACUACUCAUUGAUCUUCACUUGUAUCUUUCGGAGUAGUUUGUCAUUUACUCGUGUGCUUCACUUAUAUCCUAUGAGUAAAUUGUUGAAUGAGUUGAAUGUCAUAAAUCUGAAAUUAUAUAUGCCUCAUUUGCUUAUCCAAUAGGGAGUAUUGACUCCACAUCUAAGAAUUAGAGGUUGUAAAUUUAUUUAAGGUUAGCAAGCGUUGUAUUGGUCAUUUGAACAAUUCAUGAAAGAAUAUUGAAGGAACAGAGAUUUCACAUAUAAAUACACUAUCCUAGACAUCUUUUAUAAUUGGGAGCACUCAUUAAGGAUGACAUGCUAAAGAGUUGAUGUUGGACAAGGAAGACAACAUAAUGGGUUAUGUUUUCCGACAUCUCAGUUAAAGUAUAUUGUCAUGGAUCAUUCAAACAUGUUGAGCUUGCCUUUCCCCCUCAUGCUAGCCAAAAUUCCUUGCACCAAGUAUAGAUACUACUUGUGCUUCCAAAUAUCCUUAAAACCCAGUUUUUGCCAUGAGAGUCCACCAUACCUACCUAUGGAUUGAGUAAGAUCCUUCAAGUAAGUUGUCAUCGGUGCAAGCAAUAAAAAUUGCUCUCUAAAUAUGCAUGACUUAUUAGUGCGGAGAAAAUAAGCUUUGUAUGAUCUUGUUAUUGAAGAAAUAAAAGCGACGGACUGCAUAAUAAAGGUCCAUAUACAAGUGGCAAUAUAAAGUGACGUUCUUUCGCAUUAAGAUUUUGUGUAUCCAACCCUAAAAGCGCAUGACAACCUCUGCUUCCCUCUGCGAAGGGCCUAUCUUUUACCUUAUGUCUUUUACUUUAUGCAAGAGUCAAGGUGAUCUUCACCUUUCCCUUUUUCAUUUUAUCCUUUGGCAAGCACCUCGUGUUGGGAAGAUCCUGAUAUAUAUAUCCAAUUGGAUGUAAGUUAGCAUGAAUUAUUAUUGUUGACAUCACCCAAAGGUGAAUACUUGGGAGGUAACACUAUAAGCCCCUAUCUUUCUCAGUGUCCGAUUGAAACUCCAUAACCAUUAGUAUUGCGUGAGUGUUAGCAAUUGUAGAAGACUAUAUGAUAGCUGAGUAUGUGGAGUUUGCUAUUCCUGAAAAUAAGAUGAAUUGCGAUUGUUUAAUGACUAAGAAUGAAGUUUGCUAGUUUUCAAGAAAGUUUAUGGUCUAUGCUUUAACAUGUGAAUUGUUUGUUACUUUAUUGUGAGAAGUUUUAUGAGAUGAACUACUGUUAUGACAUAUUAUCAUGCUAGAAAAGGUGAUUGAAAUUAUCAUUGAUCAAACUUGUGCACCUUCUAGAAUUCACACUUCAUAAAUUCUUUCUUUUAUCAUUUACCUACUCGAGGAUGAGUAGGAAUUAAGCUUGGGGAUGCUGAUACGUCUCCAACGUAUCCAUAAUUUAUGAAGCAUUCAUGCUAUUUUAUUAUCUGUUUUCAAUGAUUAUGGGCUUUAUUAUACACUUUUAUAUUACUUUUGGGACUAACCUACUAACCGGAGGCCCAGCCCAUAUUGUUGUUUUAUUGCCUGUUUUAGUAUUUCGAAGAAAAGGAAUAUCAAACGGAGUCCAAACCGAAUGAAACCUUUGGCAACGUGAUUUUUUGGAAGAAUAUGAUCCUAGAGACUAGGAGUUCACGUCAGAAGAUCCUCGAGGAGGCCAGGAGAUAGGGGGCGCCCCCCCCCCUACCGGGUGCGCCCCCCUGUCUCGUGGGCCCCUCGAGCACCCCCCGACCGACUUCUUUCGCCUAUAUAGUCCCACGUACCCUAAAAACAUCCACGGAGAAGAUAGAUUGGGAGUUCCGCUGCCGCAAGCCUCUAUAGCCACCAAAAACCUCUCGGGAGCCCGUUCCGGCACCUUGCCGGAGGGGAACCCAUCACCGGUGGCCAUCUUCAUCAUCCCGGCGCUCUCCAUGACGAGGAGGGAGUAGUUCACCCUCGGGGAUGAGGGUAUGUACCAGUAGCUAUAUGUUUGGUCUCUCUUUCUCUCGUAUUCUCUCUAUGGCACGAUCUUGAUGUAUCGCGAGCUUUGCUAUUAUAGUUGGAUCUUAUGAUGUUUCUCCCCCCCCCUCUACUCUCUUGUGAUGAAUUGAGUUUUCCUCUUGAAGUUAUCUUAUCGGAUUGAGUCUUUAAGGAUUUGAGAACACUUGAUGUAUGUCUUGUCGUGCUUAUCUGUGGUGACAAUGGGAUAUACACGUGAUCCACUUGAUGUAUGUUUUGGUGAUCAACCUGCGUGUUCCGCCCAUGAACCUAUGCAUAGGGGUUGGCAUACGUUUUCGUCUUGACUCUCCGGUAGAAACUUUGGGGCACUCUUUGAAGUACUUUGUGUUGGUUGAACAGAUGAAUCUGAGAUUGUGUGAUGCAUAUCGUAUAAUCAUGCCCACGGAUACUUGAGGUGACAAUGGAGUAUCUAAGUGACAUUAGGGUUUUUGUUGAUUUGUGUCUUAAGGUGUUAUUCUAGUACGAACUCUUGAAUAGAUCGAUCCGAAAGAAUAACUUUGAGGUGGUUUUGUACCCUACCAUAAUCUCUUCGUUUGUUCUCCGCUAUUAGUGGCUUUGGAGUGACUCUUUGUUGCAUGUUGAGGGAUUGUUAUAUGAUCUAUCUAUGUUAUUAUUGUUGAGAGAACUUGCACUAGUGAAAGUAUGAACCCUAGGCCUUGUUUCCUACCAUUUACGCUCACUUUUAUCAUUAGUUACCUUGCUGUUUUUAUAAUUUCAUAUUACAAAAACCUUUAUCUACUAUCCAUAUUGCACUUGUAUCACCAUAUUGCACUUGUAUGUAAUUCACGGGCCACGUUCCUUGUGAUCUGUUCUGGUAUCAAACACAAUACUUAUUCCCAUUGCUCUGAACCCCUUUCACCAUCUAUUUCAGGCAAUGAACGAUCGCCUACCCGGUUGAACCUUCUUAUUGCACCUUCUUACCUUGCUCUCGAUGACUUUCUUGAAUUUUAACUUGAGAGAUGCCUCUAUGCCACAUUCAAUGAGAUAGCCCCCAGGUACCUAUCAUGUGACGAGCUCCGUCCUUCCCGAGUCUUUCCCCUUACUCCACCCCUUGAAUCUCGGGACGAGAUUUCUUGUAGUGGAGGAGAAUUGUGACGCCCGGAUAGUUAAGCUACAGUAACCUCCGCUAAUGAUGCCACGUCACCGCGUUUACUGUUGUUAAAACUCGCGUUGGUUCGAAUCCGGUCCAAAUUCAAAAUUUAAAAUAAAGUAAAACACAUUAUCUCUUCAAGCAGUAAACUAAAAUGUUCAUCUUGUGCCAAAUAAUCCACAAUGAAUAUUUGUGGUGAACCUAUUUUUUUAAGUAUUUAAAUGGCCUAAGCUAUUUGAAACUGAUGCUUAAGAAAAAGAAAAGGGAGAGAGAGAGAGAGCAACCCCCUCCCUGGACCGAACCCACCUGGGCUGGCCCACCUAACCCACCCGAGCCAGCCCAGUUGCCCCCCUCGCACCAAUCUCUCCCCCUCCCCCGCCAUGUUCCUCGGUCUCAGACCGCAACAGGGGCAUCACCGCCGAACCCACCUCGCCGGCCACACUGCUACAGGCGCCGCGGGGAGGAUAAGGACGUCAGCGUUGACCCCAUGCCCCCCGAGAGAUCUUCCCUCCCUUCCCCACGAGCUGCUGCUUGCCCUCUCCGCCUCUCCCAAUCCCCAUCGCAUCCGAGCGCCACCGUGGCCCCGCCGCCGUAAUGCACGCGGUCCCCGACACCGCCUCGCCUCGCCUCCGCGCCAAGGACCGCCUCGACCUCCUCUUCCUCCCAGAUGAAUCACCCAAGCAGGAGCGCCCAUGCAUCAUCCCCUACGUCGUCGUCUUCCUCCUCUGCUCCGACGAGCUUCGCCGUCGAAUCCGCCACACCGAGCCCUCCUCGAGCCCACUUGAGCACACCUAUAGGACCAACAUGAGCACGGGCCUCUUUCCCCUCUCUUCCCCGCGCGUUUCCACCGCCGUAGCUGCUCCUCCCCGUCAUGCCCGAAUGCAGCUCCGCCUGAGCUCGUCGCCGGCGAUGCUCCGGCGACCAAAUGACAUCGGCCCCGUGCGCAACUCUCUCGCCACUUCGCCUAGAUCCCAACAAGCACACGCACGCGGCUCACCGUGCCAUGCAGCCCCCUGUUCGCCGCUCACCGGAAACCCACCACCACCUGACUCGCCGCUGGUGACGUUCCCGGCCGUCCCCGGCCACGCCACCACCUCCAUUCGACGCGGUGUGGACUGGCCAUUCGAACGGACCUAACCACAGCCCUGGAGAUGCCCUGUGGGCGAAACCUGAAGCUCACCCGCGCCUCGCCGCCGCGUUGGAGCUCGCCGGAGCAACUCCGACGAGGCCAGCCGGCCUGGGGCCACCCCUGGGUCGCUGACCCGUGGGCCCAAGGGGUCCGACCGGCCUGUUGCCCGGUCCACCAUGCUGACUGGACCGGCCCGUGCAACUGACAGAUGGGGCCCAUCGCCCCCUAAUUAACGAAAUUAACUAAGCUAAUUUAGUUAACAUAAUUAGACACUAACAUGUGGGCCUAGUAGUUUAACUAACUAUGUUUAGAUUAGUUUUUUAACUCUGUUUAACCCACUGUCUAUGACUGGUGGGACCCAGCCGCCAGGUUUGACCUAGACUGGCUGGGUUGACUGCUGACGUCGUGAUGACGUCAGGCUGACAUCAUAAUUCCAAUUUUGAAUUAGUAAUAAAUUUCAGAAUAUUAUUAAAACUUUGAAAAAUCAUAUAAAAUAAACCGUAGCUCGGAUGAAAAACUUUUCUACAUAAAAGUUGCUGAGAACGACGAGGCGAAUCCGAAUACGCGGUCCGUUCAUCUGUCACAUGCCCCUAUCAUAGCAAACAUGCAAUCUUUCCCUUCCGUUUCAUCUGUCCGAAAAUGCCUAACUCUGGGAAAACUUCCCGAAUGUUAUCACCCUUCGCCGGUAUUGUGUAGCACCGUGUUAGAAUGUGUCUAGCUCUGCCUGUUGUCCUGUUAUGCUCUUGCUUCCUAUGUACUAGAUCGGGAUCGCGCCUUGGCGCUAGGGUGCCGGUCCCAAUGUUUUGAUGAAACAAGUAGUGGCAAGUUAGUAGGAAUUUACGUUUAGCGUAUGAAUUCAAACAUGGUAACAAAAUGAAGUGAAGAAAAAACUUUUGUUUGUGACAGAAGAGAUAAUGGAGUUCAAUAUCGGCAUAAGACUAUAAGGCAACAUCAAAUUCAGCAUGUUCAUAAGACCACAAAAGAUAACCACUCGUCAUUAAGUUCGAUACCAAAUAUAAGAGCGAAAGUAAUUAAAGUAGGAACAUAAUGCAGAGCCCAUGCUUUUAGCAAAGAGAGCGUUUAUCUUACAUAGAACAUGUACUUGUGGAUUAGUAGGUGAUAUGAGCAUGCUGCAGGAGAGUAUAUUGGAAUUUUACCUUCACUGUCAGUAUAGUAGCUCAAAGCUUGACGCAUCAAGUUUGGCAAAAAGGAAUAGGUCAAAAGCUACACAAUAUGAUAAAUCAGAAUUAAAGCAAGUUAUUUAUAUAGAAAGCAAAACACUCCAUAGGUCAUUCAUAACAAUUAGAUCAAAGUCAUUUGUACAUACAGAGACUGAAGGUUGAGUAGUGCAUUAGAGAGUAGUCAUACAGUACAGAAUACAUAUCCCAUUGCUCAGGACAAAAGUGUAGAAAAGCAUGAUCACACUGAUUAUGUUCUAUGAGUACAUCUUUCGACGGUAAAUGGCUCUACGAACUCCAAGAUGAUCCAACAUGAUAUAAAGAAUGAUCCUGGCCGAGAUUAUCACAAUAGUAUGGCCAACCUGAGCCGUCGGAAAUGGUUAAGAGACAACAUAAGUAAGUGGUUGAAAUAUAUAAGCAAUAAAAGAAAGUACAUGCGUAGGACAACAGACCAAUUCCAAUUGGAUUUCUUGCACAAACAAAGAUACAUGAUACAAAGCCUACAAAGCAAGUUGAUAACUUUCAGCAAACCUUGAUAGGUGGACGGGCCCAAUAAGAACUAAAAACUUUUACAUCAUAUUCUGCUAGGUGUCUUUAAUUCUUUUCAACAUGAGAAUGCAACAAACUCAUUUCUGUGUGAAACCUCAGACGUUAAUGGCUACCUCAUAGAGUCAAUCCAGAGAUAUGGCAUGUAUCACCAUCGAGCAAGCAUACAGAAUUCAUCUAUAAAAUUUACUCCUAUAAACUAAAUCAAGCUAGCAUGCACAGUUCUUAUCCAAACAUGAUUACAUCUCUUGGGGUCUGGUUACCCAAAUCCAACCAGAGAUUCUCACGGGAGGGGGGCAUAGAAGAGCAAAAGGAGCUUACUUGCAAGAAGAAGCGAGAGUCCAGCAAAAGGAGCUUACUUGCAAGAAGCUAGAAUCCAGGGUCGCGCAAGUGCUAGACAUGUCGUCACAAGCAACAUUACAGCUCUUGAUCCAGACCCCCUCCUUCGCUGUAUGAUGCCACUUGAAAAUAGAGCAUUUUACUGGGAGGGAAAAAGCAUGGCUCAUUAGGCAUUGUGUAGGCUCCACCCUUUACACAAAGGUGUAGAAAAGGCACACUAAUUGUAAGAUAACAUGUCCAUGUAUAUUCAAUUAUCAAGGCCAAAUACACUAAUUGUAGAAAAGCACACUAAUUGAAAGAUAACAUGUUCCUAUGUAGUUAAACCCUAAUGGACCACGAUCGGCCAAACAUGCCUCAAUGGCAGCUCCCCCCUCAUCAGCAUGGUUACCAAAACAUAGAUGAUUGUUCGCACAUCUUAUUUCCACUUUUCACGUGUUUCAUGCCUAGCUGAAGUUCCUGGUAAAUAUUUUCCAAAAACCAUCUUGCUAUCAGAGAAAACUCCAAAGCCUGGGAAGUAUAACCAGAACACAAGAACAUGAAUAAAGUUGAAAACUUUAUAUACAUAUAUGGUGUUCAAUUAAGCAAAACAUGAUCAGUCAUACAAGGAGAUAAAGGAAGAAAAUAACAAUACAAAAGUACGUCAUUAUUUAAACUGAUUAUGUUCAAAGUCCCCAUCUGAUUUAUACUAAGGAGUUGAAUAUUUGAUACAACUAAUAAAGCAAACCACCAUAAAGGUUUCUUCUAAUUGCCAAAUUUUACAGUUAGAAAAACCACACUAUUAAUAUGUAACAGACGUGGAACAACUAAGCAUGUCAACCACUAUAUUUACAUCAUCCGACGAACUGGAUGUGGCACCAAUUGCUUUUGUUGCGUCAACAACUUUGAUAUUCUGUGUUAAGCGGCAUAUAUGUAUUGUAGUUAGUUGCAACCGGUCAAUAAUUAGCAAGUACAACCUCAAAAAUUCAAUUGUCAGGCAAGAUUACCAUUUCAAAACUAUUGAGAGAUUACCCAAAACCCAAAAGUGUUGUUCUGCAUAGAACACUAAUUAGAUCAUGGGAAUUUGGAGCAAGAUCUUAACACCAAUAGUAGACACGUAAUUUUCAGAAGUGGUGACACUACCUUGUGAAACACUGUCGGGGAAACUGAUCCUCGAACACCUAUGGGGCCGGCGGACCGGGCCCCUUUCGGUUCGGCGGGGGGCGGAGAUCGCACGAAGAGCAGAUCGAGGCGAGGCACACGAGCAGUUUACCCAGCUUCGGAGCUCUCCGGAGAGAUAACACUCCUACUGCUGCUUGUCUGGUUGUAUUAUCUGGUGUUCUUGCUCUCCAAAGCGAAAGUGUGAUGUUCUCUGGGCUACGGAUGGAUCGAAGCAAACUGUCUGAGGCUUCGAACCCAUGAGCCGAACCCCCCCCCCUACGUUGCGCAUGGGCCUCCUUUUAUAUGCUAAAGGGGUCACCGACAGGUGGCAACGCAGAGGAGGGUAAAAACGUAAAAAGCGAGGUAGUUGAUACAGUUGCUUGUACAGUGCACCCUACCUAACCCUGACGGCAGGGGACAAGGGCAUUAAAUGCCCGUCUGAGUCGCCCAAACAGUGCAGAAAAGGACCGUUAGGGGCGCCACCGUUCGCCACGAUGGCGAUCUUGUCAGCUUCGCAUGCCACUGCGCACCGCUGGCUGCACAGCCUCCCGCCACGCACGUCCGGAGGGGCCCCCAGAGCGACACGUUGGUGGAUGCGCUGGAGCGUGGACGCAGAGUGGCCGCCUGCCGCGGCAAGCGCCUUGCCACUGUUGUUAUCUUGUCGGGUCCAGAAGCUUGUCGCUCACCGGGCUUCGAGGUACCUUGGUUUGUCUUCCCGGCAAGCUCCUCUUGCCGGGGCCUUGUUGCCUUGCCGGAGCGCGUGGCGCGUUGCGGCAAGUUUAUUGGAGCGCCUGGUUGGCCUUCCCGGCAAGCUCCUCUUGCCGGGGUCUUGUCUCCUUAGCUUAAAAUACUUUGUUCUUGGAUGGCUCCAAGGGAACCUUGGGGGAUCUUGGCGAUCGCCCGGCAAGCCUCUGCCGCGGGGUGCUGCAACUGCCCGUGCACAAGUUCGGGGUACUAGGGUACCCCUAAUCUAGUACACCGACAGGAGCCCCCGGGUCUGGGCCAGACACGGUGCCGAGCGUUGUUGGGCCAGGCCCAAUACAGGGCACGGGCACACGCGGGCUGGGCCACGCCAAAUCUUGUUCCGUAUCCAGCGCACUCUCCCAUAACGGCACGCGUUGAAUGCGGCAUCGUGGGAGAGAUCGUGGGUGGUUGUUUAAGCGGAAGGCCGAAACAUCCGCCCCGUCCCUCUUUAUAAGCAGAGGAAACAGGGGCAGUUCGUUCUCCCUCGCUGCUUGCUGCUACUCCUUCUUCACAAACUCCGNNNNNNNNNNNNNNNNNNNNNNNNNNNNNNNNNNNNNNNNNNNNNNNNNNNNNNNNNNNNNNNNNNNNNNNNNNNNNNNNNNNNNNNNNNNNNNNNNNNNNNNNNNNNNNNNNNNNNNNNNNNNNNNNNNNNNNNNNNNNNNNNNNNNNNNNNNNNNNNNNNNNNNNNNNNNNNNNNNNNNNNNNNNNNNNNNNNNNNNNNNNNNNNNNNNNNNNNNNNNNNNNNNNNNNNNNNNNNNNNNNNNNNNNNNNNNNNNNNNNNNNNNNNNNNNNNNNNNNNNNNNNNNNNNNNNNNNNNNNNNNNNNNNNNNNNNNNNNNNNNNNNNNNNNNNNNNNNNNNNNNNNNNNNNNNNNNNNNNNNNNNNNNNNNNNNNNNNNNNNNNNNNNGCAUCACCACGCCGUCGACCUUCUCCACCACCUCCGCCAUGGCCCCGAAAGCCGACAAGGGAAAGGGCGUGAAGUCGGCCGUGGCGCAGCGGCUCGCGGCGCUGCGGAAGGAGCGGGCGAUCUUCACCCCCCAGCUCGGAGUGCAGGAGCUGAGGGAGUACUUCUACCUCUUUUGGGCGACGGAGACGCGUGCGCAUCCGCGCACGAGGGUACUCCCGGCCGCUGCCUCGGAGUCGGCUCCAAAUGGGUACCCGUUCUUCCCGCUAUUCUUCUACUGCGGGCUCUGCCCGCCCUUCUCGGAAUUCUUUUGUGACAUUAUGAACACGUAUGGCUUCCGCCUCCUUGACUUCACCCCCAACGCUGUCCUGACCAUGGCGGUUUUCGCACACUUGUGCGAAAACUUUGUCGGAGUCCACCCUAGUGUAGCCCUUUUCCGCCACUUCUUCAUACCUCAGGUAGAGAGAGGAGAACCGCUUGCCGGAGGGAUUGCCUGGGUCUCGAGAGUCGGAAAGAAAGAGGCGUACUUGGAGGGUGAGCUUCACAGCAAGUGGGAGGAGUGGAGAGCGGAGUGGUGUUGGAUCGUCGAGGAGGAUCCGCAGCCCUUCACCGUCGUGCGCCAAACUCCAAUAGUGCGCGGCAAUGACUGGAGCAACAUGGCCCCGGAAGACGAGAGGCUGAAGAUCGCCAUCACUAGGAUUCUUCGCCUCAGGCUUGCCGGGCUCACCGUAGGUGCUGUCGGGGCAGAUUUCCUCCGCCGCCGCAUUGCCCCUCUGCAGGAGAGGAGGAGGCCCGCCUGGGAAUUCAAGAAUUCAGCGGACAUCAUGAGGCUACGGCCGGGCCUCAACUACAACUUCACUGUCUUGGAGUUGGACGCAAUGCUCUUGGAAUUAUUCAAACGCGACCCCCAGCACCCAUUCACAUUGCCGAGGGGUGUAGUUCCUUUGUGCAAUAACUCUUCACUUGACCGGAUCCGCGCCAUGAUGCCGUUGUGCGAUUCACACGGCAUCGUCCCAACUUGGCAAGAGCCUGCGGACGACGUUGUGCGAGCGUUCUUCGACACCUUGGAGGAAGUGCCAGUCCGCGCCGACGAGCAGAAGAGCCUCACCCGUGACACCACCGACGAGGAGCUGCAACUCAUCGCUACUAGGGCGGAAGAGGCUGCGGCUGCAGCUGUUGCGGGUGUGUUUGGGUUCACUGUGGAGGAGGCGGAAGCUGCAGAGGCGGCAAACCUUGCCGAACGCGCGGAGUUCAUGGGCGAGGAGGAGCCUGCCGGUUCUGAAGCCGAGUCGAGCGAGGCCGGCGAGGACGAGGCUGAACCUUCAGAGAGCUUGCCGCAGGCGGAGCCCCCGGUCCCGCCAAGGAGGCGCCUUCAUAGGGCCGGGGACGUAGCAGGGCGGCAGCCGGCUCCACAGCCACCGAGCCGCGCGACGCGCUCUACCGCGGCAAGCAUUGUUGCCGCGGGAGCGCCUCACGCAACAGCGGCAACUGGAGCGGGACCUUUCCGGGCCACCGCCACUGCCCCCGCCAAGCGGGCAAGGGAUCCUACUCCUCCACCUCGCCGCACCGGAGGAGGGCCGGACUUCGAUCUUUCCGCGCUCAGCUCCGAUGAGGAGGAAGAAGAGUGAGUUUCUUUGGUGCCCUUAUAAUCCUUCAAUCUUGCUGUUUAUAUCUUGUAUCUGACUUGCUCCAAUCUGGACUCUUUUCUUUUCAGAACACUGGCCCAGAGAGCGGCGAAGAGGGCCAAGGCCAUGGUGAUCCCAUCGCGUCGGCAGGCGGUGGGUCCGAGACCACCUUGACGGACCUGGCAAUCACCCCUCGGAGCAGCCCCCAGCGCAGCCCCCAGCGUAAGUUCAUAGUUUAUCCUUCUGCUGUCGGGCGCGUUUGAGUGCUUUUCCUUUGUUGAUAUCUUGCUUGUUGACUUGUGCAGGAGCAGAGCAGCCUCAUCAGGAGCGCCCGGAGGCCGAUCUUGAAGUGCCACCUGCUUCGACUGCUCCACCAAGGGAGGAGUCCCCGGCAAGGGAGCGCUCUCCGGCAAGGGGGGACUCUCCGGCAAGGGAUGACACUGCUGAUCCUGCGGCAACCGCGGCCGCAACUGAAGAUCUUGGCGCAGGUAAUCCAUUUGCCCAGAAACUUUCCCUUGGGUUCUGCUUCUUUCAUUUUUCCUUUCUUGGAUUCUUGAUUGAUUUUCCUCCCCUGUUCGUUCUUCAGACCCAUCUUCGGCUGAGCCAAUGGAGACUGAGGGCCCCGACGAGGAAAGUGUCGGUGCUGAUGCGACCACCGGCGAGGAGGCCGCCGGGGCUGUUGCUGCGGAAGCCGGCGAGGGGUCGGGCGAUCGCACUGACGACCCUGAGGCCGCAGGAGCGCCGGGCGCUGCACCGACCGCCGAACCCUCUGCCGCUUCUGCGGAGCCGGGCUCCGAGGAGCCCCAGUCCGGCGCCUAUUUGAAGGCCGGCGACGACAUCUUCAUCAAGCUGCCCUGGGCGUCGAGCUCCAGGGCGCCGGUCGAGGGGGAGACUUUUGAGGGGGAGGUGCUCGCCUCCGCCGGGCUGUCAUUGGUCGACGCGCCCGGCAGCAGCAGCGGCGAGCCUGAGGAGGAGCAGCUACUGCGGAAGCUGCUGUCACUCUACCGCACCCGGCAAGCCAAGCUGGCUUCCCGGGAAGCGCUUGUCGCGAAGGCGGGAGUUGACAUGGAGAAGCGCGCGAAGGAGCUUCGGGGACAAAAUCAAGAAGCUCUUCGAUCCCUGGCGCUGGAGCGGGAGCGAGUAGACGAGGAGUGCACGGCCUUUCUUCUCGAGAAGGCCGAGGUUGAAGAGGAACAAAGGCUUGCUGCCGAGAAGCAGUCCGUGCGGGAAGGCGAGCUAGUGCAGCGGAAGGCCCACCUCGACAGCUACGAGAAAGAGCUCGCCGAGCGUGAGCGAGCACUUGGCGGGGCGCUCAAGGAGGCAAAGGAUGCCGCGGCAACUGCAGAGGCCGCCAAUAAGGAGCUAGAGGAGAAGGUGGCGCGGCUGGAGGCCGAUAUUGGGAAGAGCGGCGAGGAGAUUGCCGCUGUCAAGCGUGAGCGCGAGAAGGAUGCUGCCGCCCAUGAUGAACUGCAAGGCCUUCUCGCUGAGAGGGGCAAGGAGCUCAGCGCCGCCAAGGAUUCCAAAGCAGACCUGAAGCUGAAGCUGGCCACGCUGACGCAGACGCUGGAGGCCGCCAAGGAGCGAGAGAAGACCUUGGCGGAGAAGGUCAAGGCUGACGCGGCGCUGCUGGAGAGCAUUGCAGUCACCCAGAACUCCUUCAAAGACACAGUGGAGCACUGGACCGAGGGUCUGGUGAACACUGCCGCCGUCAUCAACGAGGAGCUGGCGCAGCUGGGGAUGGAUGACUUUGGGUAUCCUUCCGACAAGAGCCUUCAACCCAGCGCCAAGCUCAGCCUAUUCUUCAAGGGCGUGGCGACGGCACUCCAGCGGCUCCGGAAGAGGAUCCCGAAGCAGCUGGCCGAUGAGUCGCGCAAAAUCUGCGCCGGGGUUCUCCAGAAGGUGCUGAUGAAGGUAGCAUUCCGCAAUCCAGGCCUCAGCUUCACCAACGUCCUCCGAUCCUUGCCGCCUGACGCCGAUCUGGAUGCACUCAAGGCCCUUGUCGCACCCAUUGUGGACAAGGUGAGCGAGAUCAAGCGAGUCGAGGGCGGACGCGUAGAUUAGGCCGCCCAUUUCUUCUUUUCCCUUGUCGCUGCUAGUCAUGUUAUGAGAACAGUCUGUUAGAGCUGCGACAAGUUAUCUUUGUAAUAUAACUUUAUUUCUGUUUAUCAAUUGCAACGUUAUUUCCUCUACUAGAUUCCUUCCUUUGUAUGUUAUUACCCUACGCUUCUAGGGAACUUGUCGGCGUAGGCGCCCGAGCCGCGAGCGCUGAGUGCGGAACUUCAGCAGCCUGCUGGUGGCGCUGCUUCCGACAAGAAACCUUGUCGUGACUAGAUGCAGCACGCUUAAGCUGUUGAGCGGACUCGAAACAAAGUAAGGGCGCAACUAGCCACGAGUUGGUUCCUCCGCGCACAGGUUUUUCAUACAAAGCAGGGUCGUNNNNNNNNNNNNNNNNNNNNNNNNNNNNNNNNNNNNNNNNNNNNNNNNNNNNNNNNNNNNNNNNNNNNNNNNNNNNNNNNNNNNNNNNNNNNNNNNNNNNNNNNNNNNNNNNNNNNNNNNNNNNNNNNNNNNNNNNNNNNNNNNNNNNNNNNNNNNNNNNNNNNNNNNNNNNNNNNNNNNNNNNNNNNNNNNNNNNNNNNNNNNNNNNNNNNNNNNNNNNNNNNNNNNNNNNNNNNNNNNNNNNNNNNNNNNNNNNNNNNNNNNNNNNNNNNNNNNNNNNNNNNNNNNNNNNNNNNNNNNNNNNNNNNNNNNNNNNNNNNNNNNNNNNNNNNNNNNNNNNNNNNNNNUGCGAGAGAACCUUCUUCUCCUUUAAAAGAAAAAGAAAGAAGAGAAAAUAAUAAUAUGGAGCUCUUCGGCUCGUUACUGCUUAUCGGAUGUAAGUGCUGCACAAAGUGUCAGAUAAUCACAUGCAAGAAAGGAAUUAACGCAUGAAAUGGACAAGCUGUGCAGAGCACAUGGGGUUUUACUUAUGCACGGGAUCUGCGCCCGGCUUUGUACAAAGGAUUACAUGCAACAGCGGCAAGACUUGUACAAAAGGUGGUUGCCGGAACGGGUUCCGGCAACCGCGCCUUAUGGGAAAAACUUACGAAGAUGUUCUAUGUUCCAGGAGUUGCUCACUGGAAUGCCAUCUUCGGUCUCAAGGCGGACAGCGCCAGGCCUUGUGACUUGUCUCACCCGAUAAGGGCCUUCCCACUUCGGCGUCAACUUGUUGGAAUUCUUGGCGGACUGAACGCGCCGAAGAACAAGGUUGCCUUCCUCGAAGCUUCUGGCUUUAACUUUGCGGCUAUGAUAGCGGCGCAAAGCUUGCUAGUAUCGAGCAGCUCGUACAGCAGCCUGAAGACGAUCUUCCUCAAGGAGCAGCGCGUCGUCUUGCCGCAGCUGUUCUUGCUCAAGCUCAUCAUAACCGAGCACUCGAGGUGAUCCGUAUACGAGUUCCGUGGGGAGAACUGCCUCUGCUCCAUAGACUAGAGCGAAAGGUGUCUGGCCAGUGGCUCGAUUUGGCGUCGUUCUGAUCGAUCAAAGAACGACUGGCAGCUCCUCGAUCCAGUUCCUUCCGCACUUGUGCAGCCUGUCGAAAGUUCUGGUCUUGAGCCCGCGCAGCACUUCAGCAUUUGCCCUCUCUGCUUGACCGUUGCUUCUCAGAUGAGCAACAGGAGCGAAGCAGACCUUGACGCCAAGGUCUUGGACGUACUGCAUGAAGGUGCGGCUCGUGAAUUGCGUACCGUUGUCGGUGAUGAUCCUGUUAGGGAUCCCGAAACGGCAAACAAUCGAUCUGAAGAACUUGACUGCUGACUGUGCUGUCACUUUUCUCACUGGCUGCACUUCCGGCCACUUUGUGAACUUGUCGAUUGCGACGUACAAGUACUCAAAGCCCCCGACAGCUCGGGGGAAAGGGCCGAGGAUAUCGAGCCCCCAGACCGAAAAUGGCCAGGAUAAAGGGAUUGUCUGGAGAGCUUGAGCUGGCUGGUGUAUCUGUUUGGAGUGGAACUGGCACGCUUCACACUUGGUUACUUGUGCAGUUGCAUCCUGGAGGGCUGUCGGCCAAAAGAAACCUUGCCGGAAAGCUUUGCCGGCAAGUGCUCUUGCGCCUAUGUGGUGGCCACAUAUGCCUCCAUGUAUCUCUGCCAACAGCUUUUGUCCAUCUACCCGGCGAAUACACUUCAAUUUCACACCCUUGAGUCUUCUUCUGUACAGUAUGCUAUUGACAAACUGGUACAUACUUGACUGCCGGGCUACUCUUUCCGCUUCUUCUUGUUCUUCGGGAAGUUCUCUUGUCUGAAGGAAAUGGACAAUCUGUUGUGCCCAUGCUGGAGCCUGUGGCUCGACAACAAGGACUAAAGGCACAUCUUCUGCUGCGGGAACAUCUGCUUCUACGGCAAGGACUUGCGGCCCUGCCGGAGCUUGAUGUUCCCCGGCAAGCUUGCCGGAGCAAAACUUGUCGGGAGCGUCUGCUUCAACGGAACAAACCAUAAGGCUUGGCGGAGCAGACUGCCCCUCAGCAUCUUUGGUGUUGAUCUUGGGGACUUUCUUGGCGGCGGCUUCGGGGAGCUCUGCCGAAAAGUAGUCACCAGAAACCAACUUCCUCUUCUUGCUUUGUCCAGUUGAUGGUGUUACGGAUGGUUGAGUCAACUUAAGCACAAAGAUCCCUGGUUCCACAGGUAACUUUAGUGCGGCGCACUUUGACAGGCCAUCAGCAAUAUCAUUCUGAGCUCUUGGGAUAUGCUCCAUUUGUAGGCCGUCAAAGUGCUCCUCUAGCUUCCUCACUUCAUCGACAUACGCUUCCAUCAACAGACUCUGGUAGUUCUUGUUCACUUGUCGGACGACAAGCUGUGAGUCACCCCUGACAAUGAGCUUCUUAAUCCCAAGGUCUGUUGCGAUUCUGAGACCGGCAAGCAAUCCUUCAUACUCUGCAGUAUUGUUGGUUGCUUGCUCUUUGAGAAAGUGCAUCUGGACUGCGUACUUGAGGUGCUCUCCGGUGGGUGCGACAAGUAGCACACCUGCACCGGCGCCUUGCAGCGAGAAGGCUCCAUCGAAGUACAUCAGCCACUCUUUGUUUGCCUCUUUGACGGGGAUGCGCGUUUCUGGAAUUUCUUCAUCUGGGGUUGGCGUCCACUCUGCUAUGAACUCUGCCAAUGCUUUGCUUUGGAUAGUUGAGGUGCUCUCAAAUUUGAGGCCAAAGCUUGACAGUUCCAGCGCCCAUUCGACAAUCCUGCCUGUUGCUUCUGGAUUUUGCAGUAUUCUCUUCAGCGGAAAGCGAGUGACGACUGUGAUCUCAUGUGCUUGGAAGUAAUGGCGCAGCUUUCUCAAGGCCAUAAGGAGGCCGAAAAGCAACUUCUGCACACCAGAGUACCUUGAUCUAGCCCCCUGCAGAAGAGAACUGACAAAGUAAACUGGGCGCUGCACCAUUCUCCUUGGCAUUUCAUCAUGCUCCUGCGCAAACCCAUGUUUGUCGGGACCAGAGCUUGUCGGCGAAGCCCCCUGCUUGUCGCUGGAUGGAUCUGCCGUGGUUGCUGGCUCAUCCUCCGCCUCCCUCUCCGCCAUUAACGCAGCACUAACCACUUGAUUGGUUGCUGCUAUAUACAGCAGCAACUUCUCUUGCGGCUUAGGUGCGACAAGCGUUGGAGUGGAGGACAGGUAUCUCUUCAAGUCCUGCAGCGCAGCCUCCGCUUCCGGAGUCCAUUUCAUUGGACCUGCCUUUUUCAAAAUUUUGAAAAAUGGCAGGGCGCGCUCAGCAGAUCUAGAGAUAAACCUGCUGAGAGCAGCCAUGCAACCGGCAAGCCUGCGUACAUUCUUGACGCGCUUUGGCGCUUCGAUCUGCUCGAUGGCUUUGAUCUUGUCGGGAUUGGCUUCAAUUCCCCGCUGAGACACAAAGAACCUGAGAAGCUUGCCGGAAGGGACUCCAAACACGCACUUCUCGGGGUUAAGCUUGAGGUUGAUCUUGCGCAGGUUUGCAAAUGUUUCGUCUAAAUCUUGAAUCAAGGUCGCCUUGCUCUUGCUCUUGACCACUAUGUCAUCCAUGUAAGCUUCCACAUUUCUGUGUAUUUGUGGCUCAAAAGCAUGGUGGACUACCCUUGCGAAUGUUGAACCAGCAUUCUUCAAACCGAAAGGCAUCCGUACGAAGCAGUACGUGCCACACGGGGUGAUAACGGUUUUCUCUUCAUCUUCUUCUGCCAUGAAGAUCUGAUGAUAUCCUGAGCAUGCAUCAAGAAAUGAAAGCAAAUCACAUCCGGCUGUGGAGUUAACAAUCUGGUCAAUACGCGGCAAGGGAAAUGGGUCUUUGGGACAAGCUUUAUUAACAUCAGUGAAGUCAAUACAAAGUCUCCAUUUCCCAUUAGCCUUGCGCACAACAACAGGAUUGGCCAACCACGUGGGAUGGAGUACUCCUCUGACAAGGCCUGUUGCUUCCAACUUCUUGAUUUCUUCUGCGAUGAAUUCUUGGCGCUCUACUGCCUGCUUCCUGACUCUCUGCUUGAUGGGCCGCGCAUGAGGACAGACAGCAAGGUGGUGCUCAAUCACUUUCCUGGGAACACCGAGGAUAUCAGACGAUUGCCACGCAAACACGUCGACAUUCGCCCGCAGGAAAGCAACGAGCGCGCUUUCCUAUUUGGGGUCAAGAGUGGCGCUGAUGGUGAAGGUACCACCACUGCCAUCCUCCUUGGCGGACACCUUCUUGGUCUCAGGUGGAGCUGCCAUUGCCUUCUUGCACUUGCAGGUGGAGCUCGAUGGUGCGUCAUCGACGGUAGCGCAGCACUCCGAAGAGGUGCGCUUGCCGGAGUGGGCAUCGGAGCUCUUGCCGGCUUGGUCUUCUUCUUCCCCCCGGGAGCUUCAGCGGCAAGUGUCCUCCGUUCUGCUGCGGCUGCUGCUUCCCGGUAGAUCUUGUCGGCACAGAUAAGAGCAUCCUUCUUGUCGCCAGGGACAGAGAUGACACUUAUUGGGCCUGGCAUUUUCAAUACGUUGUACGCAUAGUGAGAGGCUGCCAUGAACUUGGCGAGUACCGGACGGCCAAGGAUUCCAUUGUAAGGUAAUGGAAUGUCGGCAACGUCAAACGUGACCCUCUCAGUCCUGAAGUUCAGCUCACUGCCAAAUGUUACCGGCAACGUCAUCUUUCCCUUUGGCUUGCUCCUUCCCGGGUUGAUUCCUUGAAAUGUGCCGGUCUCUUCGAGCUCGCUGUCAGGGAUCUGGAGUUUCUGGAGCACCGCUGAGGAGAUCAGAUUCAAGCCGGCCCCGCCGUCAACUAGCAUCUUAGUGACCUUGAAGUUGCGGAUUGUUGGUGAAACCAACAUCGGCAAGCACCCGACCGCAGUUAUGCGAUCCGGGUGGUCCUCAAUAUCAAAAAUGAUAGGCGUACUGGACCAUUUCAGAGGCCUGCGUGACUCGACGGGUGGUUCUGCUGCAUUAACUUCCCGUACCCACUGUUUGAGCUGGCGGUGCGAGGCAUGCAGAGAAGCACCACCGUCAACGCACAGGACCUCUGUGGCUUUCUGGAACUCCUGCUCAUCAGUCUCCUCAUCGUCCAUAUCUUCAUCGUCGUCGUCAUCUUCAUCCUUGUCGCGGCCUCGAGGAGGUCUGUCUCCUUGCCGCUGCCUUGCCGCGGCGUCCUCCUCGGCCGGGACGUUUCUUGCCGGACCCACCAGCUCCUUCCUGGUCCUUCUCUUUGUCGCGCCGCUCGUAUUCAGCUCUAUGUUGCUCAACAAGCUGCUCGACCCUCUUGCAGUUCUGAAGAUCAUGGCCCUUGGUGCGGUGAAUUUUGCAAUACUGCUUGCUGGUGCCGUCUUGCUUGUCGGCGACCGCCACCUCCGCGGCAACCUCCUUGCCGGAGUCACCAGCUUUGGCUUCCUUGGCGCCGCCACCGUUGCCGGACUGCUCAACAACUAGCACUUCUUUGCCUUUCCUCCUUCUGUUGUUCCGCCGACGGUUUUUCCUUGUCGGGGCGGCAUCUUCGCUGUCAGAUCCUCCCGCUCCUAUAUUUUCUCCGGGGAGUCUCCUCCCUUCCUCAGCACGCGCACACUUGUCGGCCAGUGCAUAUAACUCACUGACGUCCCUGAUCUUGCACAUCGCCAUUUCCUCCCGCAUGCUGCGGUUCCGCACGUUCUGAUGGAAUGCGCUGAUCACCGCGGCAGGGUGGACGUCUGAGAUGUUGUGCUGCACGCUACUGAAUCUCUGAAUGUACUUGCGCAGGGGCUCUCCUUCCUUCUGGGCGAGCAGAUGAAGAUCACUCUCCUGGCCAUGAGGCUUGUGUCCGCCUGUAAAGGCGCCGACAAACUGAUGGCACAGAUCAGCCCAAGAGGAUAUGGAGUUGUCCGGCAAGUGCACGAGCCAGGAUCUGACAUUGGGCUUGAGCACCAGCGGGAAGUAGUUGGCAAGGAUCUUGUCAUCUCGUCCCCCGGCAGCUUGCGCCGCAAUGGUGUAGAUGCUGAGGAACUCUGACGGAUGCGUCUUGCCGUCGUACUUCUCCGGUACGUCUGGCUUGAAGUUCUUUGUACUGGGCCACUGGACUUGCCGCAGGUCACGAGUGAACGCAGGACAACCUACCGCGUACGGCAGAUCGCCUAGUUCCCCUGGCGCAUGCAUGUCAACAGAGGGCCCAGCGCGCUUGUCGGAUUGACGCCGCGCUUCUCUUCGGCGCUCGAUGCGGGUUCGAGCGUCCUCUUGUUGUCGAUCAUGAAGAACUUGGCGCUGAUCGCGACGAGCUCGUGGAUCCGACGAUGCAGUGGAGUCGCUGUCGAGGUGGAUCCGGCGAGUCGGCAAUCUUGGCCUUCGGGGCGGUGUUUGCAUGGUAGUUGCACCUCCGCCCGUUUCGUCGCCACCGGCUCGCGUCCGGCGGUCCUGCGGUGGCGGCGACGCGCUCGGCCGCCGUGGAGUGUCGCCGUUGGCGUAGCCGAUGAGACUCUGAAUGGUGGCCCUCCAUUCGUCGAUCUUGUCCGACGUUGGAGGGUAAUCUAAGAGAAGUUGAGCUCGCGCCAAAGCUUCUGCUGGGGUGGUGGGUGGCAGUGGCGGACGGCGCGAGGAACGGGACGUGCUCGAACUUCUAACUAUGUUAGAAGGAGCAGUAUUCCGUCCAGGCGACCGUGCCCCGCUCGUGCCAGCACGCUAGCGUGCAUGCUGGUCUUGAGCGGCCCGAGAUCCACCAGCUUGGUCUUGGGCUAUCAUGCGUAUGGCACUGCUAGCGCCAUGACGCUGUUGAUCUUGCGCCUCCUGAGAGUGACGUGGAACAUGUACGGUCGCCGAGGUUUGUGCAGCCUUGUUCUUGGACCUGGCGGCAUCAUGGGCUUCCUCGUCGACGUCCUUUCUUCCGCCGGCGUCCAUCCCGCCACUCGUUUGCUCCAACGGUGGCGGAAGUGACGAGGAUGGAGCAGCCGCUGCCGAAGUCUUCUUCUUCGGUGGCAUGUUGAUGAAGGGAAUAAGGAUCUAGCUCGUGUGAACGCCGGAUCAGGUUCACGCAAUCUCGACGCACCCCUAUCUGGCGCGCCAAAGAUGUCGGGGAAACUGAUCCUCGAACACCUAUGGGGCCGGCGGACCGGGCCCCUUACGGUUCGGCGGGGGACGGAGAUCGCACGAAGAGCAGAUCGAGGCGAGGCACACGAGCAGUUUACCCAGCUUCGGAGCUCUCCAGAGAGAUAACACUCCUACUGCUGCUUGUCUGGUUGUAUUAUCUGGUGUUCUUGCUCUCCAAAGCGAAAGUGUGAUGUUCUCUGGGCUACGGAUGGAUCGAAGCAAACUGUCUGAGGCUUCGAACCCAUGAGCCGAACCCCCCCCCUACGUUGCGCAUGGGCCUCCUUUUAUAUGCUAAAGGGGUCACCGACAGGUGGCAAUGCAGAGGAGGGUAAAAACGUAAAAAGCGAGGUAGUUGAUACAGUUGCUUGUACAGUGCACCCUACCUAACCCUGACGGCAGGGGAUAAGGGCAUUAAAUGCCCGUCUGAGUCGCCCGAACAGUGCAAAAAAAGACCGUUAGGGGCACCAACGUUCACCACGAUGGCGAUCUUGUCAGCUUCGCAUGCCACUGCGCACCGCUGGCUGCACAGCCUCCCGCCACGCACGUCCGGAGGGGCCCCCAGAGCGACACGUUGGUGAAUGCGCUGGAGCGUGGACGCAGAGUGGCCGCCUGCCGCGGCAAGCGCCUUGCCGCUGUUGUUAUCUUGUCGGGUCCGGAAGCUUGUCGCUCACCGGGCUUCGAGGUACCUUGGUUUGUCUUCCCGGCAAGCUCCUCUUGCCGGGGCCUUGUUGCCUUGCCGGAGCGCGUGGCGCGUCGCGGCAAGUUUAUUAGAGCGCCUUGGUUGGCCUUCCCGGCAAGCUCCUCUUGUCGGGGUCUUGUUUCCUUAGCUUAAAAUACUUUGUUCUUGGAUGGCUCCAAGGGAACCUUGGGGGAUCUUGGCGAUCGCCCGGCAAGCCUCUGCCGCGGGGUGCUGCAACUGCCCGUGCACAAGUUCGGGGUACUAGGGUACCCCUAAUCUAGUACACCGACAACACUGGCACUACUCUCACUCAAACGAUAGUAGCAUAGGGCCUUGAGCAAAAGGAAAAAGAAACACAAAGAUUUAGUUAGUGCCAAGAACAAAGAAAGUAAACUUACUAUAUAUAGCUAGGAAUGACAAUGUCCAAAAUCAAAUUAAAAUCUAGCAAUCAGAUCUAGUUGUUCAUUUUCGGCCCAAUGGAUUAGAGAACAUAUAGUAUAAUUCAACCCUUUGUUUUGUACGGGGGUCUAAGUAAUCCAUCAGCAGCGUACAAUAGUUGGUACUCUCGUAAAGAAAUAUAAGAGCGUUUAGAUCACUAAAGUAGUGAUCCAAAUGCUCUUAUACUUCUUUACGGAGGGAGUACUCAUUAUCUAUGCCCAUAAGAACUUCCCCCACAAAAAAAGGAUCUUCACACGAAGGAAGCAGCAUACAAACUAUAUAUCCUCAUAAGAAGCUUCUCUUCCACUUGUAAUAUAAUAAAUAAAUGGUUUGACACUGUAUAAAGAGAACUUUCCUGCUACGUGAGAAUUUUUUCCAAGCGAAAUAUCCAGACUGAUAAAAUUUCAUCACCCUUUUAUGCACCAUCUAUUUAUUCGAGACAGGUUUUAGCAUCACACGGCAUACCAUAGCUAAGAAUAGAACUAAAAAGUUGCAAUGAAAUUUAGAGCACCACAAACAAAAUGGUGCUCCAAAUAAAAAAUUAGGGGAAUUCACCAGCUCUACAAGCCUUAAGAGCACGACAUGUGCAUAGAUAAAAAGCCAAACGAGAUAAUCAAGUCAAAAUCCUAGCUUUGACUUUAAGGGUUCUGCAAAUUCGGUCCAAAUAGCAUGAAUAAGAAAAUGCAGAACUGUUAUUCCAAAGACCUGGAAAGAAAUAACACUUCCAUAAAAUUGAGAAAUUAAAAUCAUGUAAUACUCCUUAACAACCGGUAUAUGGAUUGAAAUUAACCUCGAAAUAAUAUAUGCAUUCAGAUUUAACUACGCAUGUUUUCAACUGAAUAAAUAGCCGAAAGCAACAACUGCACGAGAGAGAAAGAGCGGAUCCAACUAAGGAAAUGCAGUACCUGUUCUAUCAGAGCUAAUCAUGCAAAGCUAGCGUAGCGCCAUUCCCGUUUUCUUCUAACCAGAUUGUUUAAAAGACUACUCAAAAUGUUAAUUAAGAAAAUCCUGUGGACUAUCAUGAAACACACAAGACAGGGAUAACCCAUUUGUAUUGUCUACUGUAAACUGGAAUACAUCUGACAUCACAUCUAGAGAAUCGCUUUGGACAGAUAUUACGCAGCCGCUUCAACAUAAAAAAAUAUGAAAGAUAAUAGACAAUUUUUAUAGUUCAUCCUUUUAGUUUAAAACUAUGAGAAACAACACAAAUGGAAAAAAAUGAGGCAGCAUUUCAGAACUACUUUAACAAAAUGGCAUUCAAAUCUUUCAAUACAUAGCUAUUUCUUGUUACUUCUAUUUCUUGUUCUUUGGCACAUCAAUUUCAGUUGUAUAUACCAUAGGCCGAUACAUUUAAGAAAUGAGGAGAAAUGAAAGGGACAGUGACUACUGUCGAAUAUGGCCAAUGUCUAAAGAUACUAAUCACAGUCACAAUUCCCUCUGGAGAUUAACUGGUUAUCACAAACACAUGGGGAAGAAGGUCGCAGCUCACCUAUGGCAUAGAGCUGGCAUAAAAAGAAGUAGGAGCUCAUCAUUCCCCAUACUUGAACAUGCCGCCACCAGCCAAUUAACAUUCCAUUACUCCUGAAAAAGUGUAAAGCAAACAAAUAUGAAUGCUUUGUGACUGACCAGCAAGAAUUAGAAAACAAAUUCUUAUAACCGAAGGUGCUCUGAACCCAAAUCUUCUCUUCAUAAACAUGGAGAAACUCUCGUGAACAAAAUAAGCUUGCGACAUAUAAAAAGGUAUUAUAAGAAAGAACACCAAAUAGGAGCUAACAAAAUUAAGUUUAGAAUAUAUAUGCUAGCAAAUCAAUAACUGUACAAAAAUAUUGUAGGCCAAAUCAAAUUCAUAUAGGCCACUAACUAAACUGACAAGAACCAAAAAUAUAUAUUGGUCUUGUUAUUUCAUUUACCCAAAUUAAGACUGGCAUUAUUUAAACAGAAUAUGCUUAGAGCCUAUUUCUGAUUUAGCCAGAGCAGGAGAACAUCUAAUAUAACAAGAUAGCGGGGCGAGGUGUUUUUAUAAUCAUCAUAGGACUUAAAAUUAGAUGGCAAAAACAUGUAUGGACUGAACUCUUCAGCAAAAUAAUAUAUGUCUAUUCAAAGCUAUAUGUUUCCAGAUUGUUUAGGAUUAUUUUAACUGCUUUGACAUUUCCCCCUCCUUGAUUAGAGGUACAAAUCAUAGGAUUCGGUGUACCGAAUUGAUACUACAUAUAUAGUACAUCUUUGUAUGUACUUUACAAAAGUACCUCAUGGGCUCCUAUUACCAAGACCGGUAAGGAAAUUGGGCAACUAUGAGAUGGAUAAUUUUUUUUAACUUACUGAUGAUAGGGAGGUCCAUUUCAAGCUCAAGAAGCUUAAAGCCAUCCAUGUCUGGCAUGUGCACAUCACUGAUAACAAGAUCAAAUAUGUCCCUGUUUUCCCAUAGCAUCCUCAGUGCGAUAACAACCUGAUUCGUCACAACAACAGGUUACUCUUCCAAAGUGGUAACAAUACAAGAAAAGGGAAAUGGUCCUAUGCAUUUUUCAUGACAAAAAACAGAUGCCUCGCAUCUUUUGUACUAUAAAAUCGGUAUCAUAAAUUCAGGUCAUGCAAUCAAAUGAAUCUAUCCAUCUAGAGGUAGUCAAUCUUUGGCUACAGGCAGCAUUUGUAUAUGAUGCACAGUACACCAAAUCUAGUUGUGAGCUGUGACAACUACCAACAACAACAAAAAUUACUGGUCGUCCUAGACACUGAGGAAUAGGCAAAUUUUCUGAAAUAGAGCAACUAAAAUUGACCAUGCUUGACCCAAUAGCCGGCUCCUAGACAAAUUACAACCCUGAGCUGCAAAAUAGGGCGAGGUAUGAGGUUCAAGGGAGAAUUUAAGGAUCCUUCAUUAACAAACAAAUGCUACAAUUUUAUCUGUUUUGUUUUCUAUAUGCGUAGUUGAACAUGUACAAUCAGCAAUCUCAACAUUCAGUUAUGGCACUGGUUGAACAUGUACAAAUACGUGUCUUUGUUAAGCUGCAUCAUAGGAUCGAACGCACUCUGAAUAUGCAAUUGUUGAAUAUAAUAAGCAAGUCCCAGAAAACCAUGGAUGCGUGUGACACACCUCACGCAUACAGUGCAUCCUUGGGCUCCAAUGCAGGGGCACCUUCACAUCCGAGUGAGCCUCGCAUCUACGAGCUGCAGUUCAAUUCGAAGUUCAGACGCAAUGGCAUGAUGUUCCGAUCUAGGAUACGCAACUCGAAUGGAUACAGUGUAGCAGGGAAGCGGGAGAUAGGCUUGCUCACCGUAAAGCGUCCCAGCCACCUGGAGAGGAUGAGGGAGGAGGACGGGUGCCGCCGGCGGCCUGGAGGAGGAGCGACGACGCGGUAAGAAGACAGGCGCGACCACACCCGAGGAACGAUGGCGGGGCGAAGCGGCCGCAGUGCGCGAGAGAGGAGGGUCGCACACCUCCUAUCAUGUGCACGCGAAGACGACGGCGGCGGCAUGCCGGCUGGACGAAGGAGACGGCGGCGACAUCAUGGGGUUGAUCGAUCCCCGAGGCAUAGUGGAGCACCAUGGCGACGGUCUCCUCGACGGUGUUGGAUCUGGCCGUCGGCGGCGCGGACGGCGGCGGCGCUGCGGGCGUCCUGGACGAGGUCGCAGUGGAGGUAGAGCCAGGCAGCGAGGACCCGCGCGUAUGGGAAGGGCUUGGCGAGGAGGUCGCGCAUGCAGGAAAAGACCUUGGCCGGGCGGCGCGCGCUGACGCCGGCUGCUUCCUCGUCAUGUCCGCGCACCGCGCUCCUCCUCCUCUGCCUGGCCUCGAUGGGGAGGAGGAAGGAUGGCGGCACAGCGCGCCUGACAACGGGGAGGAGAUGCGGGAGAAGGAGGACGGGCAACGGCGGCAUAGAGGAGGAGAAAGGGGGAAGGCCACCUGAAGAAUGGCGGCAGAUCGAGGAAGAGGAGCGUCUGUGGUGAGAGGAGGAAUUUUUGUCGAAAAGGACCACCUGCGCGAAUGAAUUGACAAAAAAGACCACCUGCUGAUAAAUUUGACAAAAAAGACCCCCUCAAUUGUGGCGGCAAGUGCGGCACGCGACACGUGACACCUGCCACCACGCAGCGAGGCGGCAGCACUGUACCGCCUGGCAAAACGGGAAUCUGCGCUGGAGACGGAACGGCAGCGGCGUGUGGAGCCCGGCCGUCAAGGGGCGUGGCGGCAGUACUGUACCGCCUGGGCCCUGCCGCCUCACGAGCUGGCGGCACCCUGUUCAUCGCCCUGCUGCUAAUGCGUGCUACGGAGCCGGCUAUCACAAAUGAUGCGCAGUGCAUCGUGGUCGUCUACAAUCAGUGCCGAAAAAUAUGAAACGUUGGGAACCAGUGCCUCAAAGCAGACGAAACUCGCGCUGGGAAUCAGUGCCUCAAAACUUGUGGCCGCAUGCGCUUUGUGCUUUGCUGGACUUGUGCAUUCAACGGCAGCGCCAUGCGCUUUGCCAUGCAGCAGCAGUAGCAAUCAACAGCGGUGGCCGGCUCCGUAGCGCGCAGUUGCAGCAGGGCGAUGAACAGGGCUGCCGCCAGCCCGCGAGGCGGCCGGGCCCAGGCGCUACAGUACUGCCGCCACGCCCCUUGGCGGCCGGGCCUCACACGCCGCAGCCGUUCCGUCGCCAGCGCCGAUUCCCGUUCUGGCAAGCGGUACAGUGCUGCCGCCUCGCUGCGUGGCGGCAGGUGCCACGUGUCGCCUGCCGCACCUGCCGCCUCAGUCGAGGGGGUCUUUUUUGUCAAAUUUAUCAGUAGGUGGUCUUUUUUGUCAAUUCAUUCGCGCAGGUGGUCUUUUUCGACAAAAAAAUCGAGGAAAGAGGGCGAAUGGGAGCACGAAGAGGCCAGCCAAGCGCCCUCCCCCACCUCAUCGAUGCACGGACGAACCAGCGUCAACCACGCACAUGGCCAGGACGUGAAAUCCCAAUAUUACCCUCCACGGGGCAGGGGAAUUUCGGCGAUGGCAACGAGAUCUUUUACCGCUGGAGCGUGCCGACGGGCCGUCUGGGACGCGCCACAGCCACAGAGAAUGACAUGCAGGGCCUACCAAAUGGGCUGCCCCACAAGUCAGCGAGACCCAGCCAGGAGCCACAGAGUGAGCAAGAGCGAGCAAAACGAGUAACUAUUCAUUCCAGCAGUGUUCAUCUCAGAUCCGACGGCCCAGGUUCAUCCAGGUCUUGAUCCGACGUCAGAAACAUAUCAAGGGAACUGAUCCAACGGCCCAGAAUCACUGAUCUCUGAGGAGGCUUGUAGAGACCUUCUUCUCUUAUUUCUGGAUUUACUGUUUUCUCCCCCCUCUUCUCUCCGGUAGACCCCGAGACCACUGCUGAUGCCCCUAUGAUCAACUACGUCGACGACGACCCUCCUUCUCGUCUGAGCAACCAGGCAAGCCCCCCUUUGAUCAUCCCGAUAUCGCCCAUUCUAUACUCUCAUGCUUGCAUUAGAUUUUGCUAUUGUUAUUGUUUGCUCCUAUUCUGAUGCAUAGCCUGCUUUUGUACUUGCUAUUGUACCUUACCUGCUUAUCCUAAACUGCUUAGUGUAGGUUGGUUAGUGAUCCAUCAGUGACCCCCACCUUGUCCUUCUACCCCUGCUUCAUCAUCGAUGACUCGAUCAGCGUGAUCGACGACCAGAGCCCGACACCUCACAUCACAUCACGCCCCUUUUGUUGCUUGACUCUGCAGAGCUACUAUCGAGUGCCAAGGGUGAUCCCUCAUAACGCACUCUUGAUGAUAAUUCUAUAGUGUAGCUAUUGGGUCGUGGCCAUCGAGGGUGAUUUCCUCUUUCACCAUUCCUGAUACGGCUUUGUCAUUCAACACCUCAAGUGUGAACCUCGAGGGUGGUCCCUCUUAUGUUCACCUUGAUGAUUACCUUGAGUGGAAUCCACCGGGGGUGAUUCCUUGGGUUUUUCCCUUGAUAUUUGGACACACGGUAGCCUUGACUUACUUGAGACCAUUGUUGAAGUCGGGUCGGCCCUGAGGGGUACCCGCGAGUUGAUGUGAAAGUCGGGCGGGCCCAUAGAGCACCUACGAGUUUUCCAUGUGGCACGGCCGGGCAGUCUGGGCCCUUGUCGUAAGUCCAGGAGACGGGGCGACGGUGUCAGGACCCCGACUCCAUGUCACAUCGACCUAGCCGGUAACACCCCAUAUCACUUUGCGGCCUCACGCACGGUAUCCCCACGGGUGUCGUCUUACCUUUUCCCGGGACCGUUUGCGCCUUUUGGCUCACGUAUAUGAUAGUGUCGCUAGCAUCCAUAUGAUAAGGAGCCUGGGCUGACAUGACUAGUCGUAAACCCAAAGUGGCACAGACUUACAGGGACAGGCAUCCAUGACCCAGCUUCGAACGUGUCGGUCAUCAGCAAGUGGGUCCGGGCUGUAGCACUGGGCUAGCAGGACUCCGGUAAACCGGGCUGUAGCGGGCUAACAGGACUCCGGUACUCAAAGCGUGACAUUUCCCCGAAGGGACAGACACAGGAACGAAGAAGGACACAUGCCGGCCAGCCUAAGUGUUCCAAAGCAGUAGCAAGCUACCAUGGCUCAGCGGUAACACUAGGAGACAUUUCCCGGUAAGAGAGGCUACUAAAGAUAAACAACUAGAUAGUCAGAUCCCACACAUANNNNNNNNNNNNNNNNNNNNNNNNNNNNNNNNNNNNNNNNNNNNNNNNNNNNNNNNNNNNNNNNNNNNNNNNNNNNNNNNNNNNNNNNNNNNNNNNNNNNNNNNNNNNNNNNNNNNNNNNNNNNNNNNNNNNNNNNNNNNNNNNNNNNNNNNNNNNNNNNNNNNNNNNNNNNNNNNNNNNNNNNNNNNNNNNNNNNNNNNNNNNNNNNNNNNNNNNNNNNNNNNNNNNNNNNNNNNNNNNNNNNNNNNNNNNNNNNNNNNNNNNNNNNNNNNNNNNNNNNNNNNNNNNNNNNNNNNNNNNNNNNNNNNNNNNNNNNNNNNNNNNNNNNNNNNNNNNNNNNNNNNNNNNNNNNNNNNNNNNNNNNNNNNNNNNNNNNNNNNNNNNNNNNNNNNNNNNNNNNNNNNNNNNNNNNNNNNNNNNNNNNNNNNNNNNNNNNNNNNNNNNNNNNNNNNNNNNNNNNNNNNNNNNNNNNNNNNNNNNNNNNNNNNNNNNNNNNNNNNNNNNNNNNNNNNNNNNNNNNNNNNNNNNNNNNNNNNNNNNNNNNNNNNNNNNNNNNNNNNNNNNNNNNNNNNNNNNNNNNNNNNNNNNNNNNNNNNNNNNNNNNNNNNNNNNNNNNNNNNNNNNNNNNNNNNNNNNNNNNNNNNNNNNNNNNNNNNNNNNNNNNNNNNNNNNNNNNNNNNNNNNNNNNNNNNNNNNNNNNNNNNNNNNNNNNNNNNNNNNNNNNNNNNNNNNNNNNNNNNNNNNNNNNNNNNNNNNNNNNNNNNNNNNNNNNNNNNNNNNNNNNNNNNNNNNNNNNNNNNNNNNNNNNNNNNNNNNNNNNNNNNNNNNNNNNNNNNNNNNNNNNNNNNNNNNNNNNNNNNNNNNNNNNNNNNNNNNNNNNNNNNNNNNNNNNNNNNNNNNNNNNNNNNNNNNNNNNNNNNNNNNNNNNNNNNNNNNNNNNNNNNNNNNNNNNNNNNNNNNNNNNNNNNNNNNNNNNNNNNNNNNNNNNNNNNNNNNNNNNNNNNNNNNNNNNNNNNNNNNNNNNNNNNNNNNNNNNNNNNNNNNNNNNNNNNNNNNNNNNNNNNNNNNNNNNNNNNNNNNNNNNNNNNNNNNNNNNNNNNNNNNNNNNNNNNNNNNNNNNNNNNNNNNNNNNNNNNNNNNNNNNNNNNNNNNNNNNNNNNNNNNNNNNNNNNNNNNNNNNNNNNNNNNNNNNNNNNNNNNNNNNNNNNNNNNNNNNNNNNNNNNNNNNNNNNNNNNNNNNNNNNNNNNNNNNNNNNNNNNNNNNNNNNNNNNNNNNNNNNNNNNNNNNNNNNNNNNNNNNNNNNNNNNNNNNNNNNNNNCCGGGUGCCACUUGGUAGACUACUAACACUACCUACAAACACCAGAAACUAGUUGCGACUCCUGGACAGAGACCAAGUUGGUUAAUAAGCCGAGAGGGGUCGAGUUACCGGAACCCAAUGUGUGGUAGUAUCGAGUCAUUGGACAACAUACACAGAACUCAAUGCUUAAGGACGGUUCCAGUGAGACAACCCACCAUGUACUCCUACAUGGCCUCUCACCGCUACCUUUACCAAAUCGUGUUCACACACACUUCAUUCUCAGCAUCAGAACAUAUCGUAACACUCCAAUUCAUUCCCAAUGAAUCAGACCUGACACAACUCUAAGCAAUAGCAGGCAUAGCAUGGUAGGAACACCUCAGUGGCUUCAAUCAACUCCUACACAUGCUAGUGGGUUUCAACUAUUUACUGUGGCAAUGACAGGUCAUGCAGAGGAAUGGGUUCAACUACCGCAGCACAAAGUAGCAGAUGAAUCGUUGUUGUCCUAAUGCAAUAACUGAGAGCAGGAGCGAGAGAGUAGGGUUUUAUCGAAAUGAACAAGGGGGUUUGCUUGCCUGGUAAAACAACAGAGGAGGCACUGCUUCACAGACAGGUACUCUGGAACGUCUCCGGAGUAGGACCUAUCGAGAAGGAACGGUGCCGGCAAUCAAUACACAAUCAUAUGCAACAAUAUGAUGCAUGAACAUGGCAUGUAGAUGUGAUGCUGUUGAGCUAAUGCAACUAGUAAACAUUUGGUUUGAAGUCCAUUUGAACCAAAGGUUCAAAUGCAUUACUAAAUUAAAUCUCUUAAUAUGCCAUAAUGUGUUUUCCCAUAUUCAGCUUGUAUAAGUUGGUUUNNNNNNNNNNNNNNNNNNNNNNNNNNNNNNNNNNNNNNNNNNNNNNNNNNNNNNNNNNNNNNNNNNNNNNNNNNNNNNNNNNNNNNNNNNNNNNNNNNNNNNNNNNNNNNNNNNNNNNNNNNNNNNNNNNNNNNNNNNNNNNNNNNNNNNNNNNNNNNNNNNNNNNNNNNNNNNNNNNNNNNNNNNNNNNNNNNNNNNNNNNNNNNNNNNNNNNNNNNNNNNNNNNNNNNNNNNNNNNNNNNNNNNNNNNNNNNNNNNNNNNNNNNNNNNNNNNNNNNNNNNNNNNNNNNNNNNNNNNNNNNNNNNNNNNNNNNNNNNNNNNNNNNNNNNNNNNNNNNNNNNNNNNNNNNNNNNNNNNNNNNNNNNNNNNNNNNNNNNNNNNNNNNNNNNNNNNNNNNNNNNNNNNNNNNNNNNNNNNNNNNNNNNNNNNNNNNNNNNNNNNNNNNNNNNNNNNNNNNNNNNNNNNNNNNNNNNNNNNNNNNNNNNNNNNNNNNNNNNNNNNNNNNNNNNNNNNNNNNNNNNNNNNNNNNNNNNNNNNNNNNNNNNNNNNNNNNNNNNNNNNNNNNNNNNNNNNNNNNNNNNNNNNNNNNNNNNNNNNNNNNNNNNNNNNNNNNNNNNNNNNNNNNNNNNNNNNNNNNNNNNNNNNNNNNNNNNNNNNNNNNNNNNNNNNNNNNNNNNNNNNNNNNNNNNNNNNNNNNNNNNNNNNNAGCUCCCGAAUCGACGGCGAGUACCCACGGCGGCCGGAGGCGAGGAUGGCGACGGCGAUGGCUCCACGGGAUGCCCCGUCUUGCUUGGCUCGACGAGGAGGUAGAGGGGGUCGCGGCGGAGCUCGGGGGCUCUACGGAGGGGCGAGGGGACGGCGGGGAGCGCGUCGGUGGCGAGCUGCGGCGGCGGCAGUGCUUCGGGUGAGAGGGAGAGAGAGCAGGGGGAGAGGAGGAGGGCGAGGGGGAGGGAGUGAGAGCGGUGCGGGGCAGCGCGUGGCGACGUUCCGGACGUCCAGGCGUCGAGGGGGAGGACAGGCAGGCAGGUGCCGUGGCGGCACGGCGGUGCGCACGCGCCGGCCACACGCCUCUGGCCUCCUGGCGGGAGGUGGAGGACGACUGGCGCUAGCCAGUCGGCUGGGCCGGCCAGCUGGGCCGCACAGUGCCAGGCCUCAGGUGAGCACAGGUAGGCAUUUUUUUUUAAUUUUUUUUUCUAAUUUUUCUGACAUUGUUUGGAUUUAAUAAAUAUAUUAAAUCAUUUAAUUUCCUUAUGCCAAUUUUUGCAGGAGCUAGAUAUAUUAUUCCAGAGCUCUUUUAUAAUUGGCAUAAUUUUUGGACCAUAUUUCAUAUAUAUAGAAAUAUAUUUCCAAUGCAAAUAUUUAUCGAAUUAAUCCAAAUGGCCAAAAUAAAAUGUCCAUGAGCUCCUAAAAAUAUUGUUUUGAUUUUUAUCUCUGUCCAAUAUUUUCAGAGGGCAACAUGAGCAUUUUCUUGGACCCUUUUGGAGAAAUUUUUAUUUGGGUCAUUUUCAAAAAUGAUUCUGAGGGUUCCACCAAUCCUCAUUUCAAAUUUAAAUGAAAUUUAAAUAUGAUGCACAAACGACUAGCUAGUCUAGGUCAUACCAGACUAGGGAUGUGACAACUCGCCCCCACUUGACAGAAUCUCGUCUCGAGAUUCAGGGGUCGACGGAAAGAAAGUGGGGUACUCCAGUCGAAGACGAUCUUCUCGCUCCCAAGUAGCCUCUCUCUCGGAAUGAUGACACCACUGAACUUUGAGAAACUUGAUGUUCUGACGUCGAGUGACACGCUCUGCUUGAUCAAGAAUGCGAACUGGGUACUCUCGGUAUGUGAGGUUAUCUUGGAGAUCAAGCAUUUCAUGGUCCACUCCGCGGAUGGGAUCCGAGAAGCAACGCCUGAGUUGAGAGACGUGGAAGACAUCAUGAACUCGAGAAAGAUGUGGAGGUAGUUCCAAUUGGUAGGCAACCUCUCCUCGUUUAGCGAGAAUACGAAAAGGACCAAUGUAGCGAGGAGCCAACUUGCCCUUGAUACCGAAACGAUGGGUACCCUUCAAAGGAGUAACCCGAAGGUAGGCUUGGUCGCCAAUUUCAUAAGUCACAUCCUUAUGAUGACGAUCGUACUGACUUUUCUGACGAGACUGGGCUGUUUUCAAAUUCUCACGAAUGAUGCGAACUUGCUCUUCUGCCUCCUGGAUCAUAUCCGGUCCAAAGAAUUGUCUUUCACCGGUUUCUGACCAGUUCAAAGGUGUUCGACAUCUUCGUCCAUAGAGAACCUCAAAAGGAGCUUGCUUGAGGCUGGAUUGGUAGCUAUUGUUAUAGGCAAACUCGGCGAAAGGAAGACAUUUCUCCCAAUCCAUACCGAAGGAGAUAACGCAAGCUCUAAGCAUGUCUUCGAGAAUUUGAUUGACCCGUUCCACCUGACCACUCGACUGAGGGUGGAAAGCGGUACUGAAGGAAAGAUGGGUUCCCAUGGCAGUUUGGAAGCUCUCCCAAAAAUGAGAAGUGAAAAGACUGCCACGGUCUGAAUUGAUCUCUAGUGGAACACCAUGAAGUGACACUAUUCGAGAAAUAUAUAAGUCAGCAAGCUGACUAGCAGUGAUACUCUCUCGAACAGGAAGGAAGUGAGCCACUUUGGAAAGAUGAUCAACGACUACGAAGAUAGCGUUAUUCCCUCUUUUGGUCCUGGGAAAGCCGGUAAUGAAGUCCAUACCAACUUUAUCCCAUUUCCAUUCAGGAAUAGCUAAAGGCUGAAGGGUGCCAGCAGGUCUCUGAUGCUCUGCCUUAAUGCGACGACAAACGUCACAUUUAGCAAUGAACUCAGCGAUUUCUCUCUUCAUCCUAGUCCACCAGAACCUCUGGCGUAGGUCCUGAUACAUCUUAGUACUACCGGGAUGAAUUGUGAGAGGAGAUUCAUGCGCCUCCUUAAGAAUCAAUUGUCGAAGAUGUUGCUUCUUGGGAACCACCAAGCGAUUCUCAAAGAAAACAACACCACGAUCAUCCAUAGAGAAACUACCAGCAAUACCCUUGGCAAUGUUUCUCUUGAUCCGAGUAAUCCCCGAAUCAUGCUUCUGGGCUUCUAUGAUAAGAUCCACAAGGGUAGGUUUCGCCACCAAGGUGGAAAGAAAACCGCGAGGAGCUAUGUGAAGAUUAAGCUUACAGAAUUCCUCAUGGAGAAGUGGUUGGCCUUGCUGCAACAUGAGAUUAUUGCAAUAGAAUUUACGGCUUAGAGCAUCAGCCAUGACAUUGGCUUUGCCUGGGGUGUAGGUAAUCCCUAGAUCAUAAUCUGUGAUUAACUCCAACCAACGUCUUUGCCUAAGGUUCAAAUCUGGUUGGGUGAAGAUAUACUUGAGACUCUGGUGAUCGGUGUAGAUCUCGCAACGUUUACCAAGAAGGUAAUGUCGCCAGGUCUUGAGUGCAUAGACUACGGCUGCAAGCUCUAGAUCAUGUGUAGGAUAAUUAUCCUCAUGUGGAUGCAACUGUCGAGAUGCAUAGGCAAUCACAUGACGAUCCUGCAUAAGAAUGCAACCUAGUCCCUGUCGUGAGGCAUCGCAGUAGAUAAUAAAGUCUUUAGUGAAAUCCGGUGGCACAAGUAUGGGGGCAGAAGUCAGGCGCCUUUUCAGUUCCUGAAAACUGUACUCACACUGUGGGGACCACUCAAACUUUUUAUCUUUCUUGAGAAGUUCCGUGAGGGGUUUGGCUACUUUGGAGAAGUUUUCAACAAAGCGGCGACAAUAGCUGGCUAGACCAAGGAAACUCCUAACUUGUUUGACUGUUUCAGGUGGAGUCCAAUCGAGAACAGCCUGAACUCUCUCGGGAUUGACAGCAAUGCCCUUACCAGAGAUUACGUGACCUAAGUAGGUCACUUCUGACAACCAAAAUUCACACUUGGAGAACUUGGCAUAAAGGCGAUGCUCUCUAAGUUUUUCUAACACAAGUCUAAGAUGUUCGGCAUGCUCUUCCUCGUUCUUCGAGUAGAUAAGAAUAUCAUCGAGAUAAACCACGACGAACUUAUCUAAGUACUCCAUGAAGAUCGAGUUCAUCAAGCGGGAGAAUGUGGCUGGGGCGUUGGUUAGGCCGAAGGACAUGACGGUGUACUCGUACUGGCCAUAACGAGUGACAAAAGCUGUCUUGGGAAUGUCCCCGUUUCUGAUCUUGAUUUGAUGGUAGCCUAAUCUUAAAUCCAUCUUGGAGAAGAUUGAGGAUCCAGCGAGCUGAUCAUACAGGUCGUUGAUCCUGGGGAGCGGAUACUUGUUCUUUAUCGUGACCAAAUUAACGGGACGAUAAUCAACGACCAUCCGGUCCGUACCGUCUUUCUUCUUGACAAAGAGGACGGGGCAAGCCCAAGGAGAAGAACUAGGACGGAUGAAACCCUUUUGCAAGGACUCAUCGAGUUGUUUCUUAAGCUCGGCUAGUUCUAAGGGUGCCAUCUUGUAGGGUCUCCGGGAGAUUGGAGCUGUUCCUGGGAUAAGAUCUAUGACGAACUCUACAUCUCUGUCAGGCGGAACACCUGGCAGUUCCUCUGGAAAGACAUCCGGAAAGUCACGGACUACCGGGAUAUCUUCAAGGUCUGGAAGAGGGCUGGCAUUAAGGGAAUAGAGCUGACGCUUUGCAACUCUAGUGGAGACAAUGGCUAUCUUGCCAGAUGGGUGUGUGAGCUGAACAGACCUGGUGAAACAAUCAAUCUUGGCAUGAUGAGCUGUCAUCCAGUCCAUACCCAAGAUGAUGUUAAUAUCCGAAGACUUGAGAGAUAUCAAGGAGGCAAGGAAUGCAAGUCUGUCCACAAGGAUUUCAUUGCCAUAACUUAUCCUAGAAGUUUGCCAUUUGGAUCCAGGAGUUUGAAUAAGUAGUGGAGAGGGCAUAUCACAAAAUGACAUGUCGUGCAAGCGGACAUAGCUUUCGGAAAUGAAGGAAUGAGAUGCUCCAGUAUCGAACAAAACCGAUGCUGGAUGACAGUUGACAAGGAGUGUUCCAAGAACGACAUCUGGAUCAUCAUGAGCGGCUUUAGCUGAGACAUGAUGCACACGUCCAUGUUCAGUGGGAGCUGACUUGGCACUGACCAUCUUGCGUGAUGGCUUACCAUGGACAAAAGACUUCUCGGGCUGGGGUAGAGCAACUCUGGUCUGAGUGCAAAUACGGGCAAUGUGGCCUUGCUCUCCGCACUUGUAACAAAUCUUGGAGGUAGGAUGUGGACCUGUAUUAGAAGGCGGUCCACCAAUAGGCCUGGGUGGAGCAUACUGCUGAGCUUGAUGAGGUGCCACAUAAGAUGGCCUCGGUACAUAUUUGGGCGGAAGAGCAGAGUUUGGAACCCAAAUCCGGCGCUUCUGAGAACUAGAACCGGAGGAAGAUCCCAAAGCACGAGUGUGCUUACGAGACUCCUUGUAAGUGAGUUGAGCUGUCUCUGCAUUAAUGGCCUUGUUCACAAGGGCUUGGAAUGUACCACAAUGAUGCAGAUGGAGAUCACGACGCAACUUGGGGUUGAGACCCUUCCGGAACCUAGCCUGCUUCUUGGCGUCCGUGGACACCUCUUCUGUAGCAUAGCGGGCGAGGUUCUCAAACUCUCGGCUGUAAGCAUCAACAGCCAUUUUAUCCUGGGUGAAGCUACAGAACUCUUCUCUCUUGCGAUCAAGGAGGGCCUCAGGAAUGUGAUGCCCGCGAAAAGCCUCAACGAAAUCCCUCCAGGUGGAAGUCUGGCCAGCUGGAAGCAUAGCCUCAUAGUUCUGCCACCAAAGACUAGCAGGACCUUCCAGGUGGUAUGUGGCAUAGGUGACCUUGUCAUCUUCAGCUACGCUCGCGGAACGCAGCUUAUGGGUGAUGCUACGGAGCCAGUCAUCUGCAUCGAGUGGCUCGAUGGAAUGAUGAAAGGUAGGUGGGUGCAAGCGAAUGAAGUCAUGAAUGGUCACAGGCUUAUUGGACUGAUGUGCGGUGUUCUCCUCGAUACGUGCCAACAAGCGGUUGGACUCACGCUUGUUCCUCUCCAUCUCUAGCAUGAACUCUGUCAACGAAGGUUGAUCAGGAGGAUCCUCAUCCCUACCAUCUCCGUGGUUCUGGCUACGAGCAACGGAACUUCGCUUAGCUGAUGACAUCCUGAGAAACGAAACCAAGGACGAAAUCAACAUUAACUAUGGACUGUAGAAUGUAGGACAAGGAAUUAGUAUCUCUCGAACUCCUAGGGAAAUUUCGGCAGCAUAACGGCAGUAAAAUGCUCAGAAUGAGACAUCCUACUAAAAAUGUGGUGGUAACAUACUCAAGGUUCUGAGAUCAUACUAAAUAGACUACACCGAAAAUACUCAAAACUGGGGUAUGACUCUGAUCAACCAAUCCUAUGGGGCUACGGAGUAGUAACACGUGAUCCUGAUAGACGGAAGAGGAGCCUAGUUCCUUAAUCCCGUCGGAAAGAUAGGAUGACUCAGAUCAGAAGGCCAUGAGGUAAAGGAGUAAAAAGAGCCUUACGUUCCUUCCCACAAUCAAUUCCCUUACAUAACUAAAGAUUUUCUAGACUCAACUUCGACCAGUUUGGCUUGGUAAUCCUACAGGCAGUCAGGCUCUGAUACCAAAGCUGUCAGGACCCCGACUCGAUGUCACAUCGACCUAGCUGGUAACACCCCAUAUCACUUUGCGGCCUCACGCACGGUAUCCCCACGGGUGUCGUCUUACCUUUUCCCAGGACCGUUUGCGCCUUUUGGCUCACGUAUAUGAUAGUGUCGCUAGCAUCCAUAUGAUAAGGAGCCCGGGCUGACAUGACUAGUCGUAAACCCAAAGUGGCACAGACUUACAGGGACAGGCAUCCAUGACCCAGCUUCGAACGUGUCGGUCAUCAGCAAGUGGGUCCGGGCUGUAGCACUGGGCUAGCAGGACUCCGGUAAACCGGGCUGUAGCGGGCUAACAGGACUCCAGUACUCAAAGCGUGACAUUUCCCCGAAGGGACAGACACAGGAACAAAGAAGGACACAUGCCGGCCAGCCUAAGUGUUCCAAAGCAGUAGCAAGCUACCAUGGCUCAGCGGUAACACUAGGAGACAUUUCCCGGUAAGAGAGGCUACUAAAGAUAAACAACUAGAUAGUCAGAUCCCACACAUAGCACUACACAUUACACGUACGCAUAACAUGCAAGUAUGUGCUGUACAACAUGGCAUCACAGCAUAACUCAACAAUUAUAUAGAUAAAGGCUCAGAAGAGCCGUCAUAGCAAUUAUUGCAAACAGGGGUCACAAGACCCGUCAUACAGAGCAUACAAGCAACAAGCGGAAGCAUUACAUGUCUGGGUACAGACAUCUACAAAUGAAAAAGGCUGGAGAGCCUGACUAUCUACAACAUCCGAUCAAGAUCGUAGCUGAGGUACUAGCUACUAGUCGAAGUCCAUGAGAACCCUAGUAAGACCGAAGUCUCCGCUGCAAAAACAUAAAUAAAGCAACAUGAGUACAAAGGUACUCAGCAAGACUUACAUCAGAUCCUAUCAUACAUGCAUUUGUAUCAAGAGGGUAAUGUGGGGUUUAGUUGCAGCAAGCCAGCUUUGACUCUGUGGCUAUCCUAAUCUACGACUACCAGAAACUCUGGAGGUGAAACAACGUACACGAGUCCACUAAUCACCACACAAUACACUACAAUGGAUUCAUCCCCGUCUCCCUACGAGGAGGCCAUCCAUAGCACUCACACUUGUCUUGAGCAUUUUAUAGUAUCCACUUCAAGUUGUCUAUGUACCAUGUAAGCAUCCAAGAAGUCCAUAACCGCGGACCCGGCUAUUCGAAUAGAUCAUGUUAACCCUGCAGGGGUGUACUUCUUCACACACGCUCUCGCCACUUACCGCCAUGUACACGUCAUGUAUCUCGGCAACCUUCAAGCGGAAGCCUGGCGAGGGUGUCGGCCACGACCUGACUAACCACACAAGACUCUAAUCCAGGUUUAUCGCCUAUUCGGGUUCCAUCCGCAAGGAGAUCCGGCCGGGGUUUCACUCACGGCCCCAAACGAUGUGUGCAGGGUUCCCAAGCCCACCUCGCCGGAUGGAUCUACGCUUGGUACACCGUGCCACUGGUGCCUAGUCUGUCCCAAGCCCACCUGACCGGGUGCCACUUGGUAGACUACUAACACUACCUACAAACACCAGAAACUAGUUGCGACUCCUGGACAGAGACCAAGUUGGUUAAUAAGCCGAGAGGGGUCGAGUUACCGGAACCCAAUGUGUGGUAGUAUCGAGUCAUUGGACAACAUACACAGAACUCAAUGCUUAAGGACGGUUCCAGUGAGACAACCCACCAUGUACUCCUACAUGGCCUCUCACCGCUACCUUUACCAAAUCGUGUUCACACACACUUCAUUCUCAGCAUCAGAACAUAUCGUAACACUCCAAUUCAUUCCCAAUGAAUCAGACCUGACACAACUCUAAGCAAUAGCAGGCAUAGCAUGGUAGGAACACCUCAGUGGCUUCAAUCAACUCCUACACAUGCUAGUGGGUUUCAACUAUUUACUGUGGCAAUGACAGGUCAUGCAGAGGAAUGGGUUCAACUACCGCAGCACAAAGUAGCAGAUGAAUCGUUGUUGUCCUAAUGCAAUAACUGAGAGCAGGAGCGAGAGAGUAGGGUUUUAUCGAAAUGAACAAGGGGGUUUGCUUGCCUGGUAAAACAACAGAGGAGGCACUGCUUCACAGACAGGUACUCUGGAACGUCUCCGGAGUAGGACCUAUCGAGAAGGAACGGUGCCGGCAAUCAAUACACAAUCAUAUGCAACAAUAUGAUGCAUGAACAUGGCAUGUAGAUGUGAUGCUGUUGAGCUAAUGCAACUAGUAAACAUUUGGUUUGAAGUCCAUUUGAACCAAAGGUUCAAAUGCAUUACUAAAUUAAAUCUCUUAAUAUGCCAUAAUGUGUUUUCCCAUAUUCAGCUUGUAUAAGUUGGUUUGUCAUGCAUGAAACUAGUACAGAUGGAAAGAUUGCAUUUUUCUGAUAAUUUUUCAUAUAUAAAUUAUUUAAAUCUUAGCUACGGUUGAAUUGUUAUGAAUUUUUGAAGUUCAAAUCAUUUUCUGGAUUUUCUGAAUUAUUUUAAUUCCAGAAAAUAAAUAAUUGCGUCAGCAUGACGUCAUCAUUGCAUCAGCGGGUCAACGCGGCUGUCCAGGGUCAAACCUGACGUGUGGGACCCACACGUCAGUGACACUGGGGUUAACAGGGUUAAUUUAAUUUAAUUAAAAGGUUAGGGGGGGUCGGGCCCACUGGUCAGCGUCAGGGGGGGGGUUAGUUAACGGUGAUUAGCACUAAGCUAAUCACCUGACGGGCCGGCCCCACCUGGCAGGGCUCAGGCGACGGGGGCUCGUCGCCGGCGACCUCUGGACACGGCGGAGUCCGCGCCACAGGCCACGGGGACGGCGUCUGAGAGCACCGGGGCGUAGCCCGGGCUCUCGCGCAUCUGGUGGGACAGGUGGGAGGAGCGGGGACGGCCGGAGCUCGCCGGAGCAAAGCUCGCGGCGGCGGCCGGAGUUCGGGCGCGAGCGAGAUCGGGCUGCGGGGCACGGGGAGGCCACCUGAGGGGCUCGGCGGCACCCUCGUGGCACCAGGAGCGUGAAGGGAUGCUUGGUUUGGGCGGAGGCGGGCCGAGACGGCGACGGCGACAUGGACGGCGGCGAGAGGCUUCGGCCGUGGUGGGGAGCGGUGCUACAGCACGGGAACGGGAGGGAGAAGAGAGGGGAACGGUGGAGGAGCUCACCGCGGAUCCAGCGAGCGCGAGGACGAGGUCGGGGAUGCCCGGUAGCUCCCGAAUCGACGGCGAGUACCCACGGCGGCCGGAGGCGAGGAUGGCGACGGCGAUGGCUCCACGGGAUGCCCCGUCUUGCUUGGCUCGACGAGGAGGUAGAGGGGGUCGCGGCGGAGCUCGGGGGCUCUACGGAGGGGCGAGGGGACGGCGGGGAGCGCGUCGGUGGCGAGCUGCGGCGGCGGCAGUGCUUCGGGUGAGAGGGAGAGAGAGCAGGGGGAGAGGAGGAGGGCGAGGGGGAGGGAGUGAGAGCGGUGCGGGGCAGCGCGUGGCGACGUUCCGGACGUCCAGGCGUCGAGGGGGAGGACAGGCAGGCAGGUGCCGUGGCGGCACGGCGGUGCGCACGCGCCGGCCACACGCCUCUGGCCUCCUGGCGGGAGGUGGAGGACGACUGGCGCUAGCCAGUCGGCUGGGCCGGCCAGCUGGGCCGCACAGUGCCAGGCCUCAGGUGAGCACAGGUAGGCAUUUUUUUUAAUUUUGUUUUCUAAUUUUUCUGACAUUGUUUGGAUUUAAUAAAUAUAUUAAAUCAUUUAAUUUCCUUAUGCCAAUUUUUGCAGGAGCUAGAUAUAUUAUUCCAGAGCUCUUUUAUAAUUGGCAUAAUUUUUGGACCAUAUUUCAUAUAUAUAUAGAAAUAUAUUUCCAAUGCAAAUAUUUAUUGAAUUAAUCCAAAUGGCCAAAAUAAAAUGUCCAUGAGCUCCUAAAAAUAUUGUUUUGAUUUUUAUCUCUGUCCAAUAUUUUCAGAGGGCAACAUGAGCAUUUUCUUGGACCCUUUUGGAGAAAUUUUUAUUUGGGUCAUUUUCAAAAAUGAUUCUGAGGGUUCCACCAAUCCUCAUUUCAAAUUUAAAUGAAAUUUAAAUAUGAUGCACAAACGACUAGCUAGUCUAGGUCAUACCAGACUAGGGAUGUGACAGACGGGGUCACAUUAUCGUGAGUCUCUGCACGUUUUCGCGAGCCCCCAAUGCACUAACAGGUUUGGGUAUUUGUUCUGAGUUGGCCUCUGGCCUUUACGCACUAACCACCACGCGAGAAUAGAUAUGGGCCUCGACGUCGUGGUAUCAGCCAAAGCUUUGUCAGACAUCCAGUUCAGUAGUGCGGCACGGCUGGCCGUCACCAUCCUGUAGUGGUGGAGCCUGGUCCGCCCGGCUCACAAUGACCCGGAGUGCAACGGGCGAUGGGCCCAGACCCAGGAGUGCUUAGGAGGUAGACCGGUGGGGACCUCUCUGCUGAGCCUAGGUAGGGCUGCGAUGUGUUGAUCUUCCGAGGCCGGGCAUUGACCCCAGAAAGGUGUGUCCGACCAGAAUGAUCGAGCGUGUUGGGUAACAUGGUGCACCCCUGUAGGGAAGAUAUAUAUUCGAAUACCAUGUCCAUGGUAAUGGACGUUCAGACUUGUAUCCGGAUCUUAUAUAACUAGAAAUGGAUACUUGAGAUAUGUGAUGGAUAUGUGGCUCCGAGAUUGCUUUCUCGCAGGGAGUCGAGAAAGGAUCUCUGGGCGUUGUUGUUACAACAUGCUUGUUAAUUAAAAUGCUAUUCUUUACUCUUAUACAUGUUGUAAGAUGCUUGGAGCUGCGUGAAGAUGCUAGUCUUCGAUAGGCGAGGCCUUCCCCCUCUAUUCUGGCAUUCUGCAGCUCAGUCCACAGAUACAAACCUUCCAUUUGAUACCAAUGCAUACUUAGUAUAGAUCUGAUGCUUGCGAGUACUUUUGAUGAGUACUCACGGUUGCUUUGCUACCCCUUUUCCCCUUUAUUUCUUCUUUCCGGUUGAUGCAACCAGAUGGUGGAUCCUUGGAGCCAGAUGCCACCGCCGAUGGAUACUACUACAUGGAGGCCGCCGAAGACCAGGAGUAGUUAGGAGGUCCCAGGUAGGAGGCCUUACCCCUUCGAUCAUGUUGCUUUUGUGCUAGCCUUCUUAAGGCAUCCUUGUUUAACUUAUGUCUGUACUCAGAUAUUGUUGCUUCCGCUGACUCUUGUGUAUCGAGCUUGUAUUCGAGCCCUCGAGGCCCCUCGCUUGUAAUAUAAAGCUUGUAUUAUUUUGAUUUGUGUCUAGAGUUGUGUUGUGAUAUCUUCCCGUGAGUCCCUGAUCUUGAUCAUACACAUCUGUGUGUAUGAUUAGUGUACGAUUGAAUCGGGGGCAUCACAGCACGCCACCUCCUGGGCUGCUGCCCUCUCUCUCCCCUAAGGCCCACUAAGGCCCAAUACUUCCCCGGGGGGUUCCCGUAACCCCUCCGGCACUCCGGUUUUCUCCGAAAUCACCCGGAACACUUCCGGUGUCUGAAUAUAGCCGUCCAAUAUAUCAAUCUUUAUGUAUCGACCAUUCCGAGACUCCUCGUCAUGUACAUGAUCACAUCUGGGACUCCAAACUACCUUCGGUACAUCAAAACACAUAAACUCAUAAUACCGAUCGUCAUCGAGCGUUAAGUGUGCGGACCCUAUGGGUUCGAGAACUAUGUAGACAUGACCGAGACACAUCUCCGGUCGAUAACCAAUAGCGGAACCUGGAUGCUCAUAUUGGCUCCUACAUAUUCUACGAAGAUCUUUAUCGGUCAAACCGCAUAACAGCAUACGUUGUUCCCUUUGUCAUCUGUAUGCUACUUGCCCGAGAUUCGAUCAUCGGUAUCUCAAUACCUAGUUCAAUCUCGUUACCGGCAAGUCUCUUUACUCGUUCCGUAAUACUUCAUCCCACAACUAACUCAUUAGUCACAAUUCUUGCAAGGCUUAUAGUGAUGAGUAUUACCGAGAGGGCCCAGAGAUACCUCUCUUAAACACAGAGUGACAAAUCCUAAUCUCGAUCUAUGCCAACCCAACAAACACCUUCGAAGACAAUUGUAGAGCACCUUUAUAAUCACCCUUUUAUGUUGUGACGUUUGGUAGCACACAAAGUGUUCCUCCGGUAUUCGGGAGUUGCAUAAUCUCAUAGUCUGAGGAACUUGUAUAAGUCAUGAAGAAAGCAGUAGCAAUGAAACUAACACGAUCAUAAUGCUAAGCUAAUGGAUGGGUCAUGUCCAUCACAUCAUUCUCCUAAUGAUGUGAUCCCGUUCAUCAAAUGACAACACAUGUCUAUGGUUAGGAAACUUAACCAUCUUUGAUUAAUGAGCUAGUCAAGUAGAGGCAUACUAGGGACUAUAGGUUUUGUCUAUGUAUUCACACAUGUACUAAGUUUCCGGUUAAUACAAUUCUAGUAUGAAUAAGAAACAUUUAUCAUGAAUUAAUGAAAUAAAUAAUAACUUUACUAUUGCCUCUAGGGCAUAUUUCCUUCAGUAUAGCCGCGUAUUUUUACAACUGACGUGCGCAGUAGAUGGCCUACAAGGCAGGGGCGGGGCAUUGAACCGAGGUGUGGGCCGCUCCCAUCUCAGACUUUUAUUUAGAGCAUAUACAUAAAGGCACCUGAUACGUCUCCAACGUAUCUACUUUUCCAAACACUUUUGCCCUUGUUUUUGACUCUAACUUGCAUGAUUUGGAUGAAACUAACCCAGACUGACGCUGUUUUCAGCAGAAUUGCCAUGGUGUUAUUUAUUGUGCAAAAAACAAAAGUUCUCGGAAUGACCUGAAAAUCCACGGAGAUAACUUUUGGAAAAUAUAAAAAAUACUGGUGAAAGAAUCAAGGCCAGGGGGCCCACACCCUGUCCACAAGGGUGGGGGGCGCGCCCCCUCCUCUGGGCGCGCCCCCUGUCUCAUGGGCCCCCUUGAGCUCCGUUGACCUCAACUCCAACUCUAUAUAUUCCGUUUCACAGAGAGAAAAAUCAGAGAGAAAGUUUCAUCAUGUUUUACGAUACGGAGCUACUGCCAAGCCCUAAUCUCUCUCGGGAGGGCUGAUCUGGAGUCCGUUCAGGGCUCCGAAGAGGGGGAUUCAUCAUCGUCGUCAUCAUCAACCAUCCUCCAUCACCAAUUUCAUGAUGCUCACCGCCGUGCGUGAGUAAUUCCAUCGUAGGCUUGCUGGACGGUGAUGGGUUGGAUGAGAUUUACCAUGUAAUCAAGUUAGUUUUGUUAGGGUUUGAUCCCCAGUAUCCACUAUGUUCUGAGAUUGAUGUUGCUAUGACUCUGCUAUGCUUAAUGCUUGUCACUAGGGCCCGAGUGCCAUGAUUUCAGAUCUGAACCUAUUAUGUUUUCAUGAAUAUAUGUGAGUUCUUGAUCCUAUUUUGUAAGUCUAUAGUCACCUAUUAUGUGUUAUGAUCCGACAACCCCGAAGUGACAAUAAUCGGGAUACUUCUCGGUGAUGACCGUAGUUUGAGGAGUUCAUGUAUUCACUAAGUGCUAAUGCUUUGGUCCGGUUCUCUAUUAAAAGGAGGCCUUAAUAUCCCUUAGUUUCCAUUAGGACCCCGCUGCCACGGGAGGGUAGGACAAAAGAUGUCAUGCAAGUUCUUUUCCAUAAGCACGUAUGACUAUAUUCGGAACACAUGCCUACAUUAUAUUGAUGAACUGGAGCUAGUUCUGUGUCACCCUAUGUUAUAACUAUUACAUGAGGAAUCGCAUCCGACAUAAUUAUCCAUCAUUGAUCCAAUGCCUACGAGCUUUUCACAUAUUGUGCUUUGCUUAUUUACUUUUCCGUCGCUACUGUUACAAUUACUACAAAACUGCUAUCAUUACUUUUAUCACUGUUACCAUUACUAUCAUACUACUUUGCUACUAAAUACUUUGCUGCAGAUACUAAGUUAUCCAUGUGUGGUUUAAUUGACAACUCAACUGUUAAUACUUGAGAAUAUUCUUUGGCACCCCUUGUGUCGAAUCAAUAAAUUUGGGUUGAAUACUCUACCCUCGAAAACUGUUGCGAUCCCCUAUACUUGUGGGUUAUCAAGACUAUUUUCUGGCGCCGCUGCCGGGGAGUGAUACGUCUCCAACGUAUCUAUAAUUUUUGAUUGCUCCAUGCUACUUUAUCUACUGUUUUGGACUAUAUUGGGCUUUAUUUUCCACUUUUAUAUUAUUUUUGGGACUAACCUAUUAACCGGAGGCCAAGACCAGAAUUGCUAUUUUUUUGCCUAUUUCAGUGUUUCGAAGAAACGGAAUAUCAAACGGAGUCCAAACGGAAUGAAACCUUCGGGAACGUGGUUUUCUCACCGAACGUGAUCCAUGAGACUUGGACCCUACUCCAAGAUGUAACAGAGGCGGUCACGAGGGUGGGCCCCCCCCUAGGGCGCGUCCCCUACCUCGUGGCCCCCCUGUUGCUCCACCGACGUACUCCUUCCUCCUAUAUAUACCUACGUAUCCCCAAAUGAUCAGAACAGGAGCCAAAAACCUAAUUCCACCGCCGCAACCUUCUGUAUCCACGAGAUCCCAUCUUGGGGCCUAUUCCGGAGCUCCGCCGGAGGGUCAUCCACCACGGAGGGCUUCUACAUCAACACCAUAGCCCCUCCGAUGAAGUGUGAGUAGUUUACUUCAGACCUUCGGGUCCAUAGCUAGUAGCUAGAUGGCUUCUUCUCUAUUUUUGGAUCUCAAUACAAUGUUCUCCCCCUCUCUCGUGGAGAUAUAUUCGAUGUAAUCUUCUUUUUGCGGUGUGUUUGUUGAGACCGAUGAAUUGUAGGUUUAUGAUCCAGCUUAUCUAUGAACAAUAUUUGAAUCUCCUCUGAAUUUUUUUAUGUAUGAUUGAGUUAUCUUUGCAAGUCUCUUCAAAUUAUCCUUUUUGGUUUGGCCAACUAGAUUGGUAGUUCUUGCAAUGGGAGAAGUACUUAGCUUUGGGUUCAAUCUUGCGGUGACCUUUCCAAGUGACAGAAGGGGCAGCAAGGCACGUAUUGUAUUGUUGCCAACGAGGAUAACAAGAUGGGUUUUUUAUCAUAUUGCAUGAAUUUAUCCCUCUACAUCAUGUCAUCUUGCUUAAGGCGUUACUCUGUUUUUAACUUAAUACUCUAGAUGCAUGCUGGAUAGCGGUCGAUGAGUGGAGUAAUAGUAGUAGAUGCAGAAUCGUUUCGAUCUACUUGUCUCGGACGUGAUGCCUAUAUACAUGAUCAUUACCUAGAUAUGCUCAUAACUAUGCCCAAUUCUGUCAAUUGCUCAAUAGUAAUUUGUUCACCUACCGUAGAAUAUCUAUCCUCUUGAGAGAAGCACUAGUGAAACCUAUGGCCCCCGGGUCUAUUCUUAUCAUAUCAAUCUCCAUUACUUUAUUACUUGCUUUGUUUUUACUUUGCCUUUUACUUUUCACUUUGCAUCUAUAUACCAAAAAUACCAAAAAUAUUAUUUAUCAUCUCUAUCAGAUCUCACUCUCGUAGGUGAACGUGAAGGGAUUGACAACCCCUAAUCACGUUGGUUGUGAGGAGCUGUUGUUUUGUGUAGGUACGAGGGACUUGUGCGUGGUCUCCUACUGGAUUGAUACCUUGGUUCUCAAAAACUGAGGGAAAUACUUACGCUACUUUGCUGCAUCAUCCUCUCCUCUUCGGGGAAAUCCAACGUAGUGCUCAAGAGGUAGCAAGAAGAAUUUCUGGCGCCGUUGCUGGGGAGGCUCACGCAAGCAAGUCAACCAUACCAAGUACCCAUCACAAUCUGUAUCUCUCGCAUUACCUUAUUUGCCAUUUGCCUCUCGUUUUCCUCUCCCCCACUUCACCAUUGCCGUUUUAUUCGCCCUCUCUUUCCCAAUCUCCUCCUCUCUUUCCCAUUUGCCUUUUUUCUGUUGCCUUUUUGUUUGCUCGUGUGUUAGUUUGCUUGCUUGUCAUCAUGACUAGUCUCAUAUCUUCUCCGUUAUCUCCCGAGAAUGAAGUUCUAAAUUUUAAGCAAAGGGAGGGAGAAAAUCUGAAAGACGCUUGGUAUGGAAUUUGCAAUGCUCAAAAUAGAUCUACCAGGAAGAAAUCUACUAUAGUUCUCCUUCAUAAUUUUUACGUAGGUGCUAAUCCUUGGUAUAGAUAUAUCGUUGAUACCAUUACCGGAGGGAAUUUCUUGGGUAGCCAUACUUUUGAUUCUUAUAAUGCUUUAAUAUAUUUAUUUGGCUCACCACCUCUUUUGAUUAAUGGAACUACGUUAACUUUGGACCAUGUUAUGCAAAGACUUUAAAUUAUUGAGAAUAAAGUAGCUACCAUUGAAUCAAUUUAAAAUCUUGAUAAAAAGAUCCACAAUCAAAUUACCCAAUAUGGAUCUAAGGUAGGAAUGACUUUGAAAAAUAUUAAAGAAAAAGUUCCCAUAGUUAAUGAGAAAAUAAAUCUAGAUUCCACAAGAAUCGAUGAACUUGAGGGUAUCAUUACCAACUUGGGAAUCGCUUUUUCAUCCGUACAAAACACUCCAAGUUCGUCUACUAAAAAUACUAAGCUCAUUUAUGUUCCAAAGAAUAAGGGUGAAUCAUCUAGUAGGGAAACUACGGAUCUUAAAUCUAUAAGUGUUCAUCCCAAUCUUUUUACCAUCAUUAAGGAACCUUUUGCUAUGAAUGAAUUUUUCAAUCUUUUGCCUGAAAAUUUGACAAUUACUAGAGAGAAAGAAAAUUCUAAAGGAGAUAGAUGUCUCAUUGAAGAAUUGCCUACCGAAGAUGGCAAUACCUAGAUCUAUCCUUGCUUUUAUGCCUAGCUAGGGGCAUUAAACAAUAGCCUCUAUUUAGGAAUAAAUAAUCCAUCUAGCCUCUGUUUGGAUGUGGUUUUAUGUUUUAAUUAGUGUUUGUGCCAAGUAGAACCUAUAGGAUGACCUAAGAUGAUAGUUGAUUUGAUUUUGCUGAAAAACAGAAACUCUGCCCGCACAAAUAUAAUUUUGUUAAAUCACAGGAACGUGCUUUUGCGUUGAUUCUUUUUGCUUCUGUUCAAUAAAAAAAUUUCCAGGACUUCCUAUUUUGGUAGAAUUUUUAGAGUUCUAGAAGUUUGCGUUAGUUGCAGAUUACUACGGACUGUUCUGUUUUUGACAGAUUCUGUUUUGCGUGUGUUGUUUGCUUAUUUUGAUGACUCUAUGGCUAGUAAAAUAGUUUAUAAUCCAUAGAGAAGUUGGAAUACAGUAGGUGUAACACCAAUAUAAAUAAAUAAUGAGUUCAUUACAGUACCUUGAAGUAGUCUUUUGUUUUCUUUCUCUAACGGAGCUCACGAGAUUUCUAUUGAGUUUUGUGUUGUGAAGUUUUCAUGUUUUGGGUGAAUUCUUUUGAUGGAUUAUGGAACAAGUAGUGGAAAGAGCCUAAGCUUGGGGAUGCCCAUGGAACCCCCAAGAUAAUACAAGGACACCAAAAAGUCAAAGCUUGGGGAUGCCCCAGAAGGCAUCCCCUCUUUCGUCCACUUCCAUUGGUAAUUUACUUGGAGCUAUAUAUUUUAUUCACCACAUGAUAUGUGUUUUGCUUGGAGCGUCUUGUAUUAUUUGCAUCUUUUCUUGUUAGUUUACCACAAUCAUCCUUUCUGUACACACCUUUUGAGAGCCAUACAUGAAUUGGAAUUUGUUAGAAUACUCUAUGUGCUUCACUUAUAUCUUUUGAGCUUGAUAGUUUUGCUCAUAGUACUUCACUUAUAUCUUUUGAGCGUGAUAAUUUUUGCUCUAGUGCUUCACUUAUAUCUUUUAGAGCACGGUGGUGGAUUUGUUUUAAAGAAACUAUUGAUCUCUCAUGAUUCACUUAGAUUAUUUCGAGAGACAUUAAUAGCAUGGUAAUUUGCUUAAUAUUAAUAUACUUGGUGUUCAAGAUAUGUGAAACUUUCUUUUGAGUGAAUUGAAUACUAAGAUAAGUUUGAUGCUUGAUAAUUGUUUUGAGAUAUGGAGGUGAUAAUAUCAAAGUCGUGCUACUUGGGUAAUUGUGAAUUUGAGAAAUGCUUGUGUUGAAGUUUGCAAGUCCCGUAGCAUGCACGUAUGGUUAAAGUUGUGUAACAAAUUUGAAACAUGAAGUGUACCUGGCUUGUGCAUCCUUAUGAGCGGCGGUCGGGGACGAGCGAUGGUCUUUUCCUACCAAUCUAUCCCCCUAGGAGCAUGCGCGUAGUACUUGAUUUUUGAUGGCUUCUAAAUUUUUCAAUAAGUAUAUGAGUUCUUUUGACUAAUGUUGAGCCCAUGGAUUAUACGCACUCUCACCUUUCCGCCUUUGCUAGCCUCUUCGGUACCGUGCAUUGCCCUUUCUCACCUUGAGAGUUGGUGCAAACUUCGCCGAUGCAUCCAAACCCCGUGAUACGAUACGCUCUAUCACACAUAAACCUCCUUUUAUCUUCCUCAAAACAGCCACCAUACCUACCUAUUAUGGCAUUUCCAUAGCCAUUCCGAGAUAUAUUGCCAUGCAACUUCCAUCAUCUUCAUCAUGACAUACAUUACUUUUGUCAUAUUGCCAUUGCAUGAUCAUGUAGUUGACAUCGUAUUUGUGGCGAAGCCACCAUGCAUUAUUUUUCAUACGUGUCACUCUUGAUUCAUUGCACCAUCCCGGUACACCGCCGGAGGCAUUCAUAUAGAGUCAUAUCUUGUUCUAAGUUUCAAGUUGUAAUCCUUAUGUUGUAAUCGAUAGAAGUGUGAUGAUCAUCAUUGUUAGAGCAUUGCCCAAAAAAGAGAAGAAAGGCCAAAAAAAGAGAAAGGCCCAAAAGAAAAAAAAGAAAAAAGGGGCAAUGCUACUAUCUCUUGUUCCGCACUCGUGCUUCAAAGUAGCACCUUGUUCUUCAUGUAGUGAGUCUCAUAUAUUGUGCUUCAAAGUAGCACCUUGUUCUUCAUGUAGUGAGUCUCAUAAGUUAUCUUUUUAUACUAGUGGGAAUUUUUCAUUAUAGAACUUGGCUUGUAUAUUCCUACGAUGGGCUUCCUCAAAUGCCCUAGGUAUUCAUGAACAAGCGAGUUGGAUGCACACCCACUAGUUUUCUUUUGUUGAGGAUUCAUAGCUCUAGUGCAUCCGUUGCAUGGCAAUCCCUACUCCCCAUGUUGACAUCAAUUAAUGGGCAUCUCCAUAGCCCGUUGAUUAUCUUCAUCAAUGUGAGACUUUCUCCUUUUUUGUCUUCUCCACACAAUCCCCAUCAUCAUAUUCUAUUCCACCCAUAGUGCUAUAUCCAUGGCUCGUGCUCAUGUAUUGCGUGAAGGUUGAAAAAGUUUGAGAUUAUUUAAGUAUGAAACAAUUGCUUGGCUUGUCAUCAGGGGUAUAGAAGUUGGGAACAUCUUUGUGUGAAGAAAAUGAAGCAUAGCCUAACUAUAUGAUUUUGUAGGGAUGAACUUUCUUUUGCCAUGUUAUUUUGAGAAGACAUGAUUGCUUUGAUUAGUAUGCUUGAAGUAUUAUUAUUUUUGUGUCAAUAUGAACUUUUGUCUUGAAUAUUUCGGAUCUGAAUAUCCAUAUCACAAUUAAGAAGAUUUACAUUGAAAUUAUGCCAAAGUAUCACUCCGCAUCAAAAAUUCUUUUUUAUCAUUUACCUACUCGAGGACGAGCAGGAAUUAAGCUUUGGGAUGCAUGAUACGUCUCCAACGUACUAUAAUUUUUGAUUGCUCCAUGCUACUUUAUCUACUGUUUUGGACUAUAUUGGGCUUUAUUUUCCACUUUUAUAUUAUUUUUGGGACUAACCUAUUAACCGGAGGCCCAGCCCAGAAUUGUUGUUCUUUUGCCUAUUUCAGUGUUUCGAAGAAACGGAAUAUCAAACGGAGUCCAAACGGAAUGAAACCUUCGGGACGUGAUUUUCUCACCGAACGUGAUCCAGGAGACUUGGACCCUACUCCAAGAUGUAACAGAGGGGUCACGAGGGUGGGGGGCACCCCCCCCUAGGGCGCGCCCCCUGCCUUGUGGCCCCCCUGUUGCUCCACCGACGUACUCCUUCCUCCUAUAUAUACAUAUGUAUCCCCAAACGAUCAGAACAGGAGCCAAAAACCUAAUUCCACCGCCGCAACCUUCUGUAUCCACGAGAUCCCAUCUUGGGGCCUGUUCCGGAGCUCCGCCGGAGGGGGCAUCCACCAUGGAGGGCUUCUACAUCAACACCAUAGCCCCUCCGAUGAAGUGUGAGUAGUUUACUUCAGACCUUCGGGUCCAUAGCUAGUUCUAGAUGGCUUCUUCUCUCUUUUUGGAUCUCAAUACAAUGUUCUCCCCCUCUCUCGUGGAGAUCUAUUCGAUGUAAUCUUCUUUUUGCGGUGUGUUUGUUGAGACCGAUGAAUUGUAGGUUUAUGAUCCAGCUUAUCUAUGAACAAUAUUUGAAUCUCCUCUGAAUUUUUUUAUGUAUGAUUGAGUUAUCUUUGCAAGUCUCUUCAAAUUAUCCUUUUUGGUUUGGCCAACUAGAUUGGUAGUUCUUGCAAUGGGAGAAGUACUUAGCUUUGGGUUCAAUCUUGCGGUGACCUUUCCAAGUGACAGAAGGGGCAGCAAGGCACGUAUUGUAUUGUUGCCAACGAGGAUAACAAGAUGGGUUUUUUAUCAUAUUGCAUGAAUUUAUCCCUCUACAUCAUGUCAUCUUGCUUAAGGCGUUACUCUGUUUUUAACUUAAUACUCUAGAUGCAUGCUGGAUAGCGGUCGAUGAGUGGAGUAAUAGUAGUAGAUGCAGAAUCGUUUCGAUCUACUUGUCUCGGACGUGAUGCCUAUAUACAUGAUCAUUACCUAGAUAUGCUCAUAACUAUGCUCAAUUCUAUCAAUUGCUCAGCAGUAAUUUGUUCACCCACCGUAGAAUAUCUAUGCUCUUGAGAUAAGCCACUAGUGAAACCUAUGGCCCCCGGGUCUAUUCUCAUCAUAUCAAUCUCCAUUACUUUAUUACUUGCUUUGUUUUUACUUUGCCUUUUACUUUUCACUUUGCAUCUAUAUACCAAAAAUGCCAAAAAUAUUAUUUAUCAUCUCUAUCAGAUCUCACUCUCGUAAGUGACCGUGAAGGGGUUGACAACCCCUAAUCGCGUUGGUUGCGAGGAGCUAUCGUUUUGUGUAGGUACGAGGGACUUGUGCGUCUUCUCCUACUGGAUUGAUACCUUGGUUCUCAAAAACUGAGGGAAAUACUUAUGCUACUUUGCUGCAUCAUCCUCUCCUCUUCGGGGAAAUCCAACGCAGUGCUCAAGAGGUAGCAGGGAGCAUAGCUCCAUUCUUUGAGUCACUUGGGAUUUAUAUCUGCUGAUCACUAUGAAGAACUUGAAAGACGAAAGAACUAAGAUUUUUCCCUCAACUAUGAGGGGAGGUAAGGAACUGCCAUCUAGCUCUGCACUAGAUUCUCCUUCUGUUUUGAGUAAGCUUGCGACACCUAAACCUACUACUGCUAUGAAUUCUGAUAUGUCGCAUGUUAUUGAUGAUGCCACUUCUGCUAUGCAUGAUACUUAUGAUGAAACUACUUCUGUGCUUGAUACUACUUUGCCAUUAGGUGAAUUUCUUGAUGAACAACUUGCUAGGGUUAGAGCGAAUGAAAUUAUUGAAGAUGAUAUUAUUGAUGAUAGUGAUGAUGAAGGUUCUCCCCCUAAGUAUUAAUUGCCCGUUGUUCCUGAGAGUUGUGUUAUGGAUGAGAAACUGCUAGAGAUCUUUUUGCUUGCAAUGAUAGAUCUGAUCUUAAGGAAUUACUAGCUAAACUUAAACAGAAAACUUUGAAUGCUAGAAUGAAAUAUGACCCUACUUUUGCUACUUCACUAUCUUAGUUACUGAUAAGGAUUAUGAAUUCUCUGUUGAUCCUGAGAUAAUUACUUUGGUUGAAUCUGAUCCUUUUUAUGACUAUGAAUCUAAAACUAUUGUGGCACAUCUUACUAAAUUGAAUGAUAUAGCCACCUUGUUCACUAAUGAUGAGAAGUCUCGCUAUUAUUAUAUCCUUAAGAUAUUUCCGUUCUCAUUAAAGGGUGAUGCUAAAACUUGGUUUAAUUCUCUUGAUCCUGGUUGUGUGCGUAGUCCCGAGGACAUGAUUUAUUACUUCUCUGCUAAAUAUUUCCCUGCUCAUAAGAAACAAGCUGAAUUGCGUGAAUUAUAUAAUUUUGUGCAAAUCGAAGAAGAGAGUCUCCCACAAGCUUGGGGGAGGCUUCUCCGAUUACUUAAUGCUUUGCCUGAUCAUCCUCUUAAGAAAAAUGAGACACUUGAUAUCUUUUAUAAUGGACUAACCGAUGCUUCCAAGGACCACUUGGAUAGUUGUGCUGGUUGUGUUUUUAGGGAAAGAACAGUCGACCAAGCUGAAUUACUAUUGAAUAAUAUGUUGACUAAUGAAAAUAAUUCGACUCUUCCUGAGCCAAUUGAGCCAACUCCUGAAUCUAUUCUUAAACCAACUCCAAAGAAGAGGGGAGUUCUAUUUCUCAGUCCUGAAGAUAUGCAAGAGGCAAAGAAAUCUAUGAAAGAAAAAGGUAUUAAAGCUGAAGAUGUUAAGCAUGUACCUCCUAUUGAAGAAAUACAUGGUCUUAAUAUACCGCCUAUUGAAGAAACACAUUGUCUUGAUAACCCGACACAGGCAGUAAAGGUAAAUUCUCUCUAUAGCUAUGAUAAGGUUGAUAUCCCGUCUACUAAAUUUCCUAGCCAAUGUUUAGAUGAAUUUGAUGACUUUAUGGCUAGACAAGAAAGUUUUAAUGCUUAUGUUGGUAGAUAAUUAAAGAGUAAUGCUUUCAUGAUAGGAUGCUUGAGUGAUUAUAUGGCUAGAGUUAAAGGUGAACUUAAACUCAUUAGCAAAUAUGCUUAUAUGGUUACCACUCAAGCAGAACAAGUACAUAAAGCUCAAAGAGAUUUGCUUGAUGAAUUAAAUAAUAAACAUGACUUUGUUGUUAGAAUGGCUACUAGAACUGGUAGAAUGACUCAGAAACCUUUGUAUCCUGAAGACCACCCUAAGAGAAUCGAGCAAGAUUCUCAAAGAAAUAAUUUAGAUGCACCUAGUCCUUCUAAAAAGAAGAAAAAGAAAAACGAUAGGACUUUGCAUGCUUCUAGUGAACCUGUUGUAGACACACCUAAGAAUCCCAAUGAUAUUUCUAUUUCUGAUGCUGAAACACAAUCUGGUGAUGAACACGAACCUAGUAAUAAUGUUAAUGAUAAUGUUCAUGCUGAUACUCAACCUAGCAAUAAUAAUGAUAUAGAGAUUGAACCUGUUGUUGAUCUUGAUAACCCACAAUCAAAGAAUCAACACUAUGAUAAAAGAGACUUUUGCUAGGAAGCACCGUAAAGAAAGGGAACCAUGGGUUCAGAAACCCAUGCCUUUUCCUCCUAAACCAUCCAAGACAAAGGAUGAUGAGGAUUUUGAGCGCUUUGCUGAAAUGAUUAGGCCUAUCUUCUUACGUAUGCGCUUAACUGAUAUGCUUAAAGUAAACCCUUAUGCUAAAUAUAUGAAGGAUAUCAUUACAAAUAAAAUAAAUAUACCGGAAGCUGAAAUUUCCACCAUGCUUUCUAAUUAUACUUUUAAGGGUGGAAUACCAAAGAAACUUGGAGAUCUGGGAGUACCAACUAUACCAUGCUCCAUUAAAAGAAAUUACGUUAAAACUGCUUUAUGUGAUCUUGGAGCCGGUGUUAGUGUUAUGCCUCUCUCUUUAUAUCGUAGACUUGAAUUUAAUAAGUUGACACCUACUAAAAUAUCUUUGCAAAUGGCUGAUAAAUCAACUGCUAUACCUGUCGGUAUUUGUGAGGAUGUGUCUGUUGUGGUUGCAAAUGUCACUAUCUUAACGGACUUUAUUAUUCUUGAUAUUCUCGAUGACGAUAGUAUGUCGAUUAUCCUUGGUAGACCCUUUUUGAAUACUGCAGGGGCUGUCAUUGAUUGCAACAAAGGCAAUGUCACUUUUCAUGUUAAUUGUAAUGAGCAUACGGUACACUUUCCGAGGAAAUAACCUCAAGUUCAUAGCAUCAAUUCUAUUGAAAAAAUUCCAACUAUCAUUAUUGGAGGUUUUGAAUUUCCUCUUCCUACUGUUAAGAAAAAUAUGAUAUUCUUAUUAUUGGGGAUGUUCAUAUCCCCGUUGAGGUAACCUACACUACAGGAAUCUGGUACUUUGCCAUCAGCCAUGGCGGACGGCAAAGGCUAGGAUGGCGGACGGCAAAGGCCUUUGCUGUCCGCCGCGGACGGCAAACAGCGAUGGCAAAGACAGGGUCGGCAAAGGCCUUCUUUGCCGUCUGUUUUUUGCAGCGGACGGCAAAGAGGCCUUUGCCGUCAGCGGCGGACGGCAAAGGGCACAACUCUUUACCAUCCGCUGCCAGACGGCAAAGGGCAUGGCUCUUUGCCAUCUGCUGGCAGACGGCAAAGGCUGCAGGCUCUUUGCCAUCUGUUGGCAGAUGGCAAAGAGACCAAAUAGGCAUUAAUUCUGUUUUUUCUUAUAUCAAUUCAUUUUCACAAAAAAUCAAACACAAUCAAACACAGACUAUAUGUAUGACCAAUAUAGCAUAUCCAACACAUAUUACCAAUACUCAUGAACACAUAUAUAUCCAACACAUAUCCAUGAACACAUAUCCAACACAUGUUACCAAUAUAUAGUCAUGAACACAUAUAUAUCCAACACAUAUCCAUGAACACAUAUCCAACAAAUAUUACAAGGAAUGAUCAAAAACUAAAUAUCUAUUUUCCUAAAAACUAUCUUAUUACUAAGAUCUUCUCUGGAUCUUCUUCUUUUCUUCCAACCUGCAUAACAAAAACACUAAGAAAGAGAGAAUGGGUUAGGAGUAGAAAUGUAGCAUUUCACUUGGUGAAAUGCAAUGCUGUAGGAGCCAGUACUUGAGAUCAAGAUAAUCUUAGUUAAGAUCCUGAUUUUCAAAGUGAUCUUAAUUAGAAAGCCAAAUAGAGUAAACCAAUACCAAAGAGCCAAAGAAGAGAACCAGCCAAGGACCCAAUCAAGAAGCCACCACAAUUAGCAGUAAGUUAAAUGCCAACACAAAGACCACUAUCAGUACUAGCUCCGGGAAUUAAGCCAACUAAAAACUAGUGAUUAAAGCCAAAGAUUAGACUUCAUCACCACAAUCAGUUUUGUCUAGUGACAAUAGGUACAUGUCACUGUGCAACGCCAAAAACAAAGCUCCAAGAGGAGAUAUACAUCGCAACCAGCCAAGCAGACCAAGUCCCAACACAUCCAACCACCAGCAGCUUAGAAGAGAUAACUAUUAAGGAGAGCUACAUAAGACCUCAAGGUAUACUUGAGGGAUUAUGUGCUCAGACAGCCUGGAAGUGCCAGGGCUAGUUCAUCACAGCACAGGGAUAGUCACAUGUAAAUUAAGCCUAAGAGAGGGGGGCUCAGACCAGCAUCACUACCCAAAUCAAGAGCUAUGCAUUAGAGAGAUCAGGAGGGGAGCAAGGAGAAGCUCACCAAAAGGAGUUGUAGCCGAAGCAGGAUGCAUCCACACCAUCACUAUGGUGUGACCAGCAUCACAACCAACACCACCACAACAAGCCGGAGCUUGCCAGAGAGCACCACAAUGGCGGCGCCAGUGAGAGCACGGGCACGAAGGCGCCAACCAGGGGCACCGCAGCACGGAGGCGCCACCCGGGGGCACCACCGCGCCACGACACAUCCAGCACCACCAGAGGAUCCUCACGGCGACCGGACCUAAAUGCGGUCCGUCCACUUUGGUUGCACAUGCCAAAUCAGCGAUGAAUGAGCUACUUUUCCCGCAUAGCAAGCAAACACUCCAUUCAAUAGAAGAAAGGCCGGCUUUACAGAAGCAAAGAUUAAAGGUAGAGUGUUCAGAAGCAAUGAAUGAUCAAUUUGGCAUAAGCAGGACCAAACCAAAACCAUGGCAGAAACUAAAUUGACAACACAUGAUGAUGCCUCCGAAGUAGAUAAGGACAGCACAAGUUUUACCUAUACACAACACAACGAUCACUAUACGAAAUAGUAAGCAUUUAUAGUUUCCUUGUGUUUGAUUGAUUGACACUCAUUAUUAACAAGUCAAGUUAAAUCCCUGCAGCAUAUGUACUAAGGACCCUAUCAAAUCGAGCUAACCACGGCAGCCCUCAAGCAGAGUAAACCGAUUUAUGGCACAAUUAUAGAAGUGAACAGCUGAGUCCUCCUCAACCAUUAUUGCAUAUGAAGCGAAAACAAGAUUGAUAAUUUUUCUUGUUUGGUUUAGAACUUGAGUGGACGGGUGCAAGACAGGAAAAGAAGAAAUCCAAGAGGGGAGGAGAGGAGAAGGGGCGGACCUGGAUGGCGUUGGGGCAGUGGUGGAGCUGCGUCCUCCACGGCGUCCUUCUCGUCCAUGGCAUCCUUCCCGUCCAUGGCUUCCCGGCGUGAUGGAUCUAUGAGGGAGAGGAGACGCGACGCGACGCGGUGAGAAAGAGAGGGAUGGAUGUGACGAGGAGGAGUGAAGAGACUCACCUGAGUCACCGGAGCAACACUGGAGCCACGCCGGCGAUGUGGUGGCCGAAACCCUAGCCGCAGGGGAGGGUCACACGUGGUCGCUGGAGGACGCGCGAGUCAGAUUUGGUCGGAGGGGAUGGAGGAGCGGGGCGAGGGGGUCACAUGGGUGUGCUGGGCGGCGUCGAAUCCCGUCGGAGCUCGCCGAAAUCGGCCGCCGUAGGUGCUCGCGCGAGGGAGAGGGAGAGAUGAGCGGGAGAGAGAGAGGGGAGAGAGAGAGGAGGUGGGGGCCGUGCGGAGAGAGGGGAGACAGAGAGAGGAGGUGGGGGUCAACGAUUUUCUUUGUACCCGCAAAAAAAGAGAUAGCCCCACCUCUUUGCCGUCCGCUAGCACAUGGUAAAGAUUCUUUGCCAUCUGCUGGCAGACAGCAAAUAAUUGGCUGAUGGCAACUGGCAUCUUUGCCGUCUAUCAGUUCUUUGCCGUCUGUUUUUUGCAAGCAGACGACAAAGUGCCUCUUUGCCAUCCGCCAGCUGAUGGCAAAGAACUGGCAGACGGCAAAUAAGCUAAUUCCAGUAGUGCUAGUGUUAUUCGAAAUUUUUCCGGUUCCAUGAUAUUCAGAAUGAGUUUGUUAACACGACUUGAUCAACCUUGUUAGUGGAUUCCUUUUGAUGAUCAUGAGAUGGAUGAAACUAGAAGGCACAACCUUCUGUACCCUCUUUUUACUUUCUGUUAUUUAGAGUAAAUAAAGCAAAAAAAGUAUUAUCUGUCUGUUUUCUAAAUUAUCCAUGCAACAAAAAUAUCCCGAAAAUAAAAGUGCUCCAAAUGCCCUGCAAAUUUAGUAUGAUUUUUUAUGGAAUAUUUGAGGAUUUUAGGCACGAAGAACAUAGCAGGGGGCAAGCACCUGGCCACGAGGGUCCAGGGCGCGCCCACUCCCCUAGGCGAGCACACCUACCUCCUGGGCCCAUGGUGGCCCCCCUCCACUUAUUCCUCCACACACACACUCCAUCUUUCUCCCAAAAAAUUCCCCAUCCAGCUCAAGCAUGAGUUCUAGCUCAUUUUGCUGCGAUUUUCGAUCUCCUUGCUCAAAGCUCCAUUCACAAAACUACUUUGGGAGAUUGUUGCUUGGUAUGUGACUCCUCCAUUGGUCCAAUUAGUUUUUGUUCUAGUGCUUUAUUCAUUGCAAACUGUUGCUGCUUAGGUGACCCUGUUUCUUGAGCUUGCAUGUAAAAUUUAUGAGGUCCCAAGUAAUUCUAAUGCAUGAUAUAGGCUCUAGGCACUUGUGGGAGUAGCUGCUAUCAAUCUUGUUUAGUUUGAUUCACUUUUAUUUUGAGUUACUAAAAAUUUCAGAAAUUUUCAGAAAAUGAUGAGGAGAUUAUUGAGGAGCUCUUCUAGUCAAAACUCCAAGGAUAAACAAGCUAAGGAGAAAGAAAAGGCCAAGUAUAAUCUUCCUCGCAUAGCGGAAGUAAGGCCGUGUGAGUGGCCUUGUGAUAAUUUCUUGAGAGCAGUCGCGAUUUAUGAAGACUUUUAUUCUUUGGCUGAAAAUGCGGGCCUCACCGACUUCCUCCACGACCGGAUCGAACAACCAUUACCUCGUCUUGCCGAAGGCCGUGUAUGCGCAUCGAGGCCAGACACCCGCUCCAGAUCCUGAGCCGGAACCUCCACUCGACCCUUAUCGUCCAUCCUGUUAUCAGUGGGAUCCGGAGGAGAUCGCCAGCCAGUGGUAUCCAGAUGACACUCCUCGGUACACCAGGGAGAGUAGACGCGAUCCUUGGGCAUAGACCAACUUAGGCCAAAAGCCUAAGCUUGGGGAGUACGUAUUUCUCACCGACUUUACAUUCAUGUUCACACACUUAUUCUAGUUGUCGGUGCUAAUACUUUUUCAUUGUACUAUCCAUGCUAGUUUAAUUUCUUUUUAUAGCUUUCUUCUUGUGUGUUUGAUAAACCUUAAGAAAAACAAAAAAAUUAGUUAGUUUAAUUUCCAUGCUUGUAAUAGUAAUUAAAAAGAAAACCCAAAAAUAUUUCUCGUUCUUCUUUUGCUUGUUGGGAGCUUUCCCGUGUAAAUAGUUUUAUUUCUUUUCUUUCUUUUGGGGGUCGAGAGGAGAAGACCAUAAUGAAAAUGUUUAGUGGCUCUCAUAUGCAUGAUUGUUGAUUUAACUUAGAGCCCAUAUUACUUUAUCUUCUCUCUUGCAUUGAAUGCUUGAAGAUUCCAGCUUAGUCCAAUGCACGCGCACUAUUAUUAUUAUAUACACCAUUCGGUCGUGCAAGUGAAAGGCAAUAAUCACAAUAUAUGAUGGACUGAUCGAGAUGAGAGAAGCUAGUAUGAACUCGACCUCUCUUGUUUUUGUAAAUAUGAUGAGUUCAUCAUUCCUGAUUCAGCCUAUAUGAAUAAAUAUGUUUACAAUGACAAUUAGAGAUUAUAGUUGCUUAUGCCAUGCUCAAUUAGCUACGAGCUUACAAUAGUUUACCUUGUGUACCAACAUGCUAUUAAAAUGGUUGUGAUGUGGUAUGAUAGGGUGGUAUCCUCCUUUGAAUGAUUCGAGUGACUUGACUUGGCACAUGUUCACGCAUGUAGUUGAAACAAAUCAACAUAGCCUUCACGAUAUUUAUGUUCAUGGUGGAUUAUAUCCUACUCAUGCUUGCGCUCAGUGUUGAUUAAUUUUAAUGCAUGUUCAUGACUAUUGUCGCUCUCUCAGUUGGUCGCUUCCCAGUCUUUUGCUAGCCUUCACCUGUACUAAGCGGGAAUACUGCUUGUGCAUCCAAACUCCAUAAACCCCAAAGUUAUUCCAUAUGAGUCCACCAUACCUUCCUAUAUGCGGUAUUUACCUGCCGUUCCAAGUAAAUUUGUAUGGACCAAACUCCAAACCUUCAAAUGAAAUUCUGUUUUGUAUGCUCGAGCAACUCAUGUUUCAACUAGGGUUGUCUGUAUCUUCCAUGCUAGGUGGGUUAUUCUCAAGAGGAGUGGACUCCGCUCCUCAUUCACGAGAAAAUGGCUGGUAUCCGGGAUGCCCAGUCCCAUGAUUAAAAAGAUCAAAGCAAAUCGAAAUAAUUAAACAAAACUCCCCCAGGGCUGUUUCUAGUUGGAGGCACUCAUUGUUUCGAGCAAGCCAUGGAUUGAUGCUUGUUGGUGGUGGGGGAGUAUAAACUUUACCAUUCUGUCUGGGAACCGCCUAUAAUGCAUGUAGCAUGGAAGAUAUCGAGAUCUCAUAGUUGUUAUGUUGAUAGUGAAAGUAUACCGCUCAAAAUGUUAUUCAUCUCUAUUUUAAAUUCGAGCUUCGGCACCUCUACAAACCCCCGCUUCCCUCUGCGAAGGGCCUAUAUAUUUACUUUUAUGUUGAGUCAUCACCUUCUUAUUAAAAAGCACCCACCGGAGAGCACACUGUCAUUUGCAUUCAUUACUAUUAGUUUAUAUUGGGUAUGACUUGACUGGAUCUCUUUUACCAUGAAUUACAAUGUUUAGUCAGUCCUUGAUCUUUAAAGGUGCUCUGCAUUUAUGUUUUGCAGUCGCAGAAAGGGCUAGCGAGAUACCAUCUUGUUAUAUCAUAUUAUGAUUGUUUUGAAAAAGUGUUGUCAUCCGAGUUUUAUUAUUAUUGCUCGCUAGUUGAUUAUGCCAUUGAUAUGAGUAAAUAUGAGACCUAAGUGUUAUUGUGAAUAUGGUUAGUUCAUAAUCUUUGCUGAAAACUUGAAUGUUGGCUUUACAUAUUUACAACAAGAAGAGCAAACAGAGUUUGUAAAAGUUUUUCUUUAUCACUUUCAGUUUAUCAACUGAAUUGCUUGAGGACAAGCAAAGGUUUAAGCUUGGGGGAGUUGAUACGUCUCCAACGUAUCUACUUUUCCAAACACUUUUGCCCUUAUUUUGGACUCUAACUUGCAUGAUAUGGAUGAAACUAACCCGGACUGACGCUGUUUUCAGCAGAACUGCCAUGGUGUUGUUUAUUGUGCAGAAAACAAAAGUUCUCGCAAGGACCUGAAAAUCCAUGGAGAUAACUUUUGAAAAAUUUAAAAAAUACUGGCAAAAGAAUCAAGGCCAGGGGGCCCACACCCUGUCCACAAGGGUGGGGGCGCGCCCCCUCCCCUUGGGCGCGCCCUCAUGUCUCGUGGGCCCCCUGGAGCUCCACCGACCUCAACUCCAACUCUAUAUAUUCCAUUUCGCGGAGAAAAAAAUCAGAGAGAAAGUUUCAUUGCGUUUUACAAUAUGGAGCCACCGCCAAGCCGUAAUCUCUCUCGGGAGGGCUGAUCUGGAGUCCUUUCGGGGCUCCGGAGAGGGGGAUUCGUCGACGUCGUCAUCAUCAACCAUCCUCCAUCACCAAUUUCAUGAUGCUCACCGCUGUGCGUGACUAAUUCCAUCAUAGGCUUGCUGGACGGUGAUGGGUUGGAUGAGAUUUACCAUGUAAUCAAGUUAGUUUUGUUAGGGUUUGAUCCCCAGUAUCCACUAUGUUCUGAGAUUGAUGUUGCUAUGACUCUGCUAUGCUUAAUGCUUGUCACUAGGGCCCGAGUGCCAUGAUUUCAGAUCUGAACCUAUUAUGUUUUCAUGAAUAUAUGUGAGUUCUUGAUCCUAUUUUGCAAGUCUAUAGUCACCUAUUAUGUGUUAUGAUCCGACAACCCCGAAGUGACAAUAAUCGGGAUACUUCUCGGUGAUGACCGUAGUUUGAGGAGUUCAUGUAUUCACUAAGUGCUAAUGCUUUGGUCCGGUUCUCUAUUAAAAGGAGGCCUUAAUAUCCCUUAGUUUCCAUUAGGACCCCGCUGCCACGGGAGGGUAGGACAAAAGAUGUCAUGCAAGUUCUUUUCCAUAAGCACGUAUGACUAUAUUCGGAAUGCAUGCCUACAUUACAUUGAUGAACUGGAGCUAGUUCUGUGUCACCCUAUGUUAUAACUAUUACAUGAGGAAUCGCAUCCGACAUAAUUAUCCAUCAUUGAUCCAAUGCCUACGAGCUUUUCACAUAUUGUGCUUUGCUUAUUUACUUUUCCGUCGCUACUGUUACAAUUACUACAAAACUGCUAUCAUUACUUUUAUCACUGUUACCAUUACUAUCAUACUACUUUGCUACUAAAUACUUUGCUGCAGAUACUAAGUUAUCCAUGUGUGGUUUAAUUGACAACUCAACUGUUAAUACUUGAGAAUAUUCUUUGGCACCCCUUGUGUCGAAUCAAUAAAUUUGGGUUGAAUACUCUACCCUCGAAAACUGUUGCGAUCCCCUAUACUUGUGGGUUAUCAAGAUUAUUUUCUGGCACCGUUGCCGGGGGGCAUAGCUCUAUUCUUUGAGUCACUUGGGAUUUAUAUGUGCUGAUCACUAUGAAGAACUUGAAAGACGAAAGAACUAAGAUUUUUCCCUCAACUACGAGGGGAGGUAAGGAACUGCCAUCUAGCUCUGCACUAGAUUCUCCUUCUGUUUUGAGUAAGCUUGUGACACCUAAACCUGCUACUGCUAUGAAUUCUGAUAUGUUGCAUGUUAUUGAUGAUGCCACUUCUGCUAUGCAUGAUACUUAUGAUGAAACUAGUUCUGUGCUUGAUACUACUUUGCCAUUAGGUGAAUUUCUUGAUGAACAACUUGCUAGGGUUAGAGAGAAUGAAAUUAUUGAAGAUGAUAUUAUUGAUGAUAGUGAUGAUGAAGGUUCUCCCCCUAAGUAUGAAUUGCCCAUUGUUCCUGAGGGUUAUGUUAUGGAUGAAGAAACUGCUAGAGAUCUUUUUGCUUGCAAUGAUAGAUCUAAUCUUAAGAAAUUACUAGCUAAACUUAAACAGAAAACUUUGAAUGCUAGAAAGAAAUAUGACCCUGCUUUUGCUACUUCACCUAUCUUUGUUACUGAUAAGGAUUAUGAAUUCUCUGUUGAUCCUGAGAUAAUUACUUUGGUUGAAUCUGAUCCUUUUUAUGGCUAUGAAUCUGAAACUGAUGUGGCACAUCUUACUAAAUUGAAUGAUAUAGCCACCCUGUUCACUAAUGAUGAGAAGUCUCGCUAUUAUUAUAUCCUUAAGAUAUUUCCGUUCUCAUUAAAGGGUGAUGCUAAAACUUGGUUUAAUUCUCUUGAUCCUGGUUGUGUGCGUAGUCCCGAGGACAUGAUUUAUUACUUCUCUGCUAAAUAUUUCCCUGCUCAUAAGAAACAAGCUGCCUUGCACGAAAUGUAUAAUUUUGUGCAAAUCGAAGAAGAGAGUAUCCCACAAGCUUGGGAGAGGCUUCUCUGAUUACUUAAUGCUUUGCCUAAUCGGCCUCUUAAGAAAAAUGAAAUACUUGAUAUCUUUUAUAAUGGGCUAACCGAUGCUUCCAAGGACCAGUUGGAUAGUUGUGCUGGUUGUGUUUUCUGGGAAAGAACAGCCGACCAAGCUGAAUUACUAUUGAAUAAUAAGUUGACUAAUGAAAAUAAUUGGACUCUUCCUGAGCCAAUUCCUAAGCCAAUUGAGCCAACUCCUGAACCUAUUCCUAAACCAACUUCGUAGAAGAGGGGAGUUCUAUUUCUGAGUCUCGAAGAUAUGCAAGAGGCAAAUAAAUCUAUGAUAGAAAAAGGUAUUAAAGCUGAAGGUGUUAAGAAUUUACCUCCUAUUGAAGAAAUACAUGGUCUUAAUAUACCGCCUGUUGAAGAAACACAUUGUCUUGAUAACUUGACACAGGUAGUAAAGGUAAAUUCUCUCUAUAGAUAUGAUAAGGUUGAUAUCACGUCUACUAAAUUUCCUAGCCCAUGUUUAGAUGAAUUUGAUGACUUUAUGGCUAUACAAAAAAGUUUUAAUGCUUAUGUUGGUAGGGAAUUAAAGAGUAAUGCUUUCAUGAUAGAAUGCUUGAGUGAUUAUAUGGCUAGAGUUAAAGGUGAACUUAAACUCAUUAGCAAAUAUGCUUCUAUGGUUACCACUAAAGCAGAACAAAUACUUAAAGCUCAAAGUGAUUUGCUCGAUGAAUUAAAUAAUAAACAUGACUUUGCUGUUAGAGUGGCUACUAGAACUGGUAGAAUGACUCGGGAACCUUUGUAUCCUGAAGGCCACCCUAAGAGAAUCGAGCAAGAUUCUCAGAGAAAUAAUUUAGAUGCACCUAGUCCUUCUAAAAAGAAGAAAAAGAAAAAUGAUAGGACUUUGCAUGCUUCUAGUGAACCUGUUGUAUACACACCUGAGAAUCCCAAUGAUAUUUCUAUUUCUGAUGCUGAAGCACAAUCUGGUGAUGAACAUGAACCUAGUGAUAAUGUUAAUGAUAAUGUUCAUGCUAAUACUCAACCUAGCAAUAAUAAUGAUAUAGAGAUUGAACUUGCUGUUGAUCUUGAUAACCCACAAUCAAAGAAUCAACGUUAUGAUAAAAGGGACUUUGUUGCUAGGAAGCACGGUAAAGAAAGGGAACCAUGGGUUCAGAAACCCUUGCCUUUUCCACCUAAACCAUCCAAGACAAAGGAUGAUGAGGAUUUUGAGCGCUUUGCUGAAAUGAUUAGACCGAUCUUCUUAUGUAUGCGCUUAACUGAUAUGCUUAAAGUAAACCUUUGUGCUAAAUAUAUGAAGGAUAUCAUUACAAAUAAAAGAAAUAUACCGGAAGCUGAAAUUUCCACCAUGCUUUCUAAUUAUACUUUUAAGGGUGGAAUACCAAAGAAACUUGGAGAUCUGGGAGUACCAACUAUACCAUGCUCCAUUAAAAGAAAUUACGUUAAAACUGCUUUAUGUGAUCUUGGAGCCGGUGUUAGUGUUAUGCCUCUCUCUUUAUAUCGUAGACUUGAAUUUAAUAAGUUGACACCUACUAAAAUAUCUUUGCAAAUGGCUGAUAAAUCAACUGCUAUACCUGUCGGUAUUUGUGAGGAUGUGUCUGUUGUGGUUGCAAAUGUCACUAUCUUAACGGACUUUAUUAUUCUUGAUAUUCUCGAUGACGAUAGUAUGUCGAUUAUCCUUGGUAGACCCUUUUUGAAUACUGUAGGGGCUGUCAUUGAUUGCAACAAAGGCAAUGUCACUUUUCAUGUUGAUGGUAAUGAGCAUACGAUACACUUUCUGAGGAAACAACCUCAAGUUCAUAGCAUCAAUUCUAUUGGAAAAAUUCCAACUAUCAUUAUUGGAGGUUUUGAAUUUCCUCUUCCUACUGUCAAGAAAAAAUAUGAUAUUCUUAUUAUUGGGGAUGUUCAUAUCCCCGUUGAGGUAACCUAGUGUUAUUCGAAAUUUCUCCGGUUCCAAGAUAUUCGGAAUGAGUUUGUUAACAAGACUUGAUCAACCUUGUUAGUGGAUUCCUUUUGAUGAUCAUGAGAUGGAUGAAACUAGAAGGCACAACCUUAUGUACCCUAUUUUUUACUUUCCGUUAUUUAGAAUAAAUAAAGCAAAAAUAGUAUUAUCUAUAUGUUUUCUGAUUUAUCCAUGCAAUAAAAAAUAUCCUGAAAAUAAAAGUGCUCCAAAUGCCCUGCAAAUUUAGUAUGAUUUUUAUGGAAUAUUUGAGGAUUUUAGGCACUGAGAACACAACAGGGGGGGGGCAAGCACCUGGCCACGAGGGUCCAGGGUGCGCCCACUCCCCUAGGCGUGCCCCCCUGCCUCGUGGGCCCACGGUGGCCUCCCUCCACUUAUUCCUGCACCCACACACUCCAUCUUCCUCCCAAAAAAUCCCCAUCCAGCUCAAGCAAGAGUUCUAGCUCAUUUUGCUGCGAUUUUCGAUCUCCUUGCUCAAAGCUACAUUCACAAAACUUAUUUGGGAGAUUGUUGCUUGGUAUGUGACUCCUCCAUUGGUCCAAUUAGUUUUUGUUCUAGUGCUUUAUUCAUUGCAAAUUGUUGCUGCUUAGGUGACCCUAUUCUUGAGCUUGCAUGUAAAGUUUAUGAGGUCCCAAGUAAUUCUAAUGCAUGAUAUAGGCUCUAGGCACUUGUGGGAGUAGUUGAUAUCAAUCUUGUUUAGUUUGAUUCACUUUUAUUUUGAGUUACUAAAAAUUUCAGAAAUUCUCAGAAAGUGAUGAGGAGAUUAUUGAGGGGCUCUUCUAGUCAAAGCUCCAAGGAUAAACAAGCUAAGGAGAAAGAAAAGGCCAAGUAUAAUCUUCCUCGCAUAGUGGAAGUAAGACCGUGUGAGUGGCCUUGUGAUAAUUUCUUGAGAGCAGCCGGGAUUUAUGAAGACUUUUAUUCUUUGGCUGAAAAUGCGGGUCUCACUGACUUCCUCCACGACCGGAUCGAACAUCCAUUACCUCGUCUUGUCGAAGGCCAUGUACGUGCAUCGAGGCCAGACACCCGCUCCAGAGACUGAGCCGGAACCUCUACUGGACCCUUAUCGUCCAUCCUGUUAUCAGUGGGAUCCAGAGGAGAUCGCCAGCCAGUGGUAUCCAGAUGACACUCCUCAGUACACCGGGGAGAGUAGCCGCGAUCCUUGGGCAUAGACCAACUUAGGCCAAAAGCCUAAGCUUGGGGGAGUACGUAUUUCUCACCGACUUUACAUUCAUGUUCACACACUUAUUCUAGUUGUCGGUGCUCAUACUUUUUCAUUGUACUAUCCAUGCUAGUUUAAUUUCUUUUUCUAGCUUUCUUCUUGUAUGUUUGAUAAACCUUAAGAAAAACAAAAAAACUAGUUAGUUUAAUUUCCAUGCUUGUAAUUGUAAUUAAAAAGAAAACCCAGAAAUAUUUCUCGUUCUUCUUUUGCGUGUUGGGAGCUUUCCCGUGUAAAUAGUUUUAUUUCUUUUCUUUCUUUUGGGGGUCGAGAGGAGAAUACCAUAAUGAAAAUAUUUAGUGGCUCUCAUAUGCAUGAUUGGUUAUUUAACUUAGAGCCCAUAUUACUUUAUCUUCUCUCUUGAAUUGAAUGCUUGCAGAUUCCAGCUUAGUACAAUGCACGCGCACUAUUAUUAUUAUAUACACCGUUCGGUCGUGCAAGUGAAAGGCAAUAAUGAUGAUAUAUGAUGGACUAAUCAAGAUGAGAGAAGCUGGUAUGAACUCGACCUCUCUUGUUUUUGUAAAUAUGAUGAGUUCAUCAUUCCUGAUUCAGCCUAUUAUGAAUAAACAUGUUUGCAAUGACAAUUAGAGAUUAUAGUUGCUUAUGCCAUGCUUAAUUAGCUAGGAGCUUAUAAUAGUUUACCUUGUGUGCCAACAUGCUAUUAAAAUAGUUGUGAUGUGGUAUGAUAGGGUGGUAUCCUCCUUUGAAUGAUUCGAGUGACUUGACUUGGCACAUGUUCAUGCAUGUAGUUGAAACAAAUCAACAUAGCCUUCACGAUAUUUAUGUACAUGGUGGAUUAUAUCCUACUCAUGCUUGCGCUCAGUGUUGAUUAAUUUUAAUGCGUGUUCAUGACUGUUGUCGCUCUCUCAGUUGGUCGCUUCCCAGUCUUUUGCUAUCCUUCACCUGUACUAAGCGGGAAUACUGCUUGUGCAUCCAAACUCCAUAAACCCCAAAGUUAUUCCAUAUGAGUCCACCAUACCUUCCUAUAUGCGGUAUUUACCUAUCGUUCCAAGUAAAUUUGUAUGGGCCAAACUCCAAACCUUCAAAUGAAAUUCUAUUUUGUAUGCUCGAGCAGCUCAUUUUUCAACUGGGGUUGUAUGUAUCUUCCAUGCUAGGUGGGUUAUUCUCAAGAGGAGUGGACUCCGCUCCUCAUUCACGAGAAAAUGGCUGGUAUCCGGGAUGCCCAGUCCCAUGAUUAAAAAGAUCAAAGCAAAUCGAAAUAAUUAAACAAAACUCCCCCAGGGCUGUUUCUAGUUGGAGGCACUCAUUGUUUCGAGCAAGCCAUGGAUUGAUGCUUGUUGGUGGUGGGGGAGUAUAAACUUUACCAUUCUGUUUGGGAACCGCCUAUAAUGUAUGUAGCAUGGAAGAUAUCGAGAUCUCAUAGUUGUUAUGUCGAUAGUGAAAGUAUACCACUCAAAAUGUUAUUCAUCUCUAUUUUAAAAUCGAGCUCUAGCACCUCUACAAAUCCCCGCUUCCCUCUGCGAAGGGCCUAUCUAUUUACUUUUAUGUUGAGUCAUCACCUUAUUAAAAAGCACCCGCUGGAGAGCACACUGUCAUUUGCAUUCAUUACUAUUAGUUUAUAUUGGGUAUGACUUGACUGGAUCUCUUUUACCAUGAAUUACAAUGUUUAGUCAGUCCUUGAUCUUUAAAGGUGCUCUGCAUUUAUGUUUUGCGGUCUCAGAACGGGCUAGCGAGAUACCAUCUUGUUAAAUCAUAUUAUGAUUGUUUUGAGAAAGUGUUGUCAUCCGAGUUUUAUUAUUAUUGCUCUCUAGUUGAUUAUGCCAUUGAUAUGAGUAAAUAUGAGACCUAAGUGUUAUUGUGAAUAUGGUUAGUUCAUAAUCUUUGCUGAAAACUUGAAUGUUGGCUUUACAUAUUUACAACAAGAAGAGCAAACAGAGUUUGUAAAAGUUUUUCUUUAUCACUUUCAGGUUAUCAACUGAAUUGCUUGAGGACAAGCAAAGGUUUAAGCUUGGGGGAGUUGAUACGUCUCCAGCGUAUCUACUUUUCCAAACACUUUUGCCCUUGUUUUGGACUCUAACUUGCAUGAUAUGGAUGAAACUAACCCGGACAGACGAUGUUUUCAGCAGAACUGACAUGGUGUUGUUUAUUGUGCAGAAAACAAAAGUUCUCGGAAUAACCUGAAAAUCCACGAAGAUAACUUUUCAAAAAUAUAAAAAAUAUUGGCGAAAGAAUCAAGGCCAGGGGGUCCACACCCUGUCCACAAGGGUGGGGGCGCGCCCCCUCCCCCUGGGCGCGCCCCCUGUCUCGUGGCCCCCCUGGAGCUCCGCCGACCUCAACUCCAACUCUAUAUAUUCCGUUUCACGGAGAAAAAAAUCAGAGAGAAAGUUUCAUCGCGUUUUACGAUACGGAUUCGCCGCCAAGCCCUAAUCUCUCUUGGGAGGGCUGAUCUGGAGUCCGUUCGGGGCUCCGGAGAGGGGGAUUCGUCGCUGUCGUCAUCAUCAACCAUCAUCCAUCACCAAUUUCAUGAUGCUCACCACUGUGGGUGAGUAAUUCCAUCAUAGGCUUGCUGGACGGUGAUGGGUUGGAUGAGAUUUACCAUGUAAUCAAGUUAGUUUUGUUAGGGUUUGAUCCCUAGUAUCCACUAUGUUCUGAGAUUGAUGUUGCUAUGACUUUGCUAUGCUUAAUGCUUGUCACUAGGGCCCGAGUGCCAUGAUUUCAGAUCUGAACCUAUUAUGUUUUCAUGAAUAUAUGUGAGUUCUUGAUCCUAUUUUGCAAGUCUAUAGUCACCUAUUAUGUGUUAUGAUCUGACAACCCCGAAGUGACCAUAAUCGGGAUACUUCUUGGUGAUGACCGUAGUUUGAGGAGUUCAUCUAUUCACUAAGUGCUAAUGCUUUGGUCCGGUUCUCUAUUAAAAGGAGGCCUUAAUAUCCCUUAGUUUCCAUUAGGACCCCGCUGCCACGGGAGGUAGGACAAAAGAUGUCAUGCAAGUUCUUUUCCAUAAGCAUGUAUGACUAUAUCCGGAAUACAUGCCUACAUUACAUUGAUGAACUGGAGCUAGUUCUGUGUCACCCUAUGUUAUAACUAUUAUAUGAGGAAUCGCAUCCGACAUAAUUAUCUAUCAUUGAUCCAAUGCCUACGAGCUUUUCACAUAUUGUGCUUUGCUUAUUUACUUUUUCGUCACUACUUUUACAAUUACUACAAAACUGCUAUCGUUACUUUUAUCACUGUUACCAUUACUAUCAUGCUACUUUGCUACUAAAUACUUUGAUGUAGAUACUAAGUUAUCCAGGUGUGGUUGAAUUGACAACUUAACUGCUAAUACUUGAAAAUAUUCUUUGGCACCCCUUGUGUCGAACCAAUAAAUUUGGGUUGAAUACUCUACCCUAAAAAACUGUUGCAGUCCCCUAUACUUGUGGGUUAAUAGCACCCAACACUACUUAUCUCCAGCCCUCUCCAUCCUACAGCUCACAUGCACCAAACUUUCCACUCUUACUCAUCCUCACACCAGCCAGCGCUCCUCACAGUCAUCCUUCUCCUAGACUCUGAUUGUUCAACUGCUGGCCUUCCCUGCUAUGUGUUCUAUCAUAUGCUCCACUGCCCACCAUGUUCAAGUCUAGUUCAUUAUAUCUCCUUCAACAAGUAUCCAUUCAUCAAAUUCAUAGCAGGUAGCUCUCCAUCCGCUCAUCCUAUGGGCUGAAUGGAUUAGUUCAUAGCUCCCUUCAACACACCUUCUUACGAGCCUUGGAAAUGAAUAACAAAAACUCGCCUGAGCAGAUAUUUUGAGCAUAGGAAAGGUCUUGCUAUAGUAGUGCACAUAAUGGGCGGCUAACCUUCCACCGUAGCUUGAGCUUGAUGCCAUAGUCACCUUCUCAGUGGGCACGUUGAAGAAGGUUGUACAGUGUAGGAGUAUUACUGUUACCUUCCCGUGAAAUUUGUUAUUACUGCAACGCGUUUAUGUUAUAUACAUUAAUUCUUAGGGGGAUAUCCUAUCAUCCACGAAGCAUUAAAAUGAACGAAGAGCUAUGAUGAACUGAUAUUGCAGUACCCUCAAUAGUACACGAGCAAAAUGAACUUGGGCAAACAAAUGAAAACAAAAACGGCAGGCCCACACUUGUUAACUGCCAUUCAAGGCAUACAGUUUUGAGAUAGACAUAUUUAAACGGUGUUGACCAGCGUUUUAAAUGGUCUGCAUCACAUUAACAUGGCAGAACGGUAAGGACCGUAUUUUGCAUGUGUAAUAGCUUGUAUCCAACUCCAUUUAAGAUGGCUAGCCACCAAACCAUGUACAUGUAUUUGCUGAAUUAAUGUAAUUAAUCUGUCAUGUUGUUUGGGUAUUCAUUCAAUCACUAUAUUAGUUGCUAAUCUCAUAACAUGGAUGGAUUGCCCAGAUUCCAUCCUCGCGUGCCACCAUGUCCCAAAAAUCCGCGUCGUCCUUAAUAUCCCUUAGUUUCCUUAUGGACCCCGCUGUCAUGGGAGGGUAGGACAAAAGAUGUCAUGCAAGGUUUUAUUGCAAGCACGAAUGACUAUAUAUGGAAUACAUUCCUACAUUAUAUUGAUGAAUUGGAGCUAGUUCUAUGUCACCCUAAGUUAUGCCUGAUAUAUGAUGAAUGUUAUCCAACAUAAUCACCGACCCAAUGCCUACAAGCUUUUCACAUACAGAUAUUUGCUAAGUUACUGCUGCCGCUGUUGCUACUUUCACAAUUGCUACAGUGCCAUUGCUGCUACCGCUACCGCUAUUGUUACUAUUAUUGCUACUGCUAUCAAACUAUCAUAUUAUUCUGCUACUGACCACUCUGCUGCAGAUAUUUAGCUCUAGGUGUGCUUGAAUCGACAACUCAACUGCUAAUACUUGUAACUAUUAUUUGGCCCCCUUAUGUCGAAUUAAUAAAUUUGGGUUGAAUACUCUACCCUCGAAAACUGUUGCGAUCCCCUAUACUUGUGGGUUAUCACAUGUCCCCGGGCCUGCCAAGCCUGGUCUAUGCUUCAUCAACUUCGUCUUCGUUCGUCUACGCAUGCCCGGUGCUGACAACACCGACGUGUGCCUUCAUCUAUGACGUGUCCCCGAGCUUGGCAAACCCGGCGCGAUGCCUCAUCAAGAACAUCUUUUCCCCGGUGCACCACUACUUCAUCGCCACUACGCCCAUGACUAACUCGGCACCUCCUUGCGUCCACAGCUCCAUGUUGACUUCCUCGACAUCGGCUACCCUGACUCGACAUCGACAACAAUAUUCUUCGCACGGCUACCUCGACCACGUCUUCACCACCCUACGCUCUUGGCUACCUCGACAACGGCACAAAGGGCUACCGCCUUGCUUGAGCAACCUCGUUGGUUUUCACUCCAGCCACGCCUUCCAUCAUGCAUCGACCGUUAUGAUUGUGGGGGUUGUCCGUCGGCUUGCCUUCGGAUUCUUCUCCAGUCUCACCGUCUGUGUCGUUACCGUUGUGACUGCGGGGGAUAUUGAGUAUAUUGAUUCAUUAGGAAACAUAAGAUAGAUUAGGAUUUGUCCUGCCUUGUCUUGUACUUCAAGUUGGUCAUUGUACUCCUAUAUAUGCCCACGAGGCUCAAGCAAUAAACAACGAUUCCACCAAUCCCUCGCUCUCCCUUCUAACAGUGUUUAACUAGAAGUGUAUGUGUGCUUUUUGCCACGCCGCUAGCCACAAAAAGUCUCAUUGGUCGUUGCUCGUUUUUCUUGUUUACCUAAUAAUGCCUUUAUUGUUUUUAUUAAGUGAAGCGAUCAGCUAACUAAGUUUGGCUCAGAUGGUUAGAUUCUUUCAAGUGGAUCAAAUUCGUUAGGUUUUAAGUUCUAGACUUGGCACUGAUGCUCGCAUUUUUUCUGAAUUUGUUUCAGGUUUUCUGGUGAUGUCGUUCAGUGGGAGGAGGCGUUCUCGUCUACUACGGAGGUGUUUGUGGUGACUUCAUCAAUUUCAAGAUGUUAUAUCUGCUCAGUCCCUCGGAGGUAUUCAUAUGGGUAGGGUGUGCGUGCAUUCAUAAAUUUGGAAAAGACCACAAAUUAUCGUGGAUUGUUGACUGUUGACUUAUCAUUGACCUUUCCAAAACAGAACGCGAAUUCAAAAAUUUUGUUUUUUAAAAUCUCGUAAAUUAGAUAAAAUUUAGGAAAUUGUAAAAAUGUUCACUUGUUUUGCGGAUCUGAAAAAAGAGUUCAGGAUUUUGAGGAAAAAUGUUCGCGGAAAGUUUACGUAUUUGAGGGAAAAGGUUCACAAAUUUGAAAAAAGUUCAUCAAUUUUUAAAAAAAUCAUUAUUUUGAAAAAUGUUCAUCAACUUUAAAAAAAGUUUAUUGAAUUUGAAAAACAGUUCAUCAUUUUUUUCAAGAAAAGUUCAUAAAUCCGUAAAAAAUUCAUCUAAUUUUCGUAGAAAAGUUCACAAAAUUUUAAAAAAGUUCGCUGAUUUUGAAAACAGUUCAUGAAUUUGGAAAAAGUUCAUGGAUGUUGGAAUAAGUUCAACAUUCUUGAAGAAAAAAAGGGUUCAUCUAUUCUUUAAAAAACAUAAAUUACAAGGCACAAAAAGUUCUCACAACCUAGAGAAAGAAUAGAAGAAGCGGAAGAAACAUAUAGGCACAAAGUCGUUCCUAGUCCAAUUGGUAGUUCGGUGCUAAUUUUUUCGCUCGCUUCAGAUUGAACGGGAAAAAGAAGAAAGACGGGCCGACCCAGCACCGCGCGGGGGUGUGCGCUCAUUUGUCAGAAUUGAAGAAACGGGCAACGUUUAGGGUAAACCUUAACAGAAUGCACUCUAAACAGCCCGGCGGACGCCAAAUAGGAGUUCGGCGCGCCUGCUGUAGCGGGCGCUGAGUACGAAAUGGCUACUACUUGGCACAUAAGUGCGGAAUAAGUAAUGCUUGCUCGUCUUGCUUGUACAUGAUCCUCAUCGUCCAACAUGUGAACCACCCUCGGUUGUCUGUUUCACGUUUUACUCUUACGAAGGAUACAUCAAAAUCCUAUUGGGCGCCCUUAGCGUCAAAUACAGGUUGUUCCACUGGUGCACACCUACUCUAUUCUGGGCUAGGUCCAUUUACUUUUUCCCCCUCUUGUUUGCUCUCUACGCUUGCAGCCCGUGGGUGACGUUGGCGAGCCGCUGGUGCAGCCCGCUCUUUUGGGAAUGUUUUUCUUCUAUUUUUUCAUUCAAUUUUCCUACCGGGUUUUUUCUUAUUCUUUUUUUUAUUUUUUGCUUUUCUUUCUCUUUUUUCUUUUUUUGUCAACAUUUCAAAACACGUGAUUUUUGUUUUUCAAAUGUGUUAACUUGUUUCUAUUCCAUGAUUCAUUUUUCAAAUUUAUGAACUUUCCGCAAAUAUUUGAAUAUUUUCUCAAUUUUUUAUGAACUUUUUUCCAAACCCGUGAACUGUUUCAAAUUCUUGAUUUUUUUGAAAACGCCCACAUUUUUUAAUUGGUGAAUUCUUUCAAAUUUGUGACUUUUUUCCCAAAAUCGUAAACAUUUUUGAAUUCUUCAAUUUUUUCAAACUCAUGAACAUUUUCUCAAAUCUAUGAACUUUUUUCAAAUUGAUAAAAUAAUAUCUAAAUUCCUGUUUUUUGUACUUUUAGAGAUUUGCAUUUUUUUCAACGAAGCCAGCACUUGUCGGUCAUCCGGUCAAAGGUUAAUGGUUGGUCAAGUGUCAAUAGUUAACCAGUCUCCUAAAAAAAUAGUUGCCUAGUCAACCAUCAGCCUAUCGAUCAAAGAAGGGACCAAAGAUGACAGACCGAAGCGAUCUAUCAGAUCGUACUAGUUGGGCCGGCCCAAGAGCGCGGCUUGUAGCUACUACAACCGGUGGAACAAGAUUAAGGGAUGGAUGGAGAAGCUCCUCUCGACUGGUGGCAAGGAAGUAUUGAUCAAAUUAGUGGCCCAAGCCGUACCGGUGUACUCUAUGUCAUGUUUCAAACUCCCUCGUGGCCUUUGCGAGCAUAUUAAUUCUCUCAUCCGGAAAUUCUAGUGGGGCAGUAAGGAGGGCAAAAGAAAGCCAAGUUGGGUUUCAUGGAGUGUCCUGACAAGACCAAAAUUCUGUAGGGGGCUAGGCUUCAGGGACAUUGAACUUUUAAAUCUAGCUCUCCUGGCUAGACAAGCUUGGCGAGUUCUUUUGCAGCCAGAGUCGCUGAGUGCACGUGUGCUCAAAGCCAAGUAUCAUCCCACUUGCGACUUCCUGAAUGCAGAGUUGGGAUCGAAUCCAUCGCAGAUUUGGAGAUCAAUUUUAGAAUGACGCGAUGUCCUUGUACAGGGCCUCACCCGUCGUAUUGGAGACGGUCAAUCAACACAAAUUUGGCAGCAUAACUUGCUCCCUAGGCCAUCAAACAUGCGUCCCAUUGUAUCCCGAGUACCUAAUCCACCAGAGUAUGUUGGGGAGCUGAUCUUACCUGGGGCGGAAUGGGAUCAUGCAACCAUUGCGGAUGUUUUUCUCCCCACUGAUGCGGCAGCGGUUUUGAAUAUACCUUUAUGUGCGCGACAUAUUGAAGAUUUUUGGUCCUGGGUUCAUGAGAAGAACGGAGUUUUCUCAGUUCGUGCAGCUUAUCGUAUGCUCAUUGAGACGAAGAUGAGGCAGGAAGCCUGGCUUGAGGGCCGGUCUGAUUCGUCGAAUACGGAGAAGGAGCAAAAAGCUUGGACGAAGCUUUGGAAAAUAGAUGCUCCUUCUAAGGUUAAAAUCUUAUGGAGGCUCGCACAACAGUUUAUCCCUACCCCCGAUCUAUUGCACGACCGUAACAUGUCAACAACAACGAGUUGCGGGCUGUGUGGAGCCGAGGAUUUGUGGCAGCAUUCACUACUCCAUUGUACCGUGGCAUGUUGUGUUUGGGCACUCCAAGAUCCCGAACUGGUGGAAGCUUUGAACAAUACCAAGGAACCUGACGCGAAGAGGUGGAUAUUUUCUCUAAUAGAUAUGUUAUCUUCGGAUGAAUUCACGCAGGUACUAGUGACACUAUGGUCAAUCUGGUAUGCGAAAAGGCAGGCCUUGCAUGAACCUGUUUUCCAAAGCCCCCAAGCGACGCAUAACUUUAUCAUGAAGUACGUGAGGGAGCUAAAGGAUUGUAAGCCAAAGAAGACCAUGGUGGCUCCUGAGCCACGACGCCAAGGGCAACCAAGGUGGAUCCCUCCACCUCUUGGGAUGGCGAAAAUUAGAGUGGAUGGUGCAGUCGCACGUGAUCUCAAUGAAGGUACAUUUAGUGCAGUUUGCAGGGAUUCAACCGGAACAUAUAUUGGAUUUUCAGUCAUCCGGACUAGGGGAAUUUCUGACUCAGCCACUCUGGAGGCAUUAGCGUGUCGUGAAGCUCUGGCGCUAGCCUCGGAUCUUGCACUAUAACAUGUGUUGGUGGCCUCGGACUGCCAAGGUGUGAUUCAUGAUGUCAAGAACAAUACUGGAGGAGUUUAUGCAAGUAUCAUAAAAGAGAUUUUGGAAACAUCUAGGAAUUUUUAGCAUUGUUCCUUCAUCUCCGAAAGGCGAGAGUCUAAUUUUGAGGCACAUAGCCUCGCUAAACAUGCUUUUGGUCUGGAGUUCGGGCGCCAUGUGUAGCUCUUAAACCCGCCGGACUUACAUUGUAUCCCCAUGAACUUGUUUACUCAAUAAAGUAAAGUAUGUUUAGACUAAAAAAAAGGUACUACAACCGGUGCUGAAGGCCUUAAAUAGGAAUGCCUAUAUUGGGAUGGGUAGAGUGGUUUUUUAGGUCGCUACUAGGCGUCGGUGUGCCGGCGCAAAAUUUGGGCCGGCCAGGCCCCGUCAUUCGAUCUGCCACGUAUAGAGCCUGCAGAAACCGUUCGAUCAAGCUCGUAUUAGACGGGUCGCAUGGACUCGGUCAUCCUCUUCCACAUGCCUGCGAAUCCCUCGCACCUCCUCCCCCGCCUGACCCACUCCCCGCCUCUUGCGUGCCCCCCGCACCUCUUCCCCAACCGUCGGUUCGUCCCUCGCUGUCAAUCAAAGGUCAAAACAACCAUCCCUCGCAUCUUGUCAUCGCCAACCGAAAAUCAUCGUCUCGUCGCUGAUAGCAAUUGUACCACCGACGGCAAUGGUUCCGGCAAAAAAGUGUUAUGGUCCCAGCAAAGCUCACCGCCGAUUGCAGCCUUUGCGGGUCGCAUGGUGGCCUCCCACGUAGCACCGACGACCAUGGUUCCAGCAAAAGAUUGCUACAGUUCCAGCAAAGCUCACCGUUGGUUGCAACAUUUUUGUGGAGAGCGACCACAACGACCUAUGGUUCCAGCAAAAAAUCGGUACGGUUCCAGCAUACCUCACCGUCGGUUACAACUUUGCCGGGGCGCGGUUGUAGCACGGGCCACCGCCGGUUGCGCUGUCGAAGCACGGGUCACCAUGGCCCAUUGCAGCUUUAUACUUGACCGAUUCCAGUACCUCUGACAAAGGGUAGUAGCUUUUCGCCAAGCCGCUUGCAACUUCCCCCAGCCUGCCGGCUCCAACACCAUCGCGAGGGGUCGCCACGGUCAUCGCCCAUAGUAGCAAAAAAUUAUGUUGGUACCAGCAUUUGCGAGAGCGGUUGCAACAUCUGGUGGGUGUGGUCAUCGUGGCCAAUGUCCGUAGUAGCCAAAAAUGAUGCCGGUUGUAGCACUUUGGAUCGCCGGUCAUAGCAUAUUUGGACGUCGGUUGUAGCACCGCUAGUCACUGGGUGACCAACACCUCGCCUCGCCGUUGCAGCACCUCGCCAGCCCGAGCUUUGGUAGGGAGAGAGACGAGAGAAGGUGCACGCUCGCUAGGGGAGACCAGUAGCGGGGCGGGCACCAAUAAUGUGGGGUGAGGACGGUUGGUGGGUGAAGGGGAGGAGAAAGUGGGGAAGAAGGGAUAGGGACGUGUGCGGGGGAAGGAGGCUGACGUGGACCGCCAGAGUGAUUGGGAUUGAGCGACGCUCGUGAGACCAGCGGAAAGCUUUCGGCCCGACUGUCAUACCCAAAUGUUUUCCUUCUUUUUUUAACCCUGCCUUUUAUAUUGAAAGUUUUAUAGAGAUUGGAUAGAAAUAGGGAGUCUAAUAGAGUUGCUCUGAGUGAGUGUGAUUAUUUUUCAUCCUGCUUAUGUAAUGUACACAUGUCAUGAGGGUAAAUACUGCUUCCAAAGCUGACAAAGCAACAAAAAUCGAUGUCACGCAUCGUAUACUGUCUGCUUCUGCAUGUACAUGUACGUAGUCGGUUCAUCGGUGCACGCCAGACAUAGCUCGUGAACAACACGUACGCACGUAGUAGUACGUGCUAGGCUCCAGACACGGCACUGGAAAGCUAACUUGGACACAUUCCAUCAACGUUCACGGGACGACAACAGCUGGCAUCAUAGCCUAGCUAGGUACUACUCUACGUGACCUUGCUCUAUGCAUAUAUGCAUGCAUGAGGCCACUGAAUUAUUCAUUUUCGUAAACAACCAACAUUUCACCCACGGUGAUUAAUGAUCAAAUACAGUAAAGAAAUUGGCUUAUAAAUAGACACUCCACACGCACGCACACACAACACAUGAGCAGGAGUGAGAGUGAGACACACAUCACACACACUACACCGGCCGGGAUCAUCGAAAUGGCGACCGGCAUCAGCAACGGCACAGGCCCAUCGACGAACGACGCGCUCCAGUCGAUCCUCGCCGCCGCGCGCCCGUUCCUCCGGGGCGACCUCGCGGCCGUCGACCCCGAGCUCCCCUCGCUCGUCUCCGUCCUCGUGUCCGCCGGCGCCGGCGAGUGCUACCACAAGCACGGCACCUUCCUCGCCCACCUGCUCGACGUCUACCGGAUCCUCCGCCUCUGGGGCGCGCCCGACGCCGUGGCCCGCUGCGGCCUCUUCCACUCCUCCUACUCCAACUCCUACGUCAACCUCGCCAUCUUCGAGCCCGACGUCAGCCGCGCCCGCGUCCGCGGCAUCGUCGGCGCCGCCGCCGAGCGGCUCGUGCACCUCUUCUGCGUCGUCCCGCGCCACGCGCUCAUGCACGACGACCUCCACCUCCGCUACACCGACGCCGAGCUCCGGGACCACCUCGCCGCCGCCGAGGCGUCCCUCCAGGCCGCGCGCUCCGGCGGGGGCAGGCCGGAGGACAAGGCGGAGCCGUGGCGCGCGAAGCUGCGGUCCGUGGUGCCGGAGGAGGGCGUGGUGGUGCCGCACAUCCGGACGGGGGAGCCGGUGGCGCUGUCGCGGCGCGUGCUGGCGGUGUUCGUGCUGAUGACCGUCGCCGACUUCAGCGACCAGUACACGGACUACCAGGACAAGCUGUUCCGCAACGACGACGGCCGCCUCGAGUUCGCCGGCGACAACUGGGCCGCGCUCUGGCCGGGGACCGGAAAGCCGGGGCUGUGGAUGAGCGCCAUGUCCAGGCUCGCCGCGCUGUACCGCCUCAUCGCCACCGACGAGCAGCUCCGCCACAUGGAGGAUGGGUCCACGAAGACGACGGCGGACGAACAGGACGCGGGCCUGGAGCUUCGCCUCCCGCCCGUGUUCGACCGGUGCAGCAAGGUGCUGGACCCCAGCGAGCAGAUCGCGGCGAGGGACCUGUACUGGGAGGCGAUCUGCAGCGACGGCAAGGAGGGCGUGGAGUCGCUGCUGCGGCGGUGCAUCGCGAAGAACCCGUACGUGGGGGAGCCGUGGCUGGUGCUGGCUCAGGUGCUGCUAAACGGCGGAGGGAGGUGGGAGGAGGCGGAGGCCGCGGCGGAGGAGGGGCUUAGGCUGGUGGUGGAGUGGGGCAGCAGCUGGGACAAGAGGAUGUCAUGGGAGGGGUGGGUGUCAUGGGGGAGGGUGAUGAGGGAUAAAGCCAAGGAGAAACAAUGGCCGCGCUCCGCCUGGGGCAUCAUCAACCUCGGACUCGUCAAGCAGAUCCACGACCACAACUAGCUGCCGUCUCGCUCGAUCAGUUGUGGUGCUUACUUAGCGCGAGUUUGUCUUCAUUAAAUAGCUGUGUGAUGGUGUGGUACCUGAGUAUGUGACCUAUAUAUGUUUGUCAUUGUGUGGUCAUUAGCGUGAUGUUAUGGUAUCUGAGUGUAUGUGACCUAUGUUGUCUCGUAUGGUUGAAUAGCUACUAAUAAUGCAAUGAAUGUUGAGCCACCAUGAGUGUCAAAAAAGAGUUGCGCUUGAUUUUUUUUAUUAAUCCUUAAUCACAAC
RNAcentral lists this long non-coding RNA (158794 nucleotides) under Triticum aestivum (bread wheat). RNAcentral's name for it is "long non-coding RNA (TAES_LNC003697)". The record is from RNAcentral. Lineage: Eukaryota; Viridiplantae; Streptophyta; Magnoliopsida; Poales; Poaceae.